This 111151-nucleotide long non-coding RNA is filed under the name Coffea arabica (coffee). RNAcentral describes it as "long non-coding RNA (CARA_LNC003508)". Lineage: Eukaryota; Viridiplantae; Streptophyta; Magnoliopsida; Gentianales; Rubiaceae. The record is from RNAcentral.
UUGGUUCUUCUCAUCUAUCUCACAAACUCUCUCUCUCAGCAAACUACCUCUCAAAACUCCCCCAUUUUGGUUCUUCCAUCUUCCGCCUUCGCCGCCCCACUCCCCCAUUUUCAGAUGCUAACUCGGCAGCUUCUCUACCCUCCUCGUCAACCACGACACCUGCACCAAUAAGCCUUCGCUCUCUUUGCUAGGACAAAGAGAAUAAGAAAACAGAUACUUGUGCUCUUUCCUUUUCUUCUUUCGUUUGAAACCCAUCCCCAUGCUUUUCCUUACUGACUAGAUAUUCAGGUUGAGUGUGCCGAGGAGUAGAGUAGGCAAAGGUUGCUGCCAUUGUCUCACUGGAGUCCAACCACUACAGCGGAAAUCAUCACUGUAAAGUUUCCUGCACUCUUAUACCUUUUUUCCCCCUUAAUUGUAUUUUUUUCUUCUUUGUUUGCAAUCAUGUCGGUUAUGCUUUACUUUCAUCUUGUUAAUCGAUUUUAAGUGGUUGGAAUUGAUCAUAGGUUUGAGUAGAGUUUUAGAUUUAAAAUUCAAGCUCAGGCCGUAUAAGGAAUUGAUGAAAAAGAAAUUUCAAAACUUUUCAUGCUCACUACCUAUUUGUCGGAAGGUUCGAAUGAAGAAAGAAGGAAAUUUGUAAGGAAGUGAACUGAGAGAUGAGAGUAAUUGGAGAGUGAUGAGAGUGAAUAAUUACUUCUAUGAUAUGACUACUAUGAAUCUUAUUCUAUCUUUUAUUAAUUCACUCCAAUUUGUGCUGAAAGAGAAAUUUUGUGUAUUUAUACAUGAGAAUCAUACCCAUGCCAUGCUUGCUGAGGAAAUCAAGGAGAAAACUGCAAAACUGAGGUCAAUAUUCUGCCAUCAGAUAUCUUGUAGAGGAUGGUUCGUUAUUUUGUGAUACUUCUGAUGCCAUCCCACGUGUAACAGGCAUCUCAAAGGUGAAGAGCUAGUAGGACUAAGCAUGGAAGACUUGGUUAAACUCAAAACCUUCUUUCAAGGUCUUUCAAUUGUUGCAUAGUGUUGACGUACUAUGUUUUUUGGAUUUCAAGGUGACAAAUUCAUGAAAGAAAUUGGUAUUCUCAAGAAAAAGGCUAGUGACAAAUUACCCUUAUCAGCUGUUUCUAUUUGGUUAUCUAUCAAUCAUUUUCUGUUAUUCUGUAUUUCAUCGCAUAACAAAAUGGGAAAUCUUCAAUUUGAGAAUCUGGAGAUAAAAAAGUGUUAUUGGGCUUUCAUAGUAUUGAAGAUCAUUUGUAACCAACAAUAAUGCUGUAGGAGCAAUUUACUUAAAGAUUCCAAUGGAAUAUCAUUUGGUUGACUGCAUUUAAAUGUGUGUUCUUGGUUGCUAACUUAUCUUCGCAAAAUGAAUUGCAGGAAGCAUUAUUCAAGGAAGAGAAUGCGAAGUUGAGACAGAAAGUGCAUGACGUGACAGUUUCCCUUUUCCUUUAUUUCUUUGUUUCGCCCCUCUACAUGAGCAUGCUGCAAUCUUUUGCCUUUCUGACUGCUAAUUGCACGUAGCAGGCCCAUCGGAAGACCAAACACCUCUGCUGGAACAAGGGCUUUCAUCUAAGUCAGUCACCCGCUUAAGCGACCAAGCCGGAAGUUGUCCUCAGGACCUCAACAAUUCGGACACAUUUCUCCAGCCGGGGUAUGUUUGUUUUAAGUCAAACAUGGAUCGGAUAAUUUGUUACAAGAAUAAAACGAAUUACAUAUGUGGAAUAUAUCCAACAUUUGGAUCUUAUAUCUGGACAACAUGCUGCAUAUCAGUUGAAUGUGUUUGGUUUUGUACAAUAGAUGGCUAGUAUUUAAGCAAGAAGAACAAAAUGAAACUAAAGUAAGAUUUCAUUUUCAGAAUGCAUGAUUCAAGGCCAUGUGAUCGUCUGGCAAUGACUUGAAAAGAAAAGUGAACAGCUGGUAAGCUAUCACAAGGCAGUCUUUAAUGCUCUUGGAUUGAAGUUUUUCUUUAGUAGCAUGGCAACUGCUAGCUAUGUAGAGAGAUUAGAGUCAGACAAAUUCGAAUGCACAAAUUAUUGUAUGUGGAAAAAAGGGGAGGUUUGGAGAAUUGUUGUUGGUUGUGCGUUAAUGAUACGUUGUAUGAAUAGGUGUUUGCGGUUGCAUAAAACAGAGCUAGCAUGCAUGUAAGUAUCUUGGCAAUCAUUUUAUAGAGAAACCUGUUUAACUUGGGGUUGAAUUUUUGAAGCUUACCAUGUCCCAACUGAAUUGCAGGGAGGAUGAGAUUGCGGUUGCAGAAGAUCGAACAUAUAAUUUGAGCAUAACUGGCUUUAUGAUACCCAGAAAUUGUGGUUUAUGUUGCAUUAUUUUUUAGUUUGUGCACAAGAGAAUCUUUCAAGUUUGUACUUGUUAGGGAUUUGCUAUGCUAGUACUUGUUACUGACUUUUAGUUCAACAAAUUAUAUUUGAGCAUUGACUUUUGCUUUUAGAUUACUAUAUGUAUUCUGUUCUUUGGGAUAAUUUUACAAGUCCUUUGGGUUUCUGAUUGACGGAAUGUAUAGCAGGGAGCACUACCUGUAGGUUGCUUCUAUAUCAAAAAAAAAAAAAAAAAGGAAAGAAAAAAAAAACUCCUGGCAGUUAGAAGUGUCAACUAUAGGUGUCAAACAAAUUCAUUUAAUUAAAUUUACCCAUACCCGCCCAUGAAUAGAUGGAUAUGGGUAUCUUAAGUUUUUGCAUAUGGGUAUAAAUGAGUUACCCAUUUAUUAAAUGGAUAUUAUUGGAUAACCCAUCAAACCCAAUUAAUUCAUUUAAAAUUAUCUUCCUCCAAAUCUCAUCUCUUCCCCCGCCCAUUUUCUUUUUCAGAUUUUUCAUUUUGUUAUGAUGUUAACAUCAUCAUCAUCAUCAUAUUUAUGAUGAUGAUGAUGAUGAUGAUUAUUAUUAUUAUUAUUAUUAUUUGUUAGUUUUAUCUUAUCAUUUUAAUUUAUCUUAGUUUGUUAAUUUGCUCAUUUUCACUAUUACCAAUUUAUGACAAGUUUUAGACUCCUUUCCUACCUUUUCAAAAUGAAAUUUUAAAUUUACACACAAAAAAAUGUUAGAAGUUCAAAAUUUUUGGAUUAAAUUUUAUGUUAACUUUUAUAGUACCUAGUUCAAAUUUUUGUAUUUUUAUUGUUCAAUUAUUAAAUAGUAUGUAAUUUUACAACAUAGAGUAUAGAUGGGAAAAAAAUUAGUAAUUAGGCUUGUUAAGCAUUAUAAGUAAAUAUUUAAAACUAAUAAUGGGUGCAAAUAGUGGUAUAAAUUGAUAAUUUAGUUUGCAAAAAUGAAUUUAAAUGAGUUUACGAAAAGUUAAAAUAAAUGGGUUAUAAAUGGAUAAUUAGGUUACUCAAUUCAUUUUUUGACUUACCCAUUUAUACCCAUUUAAUUAAAUGAAUAUAAAUAGGUUGACUCACUUAUAUCCAUUACCCAUGUUACCCAACUCAAACCCGCCCAAGUCACCCAUUUUGACACCUCUAGUGUCAGCAUAGCCCAGUUAAAAAAACUCCUACUUGCUCUUGACUAUAGCUAUCCUGACACUUUCGAUUAUUAAGAAAAGGAAUUUUUGUUGGCAGAUGAGAUGUUAUAACAGCAUUAGUCUUCCUAUAGUCACGGUGAUCAGACUAUAUGCACACUAGCUAGAAACGUGGAAUAUGUGAAAAUAUGGAAUUGCCAUUUAUUCCCCUUAUGGCUUCGCAUUUGGCCACAUAAUCCCCUAUUAAUUUUAUGUAAAGUGAUUAGAGACUUGUUGUGCUUAAAUAUUAACUAAUGCUUGGAGAUACUUUUUUUUACGGGGUCAAUUUUUCCACUUUACAUGAUGCUACAAAAGAGUUAAAUGGAUAUUGUUGAAUACAGUGUAGAACUAAAAACUUUUAGUUUAGGGGAGGCCAAAAAUCCAACAUAUAGUAAUAACACAUAUUAUAGCAUAUAAAGCAUGGUAAAUUUAAAAUGAAAAUUAAGGAUUUCAAUAAUAAAAGACAAAGUAUAAACCAAACUACAAAAUUUGGAUUCCCUACCAUUCUAUUUCCUAUCAAUGCGAGAAAUAACUAUCUAGUAAACUAAUAGAUCAAUAAUUCAUAUUACUGGCUUUGUUUAUUUUUUUCAUAUAUUAAUAGAAGCAACAAUCAUUACGUAGUUCUAAAACAACAAACUCAAAAUAAAAAUAACUAUUUCAAAAUCAAUAAUACAAUUUAAAAUAUAAUACAAGAAAGUUUGAAGGAAAUAAAAAUAAAAACUUGCCUUGCAAAACUGGAGUUUGGGAACAGUUGAUACUUGAAGCAUAAUAAUGGAGCUUAGAAAGAGUCGAUCCUUGAGAAGCUAGAUAAAAAGAUGUGACUUUGUAUUUUUUAACUAAUCCUCGUACAUUCUUAAUUCAAGUGAAUUCUGUUACCUUUUAUUUCCUUUAUUUACUUUUAUGUAGCGUUUUUUCAGUUGUUAUUUUUUCGUUGUAAGCUGUGGAUGAAUUGAGCAUUUAACAAAUAGUUUGAACUCAACACAUUAAAAGCUCGAUUUGAGGGUGGAUUUUUGUCAAGUUCGAGUUCGAGUUCAAACAAUAUAAUAAGAGGAGGAAAUAAUAUAAUAUCGAGUCUGUAACAUAACUUGAUCUCAAAUUUAGAGCUCAUAUAGGAUUCGAGUUCGAAUUUGAAUUUAUUUAAUAUUUUGAAUCGAGCCCAAUAGAUCAAAAGUUCGAUUCGAUUCAUUUAUAAGCCCAUUUGUACUAAUGCUACACUAAUACGAGAAGGAAAUAAGAGUUUGUUUGGUAUAAGAGUCUUAUAAAAAGAGUAAUUAAGGGGGACAAGAAAUAGAUAAAUGUAUGAAGAGUAAUUAAGAGGAACUAGAAAUAGAUAUGCAUGUUGGGAGAGGGGGGAGGGGGAGGAGAUUAAUCUAUCUUAGAUAAAAUGUCUUAGUCCCUUUAGGACUAUUCUGAAAGUUUUGGGGGUUGUGGGGGGAGCGAAGGGGCUGCUCCUCCCCAGCCCCCCCGUUCCAUCCUUGGUUGAAUAAUAAGUGAUUUGUGAGGUAUUAACAACAUACCCAUGCAAUUGGUGUACUUAAACAAAAAUAUAGAUUAUCAAAAUUGUUGAGGUACAUCAAUUUGAUUUUGACUAUUACUUAUUGUGAGUUUUCGUUAGUUGUCUUAAAUUGCGUUGAAGACAAAUUUUGUUUUAAUCGAAAUAUUAGGUGGACUAAAUAUUGGGGACCAAAACUGUACUUUUGUUGCACAUUAAACUUUUGAUUUUGGUGGGAUAAUUGAUUGAGUUAAUUCUCCUUUAGCAUUUCUGGUUCAAAAUAGUUGUUGUCUUUCUCCUUGGCAUUUUCUAUAUAAACGGUGAUUUGAAAUGGAGCUUGUUACGUGAACAUUUGCCCCUUGGCAUCUUUCAAUGGAAGUACUCAUUCAUAGGUGAGUCUGAAAGGAAAUGCGCAUGCUAAACGUACAAAUAUUGAGAUCAAGCUUUCAAGGAAACUUUCACGUUAACCUAUGAAAUUAAAAUUGAGAGCAGGUGCAAGGUCUGUUUCAAUCAGAAUAAUUGCUUGACAAUAGUCUGAUUACAGUAAUAAAAAAUUUGUUAGGUUGCAAACUGAUAAUAUACUAUAUAACAAGGAUUCAAUAUUGACAUAUUGUCAUUGUUGUAAGGCCACUUUUCUUCUUGGUCUGCAUAACUUUUGGAAAUAAUCUACGAAUUCUGCUUCAGGCCGGCUGCUGCUGCACUUGCCUCAAUGAUCUUGUCUCCAUAAUUUUUUUUAAAAAUAAUCUACAAUUCUGUUUCGGACAAUUUGCUGCUGCUGCUGCACUUGCGAAGAUGUCAGAGUCAUUAGUUGGCCCGCAAAUAUAGAUGUCACCUAAUCAUGAUGUUAACCAGCUACGUGCGCACAUCAGGAGUACUACCACUAUAUAUACCAAAAAUCUUGCGAACUAGAUAACUCCUUUUUUUAUUUUUUAUUUUUUAUAAACGAUAUAAUCUCAUACAAUGAAAUAUGCCCUAAUGUGGCCGACAAUAUUUUACUUAUCACAGAUACAAUAAAUCCGAAAAAUUACUACAUCUAAUAGAUCUAGAAAAUUACAAAAAUUACAUUAUAAAACUCAAUAAAUUUGGAAUUUAGACAAAUCACGAACAACCCAAUGAAUAUCUAUGCAUGCCAAUGCUAUCUAAUCCACUAUUCAACUUGUUUAAACUCAAAUUCGAUGUUGAGAUCUAAUGAAAUAACCUAAAAAAUUCCAAUGAUCUAGAAAAAUUGACCCCUGAGGUUGAUGAAAUAUAUGAAAAUGUACAUGGUAAAGCGUCAAUAAAUAGAUUAACUUGAAAUGUUCAUUAAUUAAAUAUUCAUUAGGGAUUAGUGCCACCUAAUUUUUUUCAUAUAUAUGUCCAAAAAUCCAAAAAGAUUCACCAGAUAGCACUCGUCAAUGUGUCAAGAAUUGGACCAAAAAGAAAUACAAGUUUUUAUGUAAAAUACCAGUAUAACCCUAGUUUCCCUCAAUAAGAAAAAUAGUUCAGUUAUAAAGGGGUUUCAGGGUAGGUUUGUACAGGAGAUAUAACCAAGGGCGUUUGCUUAUAAUUAACCAAGAAUAUUGUGUUACAUAAGCUGCGGAACGGUAAGGUUUUGUACAUAGUCAUACCAUAAACCAGAAAUAUUGUUCUGCAAUUGUUCCAAAAUUUACACAAUUUCAGUGUUCAUUUGACAUGAACUUUAACAAAAUGACAAAAAUUGGAAAAAAUUGAAAAUUUUGGCCAUAGGUUACUGAGCUAAUUUCUCCUCAAGUUGAACUUGAAUCUCAAAGUUCUUUCUAUGCAAACUGAUUUUAAAAAGCUUGAAAAUGCUAAGCAUGUCAUCUCAUCAGCCUGGACAACUCAACUAAGAUUUUGAAUAGAUUUAGUAACCAAUGGAGCAAUUUACCCUAGUUUUAGGUAUCAACUUCAUGUUUCCACCCCCCCCCCCCCCCAAACACAAAAAAAAAUGUUAUGAUUAAGUUCUCAAACUACUCGAAUAAAGAUUAACACAACAUGUUAAUUAAAUUUGCUUAUGUGACUUAAAACAUCCCAAAAGAUUUUGUCUCAUAACAUUUAGAAUUGUGUCCGUAAUAGACCAAAAAGCAAUAAAGGCUUUCAGAUAAAUUAUUAGUAUAGGCAGUGUUGCCUCGAAAAGAAAAACAGGUAAGAAGUGUGUUGAAUGUUGAGAUUCUGAAGACAAGCUCCAAAUGUCCAAAUGUCUGAAUGAUACGUCUAACUAGGCAUGACCAUGGUUCCAGAACCGCUGAUUCUAGUUCUUCAAAGAGGUAGAACCAGAACCGCACCAUAUAAGAUGGUUCUAGUUCUGGUUCCAGAACCACCAGUUCUGGUUCUUCAAAGAGGUAGAACCAGAACCGCAUAGUUCUGAUUUUGGUUCCUUAUGGUUAUGGUUCUGGUUUCCGGUUCCGGUUUCCGGUUCUGUAUGGUUGUAUAUAAUUUUAUUUAAUUUCUUAUCCUUACCAAUUUUAAUACGAAUAUAACAAUCUAUUUAAAAUUUCAAAUAAAAUGUAAAAAAAUAAAUACAAAAUAAAGAUCAUAUUUUAAUUUUAUUAUUAUUCUACAAAGUAAGAAGUAAUAAAUAGAUAAUAUAAAUUUUAUGAAAAGUACAUUACAUUGUCAAAUUAAAAAUAUACAUUACACUAUCAAAUGGUUGUCAUGUGUUGACUUUCUUGAGUUGGACAAUCAUCAAUGUUGAAGAUUCCAUUUGAAGAAAUAUUGCAAAAAAUAUUUUUUUGCUUGCUUGAUUUUGAAGAUGAGCUACUACCAUCAAAACUUGUCAUUUGAUAGCAAAUAAGCAAAAAAAAAAAAUUGCAAGUAAUAAUUUAAUACUUACAAAUUAUAAUGAUAGAUAUUAGAUGAAUAGAAAGAAUUAAAUAAUUAAUAAAAUAUACAGAAAGUCCAUAAAAUUUAAACUUUCUUAAAACCUAUUAAACACAACUAAUUUUUUUUGAAUUAUCUCACUAAUUAUAUUAAUUAUUUUUAACGGUUCUAGAACCGGCGGUUCUGGUUUUGGUUCUAUUUUUUAGAGAACCAAAACCGGAACCUUUAUCCAAAGUUCUACCACGGUUCUGGUUCCGGUUCUAGUCCGGUUCCAAAUGGUCCGGUUCCUGUCUGGUUCCCGGUUCCAAAUGGAACCAUGGCCAUGCCUACAUCUAACUGGCUAUGAAUGCAGACCAUACAUAAGUUAAUAACAAUAAGGCUAAAAAAAAUAACAAUAAAGAGAACAAAAAUGUUCCAUGCGCCAUGUCCCUCCCAAUAUCAAACAUGUUAUCUUGUUUUUUUUUUCCUCUUUAUCUAUUACUAUUACUAUUACUAUAUUAAAAGUGUGAUGAGUUUUGGCAUUAUAAGUUGUAAGCACUUUUUUAUUUUAAUUUUUGCUGUUUCCAUAUUACCCCUGAGUUAUUGCAUUUUAAUUGUGGUAGUGAUUAAAAAUAUGAAACAUUCCAAAUGAAUAAGUCUCAACAAUAAUGGUAAUUCAAAUGAAAAACUCCCUAUUAAAACUAUUUAGCGACCCUUACAUUCCAUCUCCAAUUUUAAUGUGCAUCUUUCUUAUCCGAAACAAUUUCUUACUCAAAAUAGUUUGACCAAUUUCAUUAACCACAAUUUUAAGAUUGUAAAAAAUAUUAGUAUAAAAGAAAUAGAUGCUCUUAGAACAAAAGAGAAUAAGAAAUACUAAUUAUGAAUAAUUAUUUGGAGAAUCUUGAUAUGAAUAUCAUGAGACAGCUACAUAAUUAUGUGCUUUUUUAUCAGUAUAAAGGAAUACUAAAAGAAAAACAAAAAUAAAAGAAUCCAACUAUUUCUAUCAAUUGAAACUAAAUAGCCAUUUUAAGAUAAUUAAGUUGUAUAAAUCAUUUAUAUUCUUAUCAACCACAAUAUCACUUAGAAAAAAUGUCAAUAAUCCAAAUUCAACAAUGCACAUUAUAUUAUUCAAUUCAAAUUCACAAAAAAAUUUUUGAAAAGUUCAACUGGAAAGAUAUAAAGUAGAAUGAUUAAAUGUUCAUGCGAAAUUGGAUAUGUGCAUGAUUCGUAUAUUUUAUUCUUAAAUAAUUAAUUCAUUCUAAUUAUACAAUUGCAUUUCAUUUGGCUUAGCAAGGAAAAUAAUAUUUAAAAUGUUGAUACAAUUUUUUUAUUUCUUAAAAUUUGUUGAUUUCAUUAGAAACUUAACUUCAAGGUUUAUUUUUAAGUAAGAAAAGGCAUGUCUAGAUUCUGGUUCGUAAACGAGUUUUCCAAAGGGUAAAGAAAGGGGUGAGUGUGGUAAAAUAAUUAGAAUAACAAAAUCUAACAAAUCAAUUUAUUUAUUCUAAUACCUCUUUAGAAAUUGAUUUUACGAUUUAAAUCUUUAUUUUGCUAAUAAUUAUGAAUUCUAUUCACUAGGGUCACACUUGACAUGUGUGCAUGUAUUUCCUGUUUAGCAAUAUUUUUUGUACAAUAUUAAAAAAAUAAUAUUAUGAUUUUAUGGUAAAAAUAUUGUGAGUAUACAACAACUUUGGUGAAAAAUAACCAUAUUAGGAAUUAUUUAUCAAACUGAAUCCAUAAUUUACCAAAAAGAUCGACAUAAAUUAAAAGAAGAAAACUCAAAAUGAAUUCAAAAAUAAUAGAUCAAAGAGUGAUAGAGCGGUUAUUUGGCACAUUUUGCACUGUUAUUUUGUCCUAAUUUUAGCUACUUACUGUGCUAAGUAUUGAGGUUUUGCUCAUAUUUCAUAUUUGUAUGAAUUACAGAUGAUUUGCGUUAAAAGUAAUCUCUUGAGGCAAAUUUCCAGAAGACCCUUCAUCUUAGAGCGUGGCCCAGCCAGAAAAGGCGGACGCUACCGAAAAGCCGAACCCCGGUCCACGUGAACUGCGAGGAGCACGGGAUUAAAACUCCAAAAGGCUAGCUUUUGUUUCAGUCAAUUGGGUCAGACGUGACUUGGCUCUUAGAGGCUUCAAUUAAAAAAAAAGAAAAGAAAGGGCCAGACGUCGGGGGAAUGAGAAUGAGGAAACUAGGUCCACAUGGACCAGCUACACGGGAUAAAAACUCCAAUGAAGAGAAGAGCUCUGCUCCGCGUGGAUUUCCCCUGCGGCGCUAUAUAAGACAACAAAAAAGGGGACGCAGGGGGAGGUAGAUUAGCUUUGAUUUUCUUUUCGAGAGGGGUCAGGCGAUUGCAAACUUUUGUAGCUUUUCGGUUGUGACACUUUGACUCCUUGGCUUUUGUUUUAACUCUGCACAAUUUACGUUAGCUUUUGUUCGUACACUUGUGGCUCCAAAGCAAAGACGAAAGCAGGGCCUUCUCUUUUGUUAUUGCAAUUAAUUCCCCUUUCCCAAUUCUUCGUCGAAUAAUAGAAUGAUUUCAAUUAAAUCACGCGGGAUUGGCACGAUGAGGAGCGGCUAAUUUUCUUCUCUACCCAAAGGUUGACGUGAGGGCGCGGUCUAUAAUAACUGUGAGAUCUAAUCGAAUCUUCAUUAAUUCUUCCAGUUUAUUGCUAUUCGUGCGUUUCCUGAAUUAAUUGUUCAUGGGUAUUUUAUUAAUUGAAUAUCAACGGCCGGGUAUUUGAUUUAAUUUAAUAGCCUACUGCCACGUUAAUUAAAUAGAAUCCGUAAUUGUUCAUUUAGUUAACACCUCGUGGCAACCACCAUAAUUGGCUUUAUGAUGGGGGAGCGUAAGAUCUAGUUUAAAUAAACCCUCUUAGCGUGUUUAUUGGUUAGGGUUGGGUUCUUCUAGCGUUAAUGCAACUGGGUAAUUAAAUUUCUACGGUCGUACCUAGGGUUGUUAUCCGGUUAGAGAAGCAGUCAAUGGUCGUACCUUGGCUAUCGAAAAGGUAAGAAAGAACUAGUUGUCAGAGUUUGUUGAUAACUAUAACCAAUCUAGUAAUGAAUGGAUGAAAUAUCUUUGCAUCGAUGAUCAUUUAAUUGGACCGUGCCUGAACAGCUGAUCUUUUGGGUAGAACUUUUAUUAAUUGCUAUUUUUAAUAAAUUGUGUUUUGUGAGUUAGUUUUGAAUUUUGUUUGUUUUAUUUCAUUUUUUAUUUUCCUCCCAUCAAAAACCCCCUCAUACUCUGAACUCGAGAAGAAACGAAUUAUUCCCAGUCCCUGUGGAUUCGACCCUACUUACCGCUAUAUACAAAAUUUGUAAUUUUCUUGAGUAGGUAUUUAUUAUUACACAGGUUCGGCACCUGUCAAUUUUUGGCGCCAUUGUCGGGGACUGGUGCCUGUUUAAUUUGUUUCUUUUUGAGUUCAUUUUAUUUUCAUUUCCACUUUUUUUCCCUCUUAUUUUUUUUCUUUUCUUUUUUUUUCUUUACUAGUUUAUGGCUGCUAACACUCCGUAUUUUGGUGAUAGACUGGAUUUUGUUUCCAGGGAAGGCAAUGAGGCUUGUUUUUUUGCUAAGUUUGCAUAUUCAGAGGCACUAAACUCUAUUAGAGAAAGAAUGGCUGCUGCAACCUGUAAAAUUUGUUAUGCCAGGGAUCAUUCAACCGGUAUGUGCCCCGAAUAUCAAGAUAAUCUGAGUGUCCAACUCAAUAAUUAUGGAGAUUUUUCACCCUGGUCUCAAACGUGGUAUGACCCUUAUUCAAAUGGGUAUGAGCAAGGAUGGUGGGAUGAUUCCAAUUUUAAUUAUCAACAAAGGCCAAUAGAUUUACAACAGCUAGAGUCUCAAGAACCGUCAUCCAUGUCAGGUAUGUCUCUUGAAAAAAUAGUUGAAUUAAUAGCUACUAACACAUAUCAAAUUCAACAGGAGGUACAUCAACUUCAACAGGAGACACAAAAGAUGAGUAAAGAGAUGAAAGAAGGAAGGCGUGAAUGGGCAUCUAAAAUGAGCAAAUUGAUUUCUCCAGUUUAUGAAGAAUUGCCCUCACCGACUAUUAUCGACUAUGAGGAAGACGAGAGUGCAAUUAUUCUGACAAAUGAUAUGGUACUGCAAGAGUUUCAAGAAGAAGAAUCUAAAGAUGCAGUUGAAAAGAAAGUUGAAGCGCAAGAAUUGAGACCCCAACAUCAAAUGGUGCAAAUGAAUGAAUCCAGUGAACAAUCUCCAAAUGCAGUGACAUCUCCUCCAUUCCUUGAUCAAUAUUUUCCUGACUCUUAUUCUUUAAUUCCUGUUAGUGAGAUUGAUUUUAUUAUACCAGACGAUUUUGAAUUUCAUGCCAGGAAUAAGUUAAGAGUCAUGAUGGCAAAAUAUCUCGGACCAAUAAGUGCUCUUGAUGGAGGAGUGAGUGAAGAUUUAAGGUCAUCACUUGUUUGUUUGGCGCUAUCUAUUGAUCCAUGGAAGUCCGUAGCUCGUGUGCUCAAGAAUUACUCUAUUUACGAGGGAUAUCAAGACUACAUAGAAGAUGAAGCGCUGAAACGAGCUACACGAUUUUAUCCUCCGUGAAUAAAUAUGACGAUGUCUAGCCAAAAACAUUAAAGAAAGGCGCUGCUUGGGAGGCAACCCAAGGCUUCUUUUGUUUUAGUUUUCUUAUAUUUUUGAAAUUUUUUGUUGAGUGUUAGUGUCAUUUAUUGGGUUUUUGUUUUAUGGCAGGAAACAGGAAGUUAGACAUGCCCAUGCUAGGUGGUCACGCCUAAGCAGUGAAGUUUUGGAAUUGACGGUCAGAAGACUAUAGCUUCCAAGGUGUGCCCACGCCUUCCAGCCAUUGCGCCAACGAAAGUCAAAGAAUGACCAGGACCCUCUCUAAUCCCACUUUCUACUUUUCUCUUUUCUUGUCUUGUAUGGUCUUAUCAAUUUCCAUUGUUUCAGCUUCUACUUUUCAAUUUUCUUUGUUUUGUCUUAGUCCAAGGUUUCCCCUUUGUCCACCGCCGCUAGAAACUCUCUCUCUCCUCCUCGCGCCAUCCAUCGCACGUCGCUGCCUUCCCCACCGUCACUAUCUCUCUCAUCAGACAGCUUUCUUUGCUCACAUUGGAUUCCUGCCACCUCACCCUCCUCUGCCUUAGUGUCUCACUGCACCCUCUCGGUGGUCAGGGAAGUUUCUCUCCUUUUCUCCUUAUACUUCAUUCAUCUUUUCUACAUUGAGGGCAAUGUAGGUAUUAGGUGUGGGGGGAUGGCUUCCAUUAUUAUCUCCUUUUGCUUUGUUUUUUGAAAAAAAAAAAAAGAGAAACACAAAAAAAGGAGGAAAAUGAAAAAAAAGAAAGAAAAAAGAAAAGAAAAAAGUGUAGUUAGUUGACUUCUCUAGUCCUACAUUUGUUAACUGCUAAAGCAUGUUGCUAUAAUGGAUUGCACAAUAAAAGUGCACGGGUAUGUGGUUAUAUAUACUGGUUAUGCAUUUUGUUUCUCCUUGACAAUAGUGUUGAAUGUUGAAUAUGCUGGACUUGACCCAUUCUUGAAACUUUUGGGAGCUUUUGAGCCUUACUUGAGCAUAUUAUUCUUGUUUGCUCUAUUUUUGUUUGAUUGAGUGGGUAUCGCACAUGGUAUUGACAUUCUAGAACUUGCUAUUUUAUACAUGUCAAGACCACAUUUUGUUGAACUGGAUGCAUUUGAAAUGAUAAGGGCAUUUAGGAUUUGACCUUCUUUAACUUUUUACAAACCAUGCCUUCAUCGCAUUUUCCAAUAGUGAACCAACUUGAGCUUUUAUCCUUUACUUUUACUUGUUAGCCGUGUUUGAUAACCCAUGAAUUUUUAAACCUUCUUGUUCAACCUUGUGUCAUUAAGGGAUGUCUGAAAUUCAUUACUUGUGCAAGGCAAAUAGAUCUAUGGGCGCAAGUGUUGUCAAAAAGAUGUUGUAUGGUGUUGUUUCUGUACAUCUGAGAUCGAAAGAAAAGCCAAGAAAAAAAAAUUAAAAAAAAAAAAGAAGAAAAAAAAGGGGAGAAAUCGGUAAAAAGCUGGUGAGCAGAAGACUCUGUCUUCCAGUGCGUGCCUACGCCUUGCUAGACGUCCUCUUCAAAAAAAAAAAAAAAAAAAGGAAACGAUUUUCGACACUUGCACAAUGAAAACAGCAAAUGGAAACACCCUACUUGAGAAAUUGCCCCGGUAAAGCAUUGUGGUUAUGUAGUGGAUAUUGGACAUUCUCUUGACACAUUACACCCUAUUUUUACCUUCUUAUCCCGCCUUUUACCUAAACCCCAUUACAAUCCUAUUAAAGUCCCUUUGAUUUGUGUAUUUAGUUCACUUUUGAGUGGUGGAGAUGUGAUAAAUGUGCAAGCCUAUGGUAAUGCAAUUCUGUGAUGUUGAUUUGAGCGUUCCUAGUAUUCAUAUAUUUUCUUUGAAUUACAAUCUGUCCGGUGUGUUCUAAUUUUGGUGAUAUUGUCAGGGAUCUGAAAUGCUUGUAUUAGUAUAGACUACUACAUGACCUCUGCUCUGUUGGUUGUACUUCUGAGCUCUGAAAUGUUUGAGGGCAAGCAUUGUCUAGGUGUGGGGGGAAUUGAUAGAGCGGUUAUUUGGCACAUUUUGCACUGUUAUUUUGUCCUAAUUUUAGCUACUUACUGUGCUAAGUAUUGAGGUUUUGCUCAUAUUUCAUAUUUGUAUGAAUUACAGAUGAUUUGCGUUAAAAGUAAUCUCUUGAGGCAAAUUUCUAGAAGAUCCUUCAUCUCAGAGCGUGGCCCAACCAGAAAAGGCGGACGCUACCGAAAAGCCGGACCCCGGUCCACGUGAACCGCGAGGAACACGGGAUUAAAACUCCAAAAGGCUAGCUUUUGUUUCAGUCAAUUGGGUCAGACGUGACUUGGCUCUUAGAGGCUUCAAUUUAAAAAAAAGAAAAGAAAGGGCCAGACGUCGGGGGAAUGAGAAUGAGGAAACUAGGUCCACAUGGACCAGCUACACGGCAUAAAAACUCCAAUGAAGAGAAGAGCUCUGCUCCGCGUGGAUUUUCCCUGCGACGCUAUAUAAGACAACAAAAAAGGGGACGCAGGGGAGGGAUAGAUUAGCUUUGAUUUUUUUUUUCUAGAGGGGUCAGGCGAUUGCAGACUUUUGUAGCUUUUCGAUUGUGACACUUUGACUCCUUGGCUUUUGUUUUAACUUUGCACAAUUUACGUUAGCUUUUGUUCGUACACUUGCGGCUCCAAAGCAAAGAUGAAAGCAGGGCCUUCUCUGUUGUUACUGCAAUUAAUUCCCUUUUCCCAAUUCUUCGUCGAAUAAUAGAAUGAUUUCAAUUAAAUCACGCGGGAUUGGCACGAUGAGGAGCGGCUAAUUUUCUUCUCUACCCAAAAAUUGACGCGAGGGCGCGGUCCAUAAUAUCUGUGAGAUCUAAUAGAAUCUUCAUUAAUUCUUCCAGUUUAUUGCUAUUCGUGCGUUUCCUGAAUUAAUUGUUCAUGGGUAUUUUAUUAAUUGAAUAUCAACGGCCGGGUAUUUAAUUUAAUUUAAUAGCCUACUGCCACGUUAAUUAAAUAGAAUCUGUAAUUGUUCAUUUAGUUAACACCUCGUGGCAACCAUCAUAAUUGGCUUUAUGAUGGGGGAGCGUAAGAUCUAGUUUAAAUAAACCCUCUUAGCGUGUUUAUUUGUUAGGGUUGGGUUCUUCUAGCGUUAAUGCAAUUGGGUAAUUAAAUUCCUACGGUCGUACCUAGGGUUGUUAUCCGGUUAGAGAAGCAGUCAAUGGUCGUACCUUGGCUGUCGAAAAGGUAAGGAAGAACUGGUUGUCAGAGCUUGUUGAUAACUAUAACCAAUCUAAUAAUGAAUGGAUGAAAUAUCUUUGCAUCGAUGAUCAUUUAAUUGGACCGUACCUGAACAGCUGAUCCUUUGGGUAGAACUUUUAUUAAUUGCUAUUUUUAGUAAAUUGUGCUUUGUGAGUUAGUUUUGAAUUUUGUUUGUUUUAUUUCAUUUUUUAUUUUCCUCCCAUCAAAAACCCCCUCAUACUCUGAACUCGAGAAGAAACGAAUUAUUCCCAGUCCCUGUGGAUUCGACCCUACUCACCGCUAUAUACAAAAUUUGUAAUUUUCUUGAGUAGGUAUUUAUUAUUACACAGGUUCGGCACCUGUCUUCAUAUUUAGAUGGUCUUUGGAAUAAUAAUUGGUUAAUGAAAAUAUAACAUGUUUUAUUAUUAGUUAAACACUCAAAUUUCACAAAAAAAAUAAGACAUGUUAUAUUUGGGUUAAUAUAAUCACGUGCAAAGUACACAAACUAUUACUAGUUUAUUAAAUGGAUUGUUGAUUGAAUUCUUGUUGUUAAUCUCAAAAUUAAAUUAAAGUCCUACUUCAUUGACAUAAGCAAUUAUAUAUAACGUGUAAGACUAAUCAAAAUAAUUUGACAGUAUGGUGUGGUUAACCCAGUUGCAAAAUUAGUGCUGCUAGAUGUAUAAAAAGAUUAUUAAGACAUAAUUAAUGUUGUAUUAUUCAAAUGGACAAUGCUUUAGUAAUGAUAGUUAUGGUAACGAAAUAGUUUUUAUCUGAUAUAACUGAUUGUUACAAUUUUAGUGACCAUUUGAUUACUUGUUGGAUCUAUCCAUCUAAAUAGGAUAACAUCUAAAAAUAAGGAAGUAAGUUUCCCAUCUAAAAUAGUAAGUUAACUAUAAUAAAUUAGUAACUUUUAUACCUCAAAAGGUAAAUUGGAAUAAAUAUUAAACUUACUUUUUAAAUAAAUAAAUUACUACUUUAUAUCCCAAUCUUACUUUUUAGAGAGUAAGUUUAGUUCAAGUAAUAGUAAGUUUUUAUACAUAAAUAGUAAUUCUUACUGAUAAUAUGGUAAAUUUGAUUAAUGAUCAAAACUUACUGAUUUAUGGGACACAUGUACUAUUUUACUUUAAAAACUUAUCUCAGACUAGUAUUAGGAAGUUUAUUUGAAAUAAUGAUAAGUUUUAUUAAUGAUUAAAGCUUAGUAUCUUAGUUAAUAAGUACUCGUAAUAUACCUGUAUAAUACAUGAUUAUAGGUAUAAUUUUAAAAUUUUCUGUUUUUAUAUAUUUUAAAACAUUGUGAAAAAUAGUUUUACUUUUCACAUAACCUUGUAAAAUAUGUAAUAAAAUUUUGUCAUAUUAUAAGUUUUUAAGCAUUUUCAAUUUUUAAAAAGUUUUGAAAGUUUGGAUAACAAUAACAACAAAUCUUUCUAGUUAUAAAUAGAAUACCACUUGUUUAUAUAUCACAAUUUUUAUAAUUUAACACCUAUAAAUAUAAUAAGAUGAUAAAGUUUUAAUAAAUUUACAUCUAGGACACAAGAAUUAAUAAGAGUUAAAGCCCAAGCAAAAAUAAUAUAACAAUAAAAAUGAGAAAAUUAGUAUAACAAUUAAUACAAGAAAAUCAGUAUGAUAUGGACUUUUUUCCUUGGGAGAUUGUUCAUAAAAAUGAGAUCCAACAAUUAAAUGAAAAUCACAUACAUGUAUAAUAUAUUGUAUAGUUUAAAUUAAAUUCAGUUUACGUGUAAAACGGUUCUAAAAUAAUUAGCACACUAUGAUACGAUGUUAUUUUAGUAACAAAAAUUUUUUUUAUUGAAAGUCUCAAAUAUCCAUGACAUACAUAUGAGGAAUAUUUUACCAUAUUUGUAUCUCAUAUCUAAUCAUUACAGUUAAUUUAUCAUUUUUUAUAUAUGUGACAUGUAUUUAAGGGUGAUAGUGUGUAUACCGUCAAUAUAUAUUUGAUAAACUCAUAAAAUAUUGGCAGGAAAUUUCAGGCAUAGAAAGGUACAGACGAUGAGAGGGAGGACAUGCAAGGCCCCAUUCAUUAUGUGUCAUGUUUUAACCUAACAAACUUCGUCUUGUUUCUCAGGUGAAUAUUUACUGGUCAAUAGUAUCCCUAGCUAAUUUAAUUACACGAACAAUUUCGUCCGUCUAACUCAUGAAAUUAGCAACGACAAUACACAAAAUGACAAUCGUGGAACUUGAAUUAUAAAAGUAACAUCGCCAUUUUGUCAAACCGGUAUUGCUUGCCGAAUCUCCCAAUGAACUUUCUCACACUUUCUUAAAAGUAAUCCAUAAUUGUGUAUCAGCCCAUUGAUGGUGCCUCAUCCUAGAAAUGUGGAUGUGACCAGGUGAAAUUAAUCCGUGCGUAAAAAUUAAAUCUGUAGUGCUUCAUUGGAAUCCAAUUCUAGAUGACCUUUUUUUUUUUUCAAACCCCAUACACAGGGUGGGAUGCCAACCCAACUUUUAUUAUGAGAAAUAAAAAAUACAUAGAAAUGAACAAUAUCUUACAUCCAGACUGCCUGACAGAUUAAACAAAGCUACCUUUCAUAUCUACCCCUAAGAAAACUAGGAAAACCCCAUCUAUCUAAAGCAAUUCUAGAUGACCUUGACAUUGUUGAGAAUAAAUUUUACUACAUGUUAAGAAAACACAGAGAAACUAACAGGGCGCAUUCAUUUGAUUAAUUACUAGUGUUAAGGGCACACUUAUAGUUUAGAUUUUUCACAUCAAUACAAUUUAUGUAAAUUUAUUAAGAAUUUUGAUUUAUAUGGUUAUAGUAAUUUGGCAGUUACAAUACUUAAAGUGGUUAUGAGUUUUAUCAAAAAAAAAAAAAAAACAGAGAGAGAGAGAGUAGGGGGCGAUAGCUAUGAGUGUUGGCAAAAUGUGAUUUAUGUAAUUAAGAUAAAAAUUAGUUUUCAUAAGAAUAAAAUUGGAAGUUCAAAAAAUAAUAAAAUGAGUUUGCAUAUUGGUGUAGCAUAAUUUUUUGUCUCUAUUAAUAUUUUUGGACAAACUUAGAUAUUGAUCAAUGGUGGAACAAAAAAAAAAAGCACCUCUACCCUAAUAUUUGAAUUUGUUAAUGUCUACCUAAUAUCUUUGAACAUAAGAAAAUGCAUCCACAUAGUUUAUGUGUACGCUUUAAUGUGGACAUAGAGAUACAAAUGUCAUUAUGUAAUUAGGAUUAAAGUUUACAAAAGUUAGCCAUUCUAAGUCAUGUAAAAUAAUUGAAACUAAUAUAGGAUUAGGACAUAUAAAAAUUAUUAGACAUAUCAAGUUAGCUUAGAUUUUCAAGGUGAUUUUUUUUUCAAUUCCCGAUCAAAAGAUUAGUAUUAGAUUAUCAAAUAAUAAUUGAUACUCAAUUAAAUAGACUAAGAAACUCAAGUGAUACUCAAUAGAUUCCAUUCAUUAAUUGAUUGUUUUGAAUAUCACCCUUUAAAAAUAUUUUUGGCACGAGUAUCACCGGAAUAAAUACUUUUGAUUGAUGCUAAAACUUUUCAAAAAUGGAGGACGUAGUGACAUCAAGAUGUAACCCAUGGAUGUGAAGGAAAAGGAAAUAAUUCAAAGAUCAUAAAAAUCUGCUGCCGACAAUAUCUUGCUUUUGCUUCGGUUAAUUGAGAUGUAAAUAGUACGAGUGAUUCCCGAAAGCAUGGCAUGAGUUGUAAGAGCAACAUAGUUGUUUUUGCCAAAGUAACUCCUUGUCCGCGGAGGAAGGCUACUAUAUUAAUUUGUUUCUUUAGCGAGCUGGAAAGAUGACCAAGAUGAAACUGAAAUCACCAUUGAUGUGAGAAUUAUGUUGUUGAACAAUAUAUAAGAAACUCUACUAGCAAUUUUUAAUUUCAGACGUGACUGUUAAAAAAUAUACAUAAAGGUGAUCUAAAUCGAACCACAAAUAUUAUUUUCAUUGGGCAAGUCACAUUACAAUUAGGAAUAGGAUGUGGUCUCUUUCAUUGGGCAAGUCACUAAUGUUGACCAAAGACUAGGGACAAGGAUGCCAAGGUCGGCGAGUUACGGAGGGCCCAUCAUACGCCCUGAGAAGACGAGGUUUAGCUAGCUUUUGGGCCGGAAUUGCCUUGACUAUAUAUAGUCUACCUUCGUAUGAAUAUCAUACAUAUAUUAGCUGUUGUUUGCAGCUUAUAUGAUCUUAUUAAAGUAGCUUCCCUAGCCAUGGAAACAGGAGAUCCAAAUCUAAUCUCAUGAGUGCAACAAAUAUUAUUAUUUUUCAGGGAAGUGUUCCGGGCAGUACAAAUAUGGUUUUUACACUCGCCAACGUAUGAAAGCACGUAAUCCCAGUUCUCCAGGCAAAAUGCAAAGAGUUCUUUCAAUGUUUAUAUCCAGUAAUUAACUAUUCUUUGUUGUGAAACAGGCACCCAAAAAUACCGCUUAUAAAUCAAAAGAAAAAGGAGUUGUACUAUACCAUUACCAAAAAAAUCACGUUAAAGACUUCUUGCUUUAUGUGUAUUUUUUAACAGUCACAUUUGUACACAAAUUUGCUUUGAAAAAAAAUAAAGAAGAUGAGAGUGGCAAUUAAUGACGUUUUGACCCCUUUUGAGUACUUUCAUGACGUUUCUUUGCAAUUAUUUUGGUAGUGCCCGACAACUUUAGGACCAUUACUGGUUGCCACGUGAAAUAAUUUUAGUUUUGAUUGAGAGGUGUGAUUCCUCUGUUUGAAAAUUGAAUUGAGCUGACAGAAAGUUUUUUGCGAUUGACCGAAUUGUAAACGGCCCCAAACGUUUCAAAAUUUUAAUGAUUAAAGGGAGCCAUUUUUGAUUGGUUAGACAGCCGCAGGAAUGCUGAAUCGUGUAUUUUUCAAAAUAUAAUUACAAGUAACCCAUAAUAAUAUUUAUCAGUACAUAUGGAUUUCCAUUCAACAGAAUUACAAUUAACAACCACCAAAAUUAUCAGAAUAAAUACUAAUAAUUAAUUCCAAGGUAAUCUAAUCUAAUCUUAAACAGGGGUACCCUACUUCCUUCUAGUUAUCAUAAAAGGGUCACCAACUGAAAUUAUAAAAAUGAAACUUAUAGUUAACGUAGGUAUUGAUAAACUUCAUCUAAAAAACAUAGGAGUGAAAUUGGAGAUUGCGGUGCUUACCAAUUUCAAUGUGAAAAGCCGGUGUUUGAUGGCAAGGCAAAUACGCAAUUAACAUGGCAAUCAAUAGAGUUCAAAGCAUUAAAACUUCUCUAUUUGUUAGAAAACACCAUACUAGAAAUUGAAUUGUAAUAGUUUAUACAAAGCAUUAAAACUUCUAUUGUGCUUGAUAGCAAAUUUUUUCACAAAUAUUAUUUUGCUUUUAUCACAAUUACAAUUCUCAAUUAACUUUUUAUCUUUUUAACAAAUAUUUUUUAUCUUACAUAUAUUAUAUCACCAGAAUUACCACAAUAAUUAUUUCAAAUAACAUUUCAAGUGUUAUUUUAAUAUUAUUCAAAUAAUCUGGUCAUCAUAAAUAUUAUUCAAAUGUUAGUUUAAUAUAAUUAUUAAGUACUAGUUAAUCAUUCCAAAUAAUAUAUUAUCACGUAUGUGCUGACCUGCCACAGGGGUACUAAACGAACAUGCUGCCAGCUGUGGUGCAUUACGCCACUAAAACUCUUGUAGAAGAGAGCACUUGUUUUUGAGGUUUUGCAGAUCUAUCUUAUCUCCUUUCAUAUUUGAGAACUGUUUCAUCUCUAAAAUUGAGAUCGAUACCUUCUGGUUCCCUUGUUAAUCUUCCUUUUAUUAGAUGGCCUCCACUAGUGUCACUUGUAUUUCUUCCAUAUUGGAUGAUCUGCAAGCGCUGGAGAACGAUUGUCCAGAAUUUCCAGAUGGGCAGCAGAAGUACCUGAAACGCAUGCUAAGAUAUCUGAGAACAUUUCUUCUGUGUGCGAGAAAAUACAGCAACGAUGAUGUGCAAUUACCAUUUGACAACAAAAUGAACCAGGCAGAUAAUCAUUAUGCAAGCCUAGAAGCUCUGGCAGUUCGGAUUGGAGAUGCCAUUCCCAAGUGGGCAAAGGAGAUCCCAUCUUCUGAUCAGCCUUGGGAUGCGGUCCAUGAUUUAGAAAAAGACAUUAAAUCCUUCGAACAAGAAAUUUGCGAAUGGUAUGCCUUUUUCUUGGGUUCCUCGUCACAGCAGUCCACUAAUUCGGUCGUUCGACAAGAUGACCUCAUGGAAUUCAUGGAUUCUCUUCUGGAGAAUCUAGUGAAUUAUUGGUCAUGGAUGUGGCCGGCACAUGAAGUUGGACUAAUUAAAGCCCUUGAAGAGAAGCUGGCGUUCAUGAAAAACUUCAUCCGUUUUAUCAAACUGUAUGGUGUUGAAAACACAGAAUUGGGACCUUUGUUGGUUCACACUGAAGCUGUGGCUAUCAAUGCAGCACGCCUCUCUUACAAGUGCCAGUUUAAGAAGGGUUUCGGACCGCCCAAGGAUGUCGAGGAAAGCAUUUCGGAACUGCUGCAGAAGAUUGUUCCUGUUGAACCGCAAGUCCUUGAGACUUGUAUCCAGGCCCUGACUGCUUCAAAGUUAUCAAGACAAUCAUAUGGAGACGCAGAAGAGCAUCUGUUGAGAGACUUCUUCAAUUCUCUCUCGUGUAAUCUUUGGGAGACACUAAAGCAUGGUACUUGUCCUGUGAUUUUGCAGCAACUACAAAUGUUUUACGAGGGGCUAAAUUCCUUGAGAACCAUUCUCGUUGAUAAGCCAAAGAUGUUUGAUGAGAAAGUAAGAGAUCCAACCCGAGUCGUGAACUGUUAUGGAGGAGAUUUUAUUUCCCCUCUCUCUCUGAAUGCAAUCAAAGACGCUAUACAAGCCAAGGAUAUGGAUCUUGUGUGUAGUGAGUUGUUGGGAAUAAUUAAGCUCAUUGAUGCAAAAAUCACAGAGAAGUGUCCAGAAUCAUCAUCAUUCAAUUUUCCCAAGACCAAUGGAUUGGGCUUUGUUGAUUCCCUUCUAGAAAAGAUGAUGGAUGUGACGAGUUCUGAGGCUGGUUCGAUUGCUUUGAUCGAUCAUCCAAUUCAAAAAGUCCUGGAAGAACUUGAUUGUUUACGCUCUUUGCUGAGGAAAAUUGUGGAGCUGCACAACGAAGACGAGGACGUCCAGGCAAUUUGGAAUCGUAUUGUUGGGGUGGCAUAUAGGAUAGAGUUUCUUAUUGACUCCUUAAUAACUGGAAAUAUCUUAGAUUCUUCUUCAAUGUCCAUUCAUUCCAUUUUAGAAGAAAUGAACAUCAUUAAAGCUGCGGCCUUGAAGAUUUGUGAUAGCGAAAGACUUGGUGGAAAAGUUAAGGAAGUAACGAAGAGAUUCAAUCACAUGCCACAAGAAGGAAGUAAGCCAAUAGUCAAUGAUGUGGUGGUGGGAUUCGAGGAUGAGACGGCAUCGAUAAUCAAUCAACUCAGAAAUGGAUCACGCCAAGUGAGAAUUGUUUCCAUUGUGGGUAUGCCGGGAUGCGGUAAGACAACUUUGGCUAGAAAAGUGUACAAUGAUUCUUCAGUGAAGUCCCAUUUUUAUGAGCGUGCUUGGUGUACUGUUUCUCAAAUAUAUCAAAAGAGAAAUCUGUUGCUUCAAAUUUUGACUUGUAUUGAGUCCAAGCUUCCUGAGGAUGUUUUUAAGAUGGGUGAAGAAGAUCUGGCUCUUCAAGUCAAAAGACAUUUGCUGAAAAACAGAUAUCUCAUUGUUUUGGACGAUGUAUGGGACAUUGAUGCAUGGAACGGAUUGGAAGCCUCAUUCCCUGAUGAUGGAAAUGGAAGUAGAGUUAUCUUGACAAGUCGGCUCCGUGGUGUUGCUCCGCAAGACAAACUUGACCAUGAACCGUAUUCUCUUCCUCAACUCACUCCUAAUGAGACCUGGGAUUUGCUAAAAGGGAAGUUAUAUCCUGGACAAGAUUUGGCUCCUCCAGAACUAUGUGAAAUUCGACAGCAAGUCGUGGAAAUGUGUCAAGGACUACCUCUUACGGUUGUCAUUCUUGCCGGAAUUCUCUCAAGGAUGGAUCGAUAUGGUUGGAAAGAAGCUGUGGAAGGUUUAAGUUCAAGGAAUGUUUCUAGUACGGAACAGUGUACCGCUACAUUAGAGCUGAGUUACAAACAUUUACCUGAUACUUUGAAGGCAUGUUUUCUUUAUUUCGGAGGCUUUCCAGAAGACCAUGAACACAAUACCAAGAGGCUGAUUUCUCUAUGGGUCGCUGAAGGAUUUGUUCAAAAAAAUCAGCCCAAGAGAUUGGAGGAUGUGGCAAAUGAUUACCUGAUGGAACUCAUUGGCAGAAGCUUAGUCACAGUUUCCAAACCAAGAUCCAUUGAUGGGGUCAAAGCUUGUCGCAUUCACGAUUUGUUAUAUGAGUUUUGCGUGACAAAAGCCAAAGAAGAAAACUUUUCGCGGCUGGUACGUAGGGAUGAUAAACUAUCUGAUAUCAAUGUGCCAUGCUACCUACGCCGUUUAUGCAUUGAUUCUAAUCCUGAGCACUUUGACAAGUUAGGGUUAUUUGCUCCUGCCAUACGCCGUCUAUUAUUCUUAAGUAGUGGCAUGGGCAACGAAGUAUAUUUUGAUUUUAGGUUCAUUUUUCACAUCAUCAAACUUGUUACAGUGUUAGAUUUGAGCCAAAUUGGACUCGACCCCUUUCCUAGAGAGUUAGAACUGCUUGUUCACUUGCGCUACUUGGCGAUUCUAGGUCAAGGUAAACUCGAUCUCCCACCAUCAAUAUGCAAUCUCCCGAAUUUAGAAACUUUGAUUUGGCGAAAUUCUUCAUUUCAUUGUUCAGUUUCACUACCAGAUACCAUAUGGAACCUGAAAAAACUAAGGCAUUUAGAACUAAUCAGUGAGGGCCAUAAGUAUUAUUGUUUCUUCUUCCCUAGCGACAAUCUUGACAAUUCGUCACAGUUGCGUGACUUAGAUUUCUUGGCCUGUUUGUCUCUCGAUCCUGAGGAAAACAUCAGCAAGCUGUUGAGAAAGUUUCCAAAUAUCCGCAAACUGAGAUGCUCUGUCAAUCUCAAGCCAGAUGUUGAACAUCAUGUAGCAAUGGAUUGUCUAAGUCAGUUGGAAUCACUCAGUCUGAGUCGCGUCCUAUACGGUUAUCAGCAAUUUCAUAUAGAUUUCCAAUUUCCUUUGAGUAUUAAAAGGUUGACCCUGACUUAUUUUGGCAUGCCGUGGAGAAAAAUGGCAGCAAUUGGAAAUCUGCCAAAUCUUGAGGUGCUCAAAUUACUCGAGGAAGCCUUUGAGGGGGAAAUAUGGGAAAUGGAAGCAGAGAAGUUCCCUAAUGUUCGCUUCUUGAAAUUAGCUUCCUUGAACAUUGUGAAGUGGACAGCCUCCUCCGAGUAUGAGUACGAGGACCAGGACUAUUUUCCUCGUCUCCAGAAGUUAGUGUUGGAAAGCUGUGAUGCAUUGCAGGAGAUCCCUUCUUGUUUGGGAAAUAGUUCAACUCUUGAAAUAAUUGAGGUGUCUAAAUGUCCCAACUGUACCAGUUCAUUGGAGGAAAUUCAGGAAGAGCAAAGAAGCAAUGGAUAUACCGAUCUGAAGAUCCUUAUCUCAUAAUGGACGAUUGAUCUUCUCAAGUAAGUUUUUUAAGUCCUUCACUUAUGUACUGCUACGGGUUAUGUGUAUCUGUUUAGCAUCAAGAUCAAGUUGUUCUUUUUCUUAACCGUUUUUCUUUUUUUUUUCUUAAUAGCAUCAAGAUCAAGCUGCAAGUUUUUGGAGGAGAUCCCUUCUUGUUUGGAAAAUAUAUCAACUCUUGAAAUAAUUGAAGCGUCUAAAUGUCCCAACUCUACAAGUUCAGUGGACCAAAUUCAGGAAGAGCAAUUAAGCAGGGGAAAUACUGAUCUGAAGAUCCUUAUUUCAUGAUGGAUGACUGAUCUUUUCCAUUGUGUUUGGUUUGGUUGGGCAGCCACUUCAGUCUACUUUUCUUUAUUAAUCCUUUACUUCUGUACACAGAACUGGGAAUGUUGUAUCUGUUUGUUUUCUUUGCAAGUUUCUUGUUAUCCCUGUGACAGAAUCUUGUAGUGGAAUAUAUCACUUCCCGAGUCUGAUGUUUUCUUCCUAAAGAUUCAAGUCAAUGAAGCUGCUUUUUUUUGUUUUUUUUUGCCUCCUCAAAUAAGUCAGGAUUUCAAGAAUGUUUCGCCCUUAUCCGAAAUUAAGACUGCUGAGUUGCAUAUCAAAGGCAGAUAUAUUCGACCAAUAGAUGCAAUUAAAUUUGUUCGUGGAAUAGAAUACAUGCCAUCGGGCCUCAUAUUUACCAGGACUCAACAAUUUUAUUAGCUCAUUUUCAUCAUCUUCUUUUACAAUUUCUGAUCUUUUCCGACUCCUAAUAACAAUUUAUUAAAUCAUAUAAUCAAGCAGGUGCAGAAUUAAGAACCCAGCAUAUUAAUAUCUGUUACAUUGGAUAAUCAAAAAGGUUUGCAGCCUAAAGUAAAAUUUUGUUCCUCUUUUUUUUUUUGUUUUUUUUUUUCUAUCGACAGUGGGUAUCUGGACCCAUGGACUAGUUAUUGUAAAAUUUUGUUCCUCUUUCUCUAAGCAUUUGAUGCAUUUCUUGUGCACCAAAACUAAAACAAAUUCAGGAUCCGACUUAUCAAAAUUGGAAUAGAUUAGAUCAGAGGCUUCAGCAAAACAAGAAAGGGAUCACCCAGACAACUUCCUAAUCAGAAUAAAAGAUUAAUGAUGAAGGACAUGGGCCUAUUAAUAGUAGCAUCAUCUGAUCUGAGUUGAAGUAAUUUCUUGGAGUCCAAUUGGUUCUUUUCCCACCCUAACGUACCCAAAUACUCUGUGGAAGGUAAUAUUUUAAUAUCAGUGCUCUGCUUGAACAACUAAAAGUUUCAAGGAUCUCUGGUAGUUAACGAAAUAACUUCUGAUAGAAGCACAUACCAAAAUUGAUUGUUGUACAAAAUGAAGGAAGAAACCCAAAAAAAAAAAAAAACCCUCCCAUUCCUCCCUACACUCUUUUUACAAUUCUACUCCCAACUACUAGAUUUUGAAAUCCGAUUAAAACUUAAGUAAAUUUGCCAGAUAUAACUUGAAAUGAUCAUGUAAAUGGUACUCUAAUUGAAUUUUAUCUCUCCCAAAUUUAGAGAUUGAAAAGUCUAUUAAAUUAUUUUAACUUUAUAUUAUUGCAUAUAAGUAAAAGGGAUGUAAUUUUAAAAAUGGAAAAAAUAUUUAAAAUUGAGUGCGACGUAUUACAAAGAUAAAGAUUAUUAUUGCUGCCAAAUGCACUUUACAUUCUUCUCUUUCACUUUUAUUCAUUAAUAAAUUAAUAUUUAACGAUAUUUUAAAUUAUCUUAAAAUAUUUAGCACUAGUUAAACCUAUAUAAACCAAUUAAAAUUGCCACCAACCAAAAUAUACACUUUUCCCAUCUAUUUUAUUUUAUUUAUGCAUUAAUACUUGCAUUUUAUUACAACGAAGUUUUUCUGUUUAUUAACCAAAGCAAUACAUUUAAGAUGCUCUCUAUAAUAUAUUUACACAUGACAUUCAACUCAUAAAUAAUCCUUCAAAUUUUGUUACCUCGUUGGGCAUUGGCCAGGCCUUACAAGUUUGAUAAAGUUAACUAUCACUUUUGCCUGUAAAUGUUAAUGACAGAACUAAGAGUGGUAAGUCAUAAGCCCUUUGGACGUUCAUUUCCAGAUCAUGGAUAUGGACAUCCAACUGGAUUAAGGAACCACAUCCCAUCAAAACACAUAUAUCAGUCUUAAUCAAUUGCAGUAAAAUUGUGCCUAAUCUGGUUCAGUUCAGAAUAUUAAUGUUGUCUACAUAAAAUCUUGCUAGAUAUAUUAAGAAAAAUAAAAACAACAACAACAACAUGAGGAAAAUGCACACCUUGGUGGUACUGCUUGAGGACGUGGCAUCUAGAAUAAAUGCAGACCAACAACCUUGGUGGUAAAGAUUUAAUGUGUUUUUUGAUACUGGACAGACCUUUGAGAAAUAGAUAGGGUACAAACCCAAUGCUUGAUAACUUGUUCAAAUUGAGCUCUUACAAACCAGAAUUAAUCUUAUUUUCCCCAUAUUUCGAACUUGUGGUUCACAAUCUAAACUUUUAUUUUGAGCGAUUUGGAUGUGAUAGUUCACACUCUAAACUUUUACUUUGGCGACAAUUUUUAGCAGUUUAGGGUGCAAAUUGUCGACUCCAAUAAUUUGAGGGUCCAAAGAAAUUGCACUGAAAUUCAAACUCUGUGGCCUGAAUUCAUUCUCACCCUACCCUACGUCUUUGAUGGAAAUGCAUAGUUAGCUGAAGGUCUCUCUCUGAUUGAAUCGGUUAGGUCAUUGCUAGUACUUCAACAUGCAACUCACGUACCCCUAUAUACUAGUAGCAAUGCAAUGAAUGACAUUAGUGGAGUUAUUCCAAUAUGGCACCCAAGAAUGAAGAUUGAUGCUAAAACUUUUCAAAAAUGGAGGAUGUAGUGACAUCAAGAUGUAACCCAUGGCUGCAAAGGAAAAGGAUAUAAUUCAAAGAACUUAUAAAUUUGCUGCCGACAAUAUCUUGCUUUUGCUUCCGUUAAUUGAGAUGUAAAUAGUACGAGUGAUUCCCGAAAGCAUGGUAUGAGUUGUAAGAAUGCUUUCCCCUUGAGAAACAUAGAUUCUUUUUGCCAAAAUAACUAACUCCUACUCCUCGGAGGAAGGCUACUGUGUUAAUAUGUUUCCUUAGCGAGCUGGAAAGAUGACCAAGAUGAAACUGAUGUCACAUUGUUGACGUGAGAACUAUAUUGUUGAACGAUUUUAAAAAAUUUUGCGAGCAAACUUUGGUUCCAAAUAUAUGUUCUGUCAUGGUUCCAAAUACAUGUGAUCUAAUUGAAUCCACGCAAAUUUGCUUUAAAAAAAAAAAGGAUGAGACUGACACUGGACCCCUUUUGAAGACUUUCAUGACGUUUCUUUGCAAUUAUUUUAGUAGUGCCCCCACAACUUUAGGACUAUUACUGGUUGCCACGUGAAAUAAAUUUAAUUUUGACUGAGACAUGUGGCUCCUCUGUUUUCCAGUGCAUGAGCUGUGUGGAAAUUGAAAGUAUAACAAACGCUAAAACGAUUGAGCUGACAAAAAGUUUUUGCGAUUGCCAAAUUCAAACGUUUCAAACUUUUAACGAAUAAAGGGAGCCAUUUUUGAUUGGUUAGACAGCCGCAGCAAUGCUGAAAUUAUCACUACAUAUGGAAUUCCAUUCAACAACAUUACAAUGAACAACCACCAAAAUUAUCAGAAUAAAUACUAAUAAUUAAUUCCGAGGUUAUCUAAUCUAAUCUUAAAUAGUGGUGCCCUACUUACUACUAGUUAUCAUAGAGGAGUCGUAAACUGAAAUUAUGAAAAUGAAACUUAUAGUUAACGUAGGUAUUGACAAACUUCAUCUAAAAACAAAGGACUAAAAUUGGAGAUUGUGGUGCUUACCAAUUUUACUUAAAGCGAUUGUAGACGGCUCUCAAUGUGAAAAGCAGUUGUUUGAUGGCAAGGCAAAUACGCAAUAAACAUGGCAAUCAAUACAGUUCAAAGCAUUAAAACUUCUAUUUGUUAGAAAACACCAUACUUGAAAUUGAAUUGUAAUAGUUUAUACAAAUUAUUGUGUUUGAUAGCAAAAUUUUCCACAAAUACUAUUUUGCCUGUAUCACAAUUACAAUUCCCAAUUAACUUUUUUAUCUUUUUAACAAAUAAUUUUUAUCUUACAUAUAUUAUAUCACCAGAAGUGUCACAAUAAUUAUUUCAAAUAAUAUUUCAAGUGUUAUUUUAAUAUUAUUCAACUAAUCUGGUCAUCAUAAAUAUUAUUCAAGUGUUAGUUUACUAUUAUUAAGUACUAGUCAAUCAUUGCUUGGCUUGAACCAAUGCAUUGCAUGCUUGAUAUAGUACUGGGCAUUGGUCCCCCGGGGUCGCGGGGUGCUCAUAUUAUACUUUUUUUUUGGGUGUGUUUUUGGGGUAUAAUUAGUGCUGCAAACGAAUUGAACCGCUCGCGAGCGGCUCGAGUCGAAAUCGAGCUCAAAAUAUUAAGCUUGUUAACUCGCGAGCCGGCUCGCGAGCUCGAGUAUAUAUAUAUAUAUAUAUUUUUUAUUUUAAGUAUAUAUAUAUUAUAUUUUUUAAAUUUUAAUAGUAAAAUUACAUAUAUAUCCUUAAUAUUUUAUUAUUUAUUAAGAAAAAAAUAUUAUUUUAUUUAUUUUUUAAAAAAUAAAAUAAUUAUUUUUUAUUUUUUUCGAGCUCGAGCUUGAAAUUGUCAACUCGUCGAGUUUGAGCUCGAGUUCAAGUUCAAUAAAAUUAUGUCGAGACUUGACUCGAUUAGACCAAAACUUGAUUCGAUUCGGCUUGUUUGCAGCCCUAGGUAUAAUAAGUUUUUUUUUUAUUAUUUUUUAUAAGUGGAAGAUUUUAGAUUUAAAAUCUAUUACUUAUCAUUCCUCUCAUCUAACCAUCCAACCCAACCCUCCUUUGUUUGUUUAUUAAUUAUAUGUACAUGUAUUUUAUAUUGGAACAUGUGUAAAGAUUUGUAACAUAAUUUUUAUAAUGUAGUAUGAAUUUGUCAUAUUUUGUAUUAUUUUGAAUGAUUAUGAUUUUGAUAUGCUUUUCUAUUGGUAGAGUGGUUAAUUGUUUUGCAUUUUUAAUUUUUUGGUUUUUUUAGUGUUUACAGUAUAUUUAUGAUUUGUCUAAUUGUGAUUUGAUUAUUGGUUCUGAUUAAUUUUAUGCUAGUGAAAGUUGUGAGAGUGGAUUAAUUAAAGGAUUUCUUAGUGUGUACGAUAGCAUAAUUUGAGGUGUAUUAUUCUAGGUUGUGUUGAUUUUUGUAAUAUUUAGUAUUGAUUAGUAAUGUGUAAAUUGUAUCAAUUUUUUUAAUUGUUUGUUGUUGGUACUAUUUAACUUGUGAAGAAUAAUUUGGCAGCUAAAGUUGUUCUUUUGUUUGCGUGUCAUAUGUUUUUAGCUACACAUGGAUGGAUAUAGUGGUAUUUUUCUUGUGUCUGAAACCCAAACAUAGCGGGCUAGCGUAAGGUGGCAGACCCAAAAAAUUCUUGCAAAAAACGUGAGAGGCCCGAAGAAAUCUGGGUAGACAUAUGAAGCAGGCAGCGACCUAACCACUAAAAUUACUAUUUGCAAUAAAAAGACCAAAAAGGCCAAAAUCUGUAGAGAAAUAACAGCGAAACUAGCACAAAAGGGUAAAAUUGGAAUAGGGCCACCAAAAUUCAGAACUUAUGGCCGACAAACAUGAAACAGAGAUGACCCCACAAUGAGUUCCAUCACACUGAAAAAGACAAAUGUGGACAAAAUCAACACUCAAAUUACAAAGAAACCAGCGAAAAUCACUAUUCCCAACCCUUCGGCGCUUUAUGUAUUUAGAGAUUAGCUUCACUCCCUAACUGGCCCUACUUUUUCAGGUUUCAAUUUCUAAAAAGUUUUAAGCAAAUUUGGAGCUAUCUAACUGGCCCUACUUUUGCAGUUUUCAAUUUCUAAAAAGUUAUAAGUAAAUCAAAUUUAAAAAAUUGUUAAAAAUUAAUUUUUUUAAUGAGAACCCACUAAACCAAUGUUGCAGGAAUUUUAAGAGAGUAAAACAAAAGGGAGGGGAGCAAAAUCUUGAAGAAAUUGGAAGACUUAUGUUGUGUUUGAAUUGUGUUUUUCUAAAAAAGGAAUAUUAUUUUUCGUAAAUAUAUUUUUAAAUCAUUUUUUUUAUCUUAUUGCUACCAUAUAUAUUUUUUUAAUAAAAAAUCUAACAUAUCCAAACCUAAACGGAUCAAUGAACGCCCUCAAGUGCUUCAGAAAACGUAAAGGAAAAUAGGGACAAAUUAGAAAUUAAUUAACCGCGUGAGAAUCAAUUAAACAGGCAAAACUAUUGAAAACAAAAGUUUGAUUGUGGGCGUUUGCCAAUCGCCUUUUGAAUGCAGAAGAGAUUCGAGGGAAGACCAUCUCGGUCAAAAGAGGGAUGGUGGUGAGCUGCCACUGGUCCAUUACGCCACUAACACUCUUUAACCAUGAAAACCAUCAAAGUUUCUCAUGUUGACACUAUAACCAGUCUAUUGUUACUGUUUAUAACCCAACUGAUACUAGUACUAUUACUUAAAAUAUUAUUUAAAAUAAUUACUGUAGCACUUUUUAUGAUAUGAUAUAUGUGAGAUAAAAAGUUGAUUGAGAAUAUAAAAAGGUAGGUUGGAAAAUGUGUUUGUGAUGCAAGCGAAAUAUUGUUUGGAAUAAUUUUGGUAUCCAAACACACUGUUUGUAAUGUUCUGAUGAUAAGAUUGUUAAGAGCGUAAUCAAUGCUGUACCGUUCAAACAAUUGGACAUGAAAAUUGGGCAUUUUUUUCUUAUGGAUUAAUCUUUUCUACACUGACAGUAUAUACACUAUCAACGUUGGAUAAAUGGUAACUAUACAAAAUUUGAAUUUGAAAUUUAACUUUUGCACACAUGUCAUGAAUCCAACGGUGUGAUAGUGUAUACACUGUCAGUGUAUAUAAAAUUUAUUCUUUUCUUAUAAUUAUAUUAGAUAAUCUUAUAAUUUUAUAGAGAAGUAAAUUUAAACUUAUUACAUGAGGACAUUUUUGGAUAUUCAAUUUAAAAUUUGACCAAGUCAAUAUUAUUUUAAAAUUUUGUUACAAAAAUUAUCAAAUUAAGGGAGAUAUGUGUAAUUUUCAAAACCACAGAGAAGUUCAGUGAAAUUGUCAGAAACCUCCAUUAUCCCUAGAAAUUAAUUAACCGGGAGGGAAUCAACUAAACAGUUAAAAAUAUUGAAAACCAAAGUUUGAUUGUGGGCGCCAAGCGCCUUUUGAAUGCUGAAGAGAGUCGAGAGGAGGCAGGGUUCUCGGAUGAAGAAUGGGGUAAGUAUGGCUGGGGACCAGACAUGCUUCGAGCAAACCAAUAGGAUGGUGGUCAAAAGAGGUGGCGGAUCUGUUUGAGAAACAGAUUAGCUAACGCAUGUGCAGUGGGGUCGUUUUUUUCUUUCAACCAUCCAAGAAGUAUCCCAUGACUAUUUGUCAUGUUGGGUAGAGAGCCCUUGUUUUUGAGGUUUUGCUGAUCUUUCUUAUCUCCUUUCAUAUUUGAGAACUGUUUCAUCUCUUAAAUUGAGAUCGAUACAUUCUGGUUCCCUUGUUGAUCUUCCUUUAUUAGAUGGCCUCCACUAGUAUCACUUGUAUUCCUUCCAUCUUGGAUAAUCUGCAAGCGCUGGAGAACGAUUGUCCAGAAUUUCCAAAUGGGCAGCAGAAGUACCUGAAACGCAUGCUAAGAUAUCUGAGAACAUUUCUUCUGUGUGCGAGAAAAUACAGCAACGAUGAUGUGCAAUUACCAUUUAACAACAAAAAGAACCAGACAGAUAAUCAUUAUGCAAGCAUAGAAGCUCUGGCAGUUCGGAUUGGAGAUGCCAUUCCCAAGUGGGCAAAGGAGAUCCAAUCUUCUGAUCAGCGUUGGGAUACGGUCCAUGAUUUAGAAAAAGACAUUAAAUCCUUCGAACAAGAAAUUUGCGAAUGGUAUGUCUUUUUCUUGGGUUCCUCGUCACAGCAAUCCAGUAAUUCGCUCGUUCGAAAAGAUGACCUCAUGGAAUUCAUGGAUUCUCUUCUGGAGAAUCUAGUGAAUUAUUGGUCAUGGAUUCGGCCGGCACAUGAAGUUGGACUAAUUAAAGCCCUUGAAGAGAAGCUGGCGUUCAUGAAAAACGUCAUCCGUUUUGUCAAACUGUAUGGUGUUCAAAACACAGAAUUGGGACCUUUGUUGGUUCACACUGAAGCUGUGGCUAUCAAUGCAGCACGCCUCUCUUAUAAGUGCCAGUUUAAGAAAGGUUUCGGACCGCCCAAGGAUGUCGUGGAAAGCAUUUCGGAACUGCUGCAGAAGAUUAUUCCUAUUGAACAUCAAGUCCUUGAGACUUGUAUCCAGGCCCUGGCUGCUUCAAAGUUAUCAAGACAAUCACGUGGAGACACAGAUGAACAUCUGUUGAGAGACUUCUUCCAUUCCCUCCUGUGUAAUCUUUGGGAGAAACUAAAGCAUGGUACUUGUCCUGUGAUUUUGCGUCAGCUGCAAAUGUUUUACGAGGGGUUAAAUUCCUUGAGAACCAUUUUGAAGGAGAAGCCAAAGGAGUUCGAUGAGAAAGUAAGAGAUCCUACUCGAGUCGUGAAAUGUUAUGGAGGAGAUUUUAUUUCCCCACUCUCUCUGAAUGCAAUCAAAGACGCCAUACAAGCCAAGGAUAUGGAUAUUGUGUGUUCUGAGUUAUUGGAAAUAAUUAAGCUCAUCGAUGCAGUAAUCACAGAGAAGUGUCCAGAAUCAUCAUCAUUCAAUUUUCCUAAGACCAAUGGACUGGGCUUUGUUGAUUCCCUUCUAGAAACGAUGAUGGAUGUGACAAGUUCUGAGGCUGGUUCGAUUGCUUUGAUCGAUCAUCCAAUUGAAAAAGUCCAGGAAGAACUUGUUUGUUUACGCUCUUUGCUGAGGAAAAUUGUGAAGCUGCACAAUGAAGACGAGGAGGUCCAGGCAAUUUGGGAUCGUAUUAUUGAGGUGGCAUAUAGGAUAGAGUUUCUUAUUGACUCCUUAAUAACUGGAAAUAUCUUUGAUUCUUCUUCAAUGUCCAUUCAUUCCAUUUUAGAAGAAAUGAACAUCAUUAAAGCUGCAGCCUUGAAGAUUUGUGGUAGCGAAAGACUUGGUGGAGAAGUAAAGGAACUAACGAAGAGAUUCAAUCACAUGCCACAAGAAGGAAGUAAGCCAAUAGUCAAUGAUGUGGUGGUGGGAUUCGAGGAUGAGACGGCAUCGAUAAUCAAUGGACUCAGAAAUGGAUCACGCCAAGUGAAAAUUGUUUCCAUUGUGGGUAUGCCGGGAUGCGGUAAGACAACUUUGGCUAGAAAAGUGUACAAUGAUUCUUCAGUGAAGUCCCAUUUUUAUGAGCGUUCUUGGUGUACUGUUUCUCAAAUAUAUCACAAGAGAAAUCUGUUGCUUCAAAUUUUGACUUGUAUUGAGUCCAAGCUUCCUGAGGAUGUUUUUAAGAUGGGUGAAGAAGAUCUGGCUCUUCAAGUCAAAAGACGUUUGCUGAAAAACAGAUAUCUCAUUGUUUUGGACGAUAAAUGGGACAUUGAUGCAUGGAACGGAUUGGAAGCCUCAUUCCCUGAUGAUGGAAAUGGAAGUAGAGUUAUCUUGACAAGUCGGCUCCGUGGUGUUGCUUCCCAAGACAAACUCGACCAUAAACCAUAUUCUCUUCGUCAACUCGCUCCUAAUGAGAGCUGGGAUUUGCUAAAAGGGAAGUUAUAUCCUGGACAAGAUUUGGCUCCUCCAGAACUAUGUGAAAUUCGACAGCAAGUCGUUGAAAUGUGUCAAGGACUACCUCUUACGGUUGUCAUUCUUGCCGGAAUUCUCUCAAGGAUGGACCGACAUGAUUGGAAAGAAGCUGUGGAAGGUUUAAGUUCAAGGAAUGUUUCUAGUACGGAACAAUGUACCGCUACAUUAGAGCUGAGUUACAAACAUUUACCUGAUACUUUGAAGGCAUGUUUUCUUUAUUUUGGAGCCUUUCCAGAAGACCAUGAACACAAUACCAAGAGGUUGAUUUCUCUAUGGGUCGCUGAAGGUUUUGUUCAAAAAACUCAUCCCAAGAGAUCAGAGGAUGUGGCAAAUGAUUACCUGAUGGAACUUAUUAUCAGAAGCUUAGUCACAGUUUCCAAACCAAGAUCCAUUGAUGGGGUCAAAGCCUGUCGCAUUCACGAUUUGUUGUAUGAGUUUUGCGUGACAAAAGCCAAAGAAGAAAACUUUUCGCGGCUGGUACGCAGGGAUGAUAAACUAUCUGAUAUCAAUGUGCCAUUCUACCUACGCCGCUUAUGCAUUGAUUCUAAGGUCGAGCACUUGGACAACUUGAGGUUAUUUUCUCCUGCCAUACGCAGUCUAUUAUUAUUCAGUCACGAUGAAGACAGUAGAAGUUGUUUUGACCUUCGAUUCAUUUUUCACAUCAUAAAACUUGUCAAAGUGUUAGAUUUGAGCCAAAUUAAACUAGGAGGCAUCUUUCCUAGAGAACUAGAACUGCUUGUUCACUUGAGGUACUUGGCAAUUCUAGGUAAUGGUAGUCCUAUCCCAGCAUCAAUAAGUUAUCUCACGAACUUGGAAACUUUGAUUUGGCGAAAUUCUAGGAGUCAUGGUUCAGUUUCAUUGCCAGAUACUAUAUGGAAUCUGAAGAAAUUAAGGCAUUUACAACUAAUGAACGAGGUCGAUAAGAAUUAUCAUUUUAGAUUCCCUGAGAACAACCUUGACAACUCUUCACAGUUGUGUGACUUAGAUAUCUUGUCCUGUCUAAGCCUCAAUCCUCGGAAGAACAUCAACAAGCUGUUGAGAAAGUUUCCAAAUAUCCGCAAGCUGAGAUGCUCUCUUUAUCUCGAUAAGGGCUGUGAAUAUCAUGUAGCAGUGGAUUGUCUAAGUCAUUUGGAAUCACUCAGUCUGAGUUGCUUUGUUUACGGCGGUGACCGAUAUCAACUAGAUUUCCAAUUUCCUUUGACUAUUAAAAAAUUGACCGUCUUAUUUUCGCUUGCCAUGGAGCAAAAUGUCAGCAAUUGGAAAUCUACCUGCAGUGGCCCCGUUCUGGGCCUGGACACGUGGCAGCCCGGACAAGGCCGAGCUGGGCUUCGGCCCUGGGCCCCCGGCAGCCGGCCUGGGCCUCGCUGCUAGGGCUCCUGGAGGGGCGCAGGUCCAUCCCGAAGAGGUCGGGGGCAAUCCCCCUGAGUGCGGGAUAUGGGCUAUCCUGGGCAAGUCCCGAAACGUGCGGAGGUCGGACUCCUUCAUAGGUAUAAAUAAUAACACACCUUCACUGUACAAGGUACGCUCACUAUAGGCCAAUUACCCCCGGCUGUUACCACUCCCCGUGAACCCUACUCACCGGAGAACUAACUUGGCCGUCGGAGUGCCCUCGGGGACAACCCUCGGGCCCCCCUUCUUCAGUCCAUCUUUGUUUGUUUUGCAGGCUUGGGAAUAGCUCUUCCAUCAGCACCCCGAGCUGAUCAGGUCAGCUCUCCUAGGGGAAGUUCCGUGCUUCUUCAGUUGGCGCCGUCUGUGGGAAACGUAAGGUAAGUAAGAUUGUGCUGAUGGCUAGGACGCGAUCCAGGCGCACGGUAGAAAGCAUCGGCCCGGGGGGCGGUGAAGGAUCCCAGCAAAAGGAAGCCGAGGCGUCUCGGGGCGCCGGAGGCUCAGCCCUUUCAGGGGAGCGCAGGCAGCAGAUCUUCCAGUUUGUGACGGAGAACCUCCCCAUGCUGGAAGAUAUAAUCCGGCAGGCGAAGGAGGGAGAAGGGGCUGGGGGUGCGCAGACCUCCAAGGCCAAGGGGAAGGAGAAGGGGUCACCCCCUGACCCCUCCGAGGGAGAGUCACGAGAACAGCUCCCCAAGAGAAAACGACCACGGACUCCACCUCGCCCACGAGCCUCGGUAAUCGGAGACAGCGAGGGGUACUCUCGCGACAGGUCCGUGGGGAGUAGGAGGAGGAACCCCUCCCCGAGGAAGCCUGGUCGGAAUGGGUUGGGCCGUCCUCCCUCUCGGUCUAUCAGGAGCCGAUCGCGCGACCCCCUCCGCUUGAAGCCUGUCCAAAACGAGCUCGAGCAGAUCUUGCGGCCGCGACCAUACGAGGACAACUACGCCUCCUCGCCCUUUACCCGGGAGAUAGAGGACUACCCGCUACCCCGGAGGUUUAAGAUUCCGAGCAUCGAGAUGUACGAUGCCUCCACAGACCCGGAGGACCACCUUUCGAUCUUCUUGACGCACAUGCGCCUGCAAACCGCCGCGGAUGAGGUCCGCUGCAAGACCUUCCCCAUGUUCCUAAAGGGGAAGGCGCGGCUCUGGUUCCAGGGGUUGAAACCGGGGUCCAUAAGGAGUUUCCCCGAGUUGGCUCGGCAGUUUGCAGCCCAGUUCGUCUCCUCGAAGGUCUACGCGAGGAACGCAACCCACCUGAUGUCCAUCAGGCAAAGGCCCGACGAGUCGCUGAAAAAUUUCAUGACCCGCUUCAAUGCGGAGAGCUUGCAGGUCAGGGAUAAAGACGAGAAAGUGGUAAUGGCCGCCUUCACAAAUGGGCUCAGGGUAGAGGAACUCUUCUAUGACCUGGCCAAGAAGCCUCCCGUGGACCUGGAGGAGCUCUUACGCAGGGCGCAUGAGGCCGCUAAUGCGGAAGAGGCAGGUCGUCUGAAGAAAGAAUCAGAUCGGGAGCUCGGAGAUCGGAAAGGUCGGGCAAACCCCUCAGAGGGCAAGGACGUCCCGUCCAAGAAAAACGUCUUCGACCGACUCUCGAAGGAGAAGGGCCCUGCUCUGCCGCCCCUCCCAGAGAAGACCUACACCCCCCUGACUCGACCCCGAGCCCAGGUCCUGGCCGUCAUGGAGGCGGAGGGCCUGGGAGAUCGGCCGCCUAAGAUGGGGACGCCCCAGAACAAGAGGAACCAGGAUAGGUACUGUGCCUUCCACCGUGAUGUCGGGCACGACACGGAGGGGUGCUGGGCCCUGCGCAAGCAAAUCGAGGACCUGAUCUAGCGAGGCUUUCUAGGACAGUUCGUGCGCCGCCCCGGCCAGGGAUCCGGACGCAACCACUACAGGGAUAGGCACGAGGGACGGCGACGCGACCUCCCUGAGCUGCGUGACGCCCCUCGGGGCCACUCUCCCGACCAGGACACCCAGAACCUGGCGGGAGUGAUAAACACCAUCGCCGGAGGCCCCACGGGGGGGGACAGUCAUGCAGCUCGGAAGAACAAGCGACCACCCCCCAAAGGGGACGACUCCUUGAAGCGCUUGCGCAUGGAUGAGGAGAUUACCUUCGGACCAAGGGAUGCGGUCCCCCUGGCUUCCGGGAACCACGAGGCCAUCGUGAUAGACAUUGCUACCAACAAUUACCGAGUGAAGAAGGUGUAUGUCGACCAGGGUAGCGCGGUGGACAUCAUGUUCUACAGGGUGUUCAGGGAGCUCGGCUUAAGGGAUGACCAGCUCACCCCGGUCCGGACACCUCUGGUGGGGUUUACUGGACCGCCCAUCAGCUCGGAAGGGAUGAUCACCCUGAUGGUCACAGUAGGACAGGCCCCUAAGUGCCGGACUGUUCCCGUUAACUUCGUGGUGGUCAAGCAGUCGUCCCCGUACAAUGUGUUUUUGGGGAGACCUGUUUUGAACGCCCUACGGGCUGUUUCCUCUACUUAUCACCUCAGCGUUAAGUUCCCUACCCCGGGAGAGAUAGCCGAGGUGCGCGGCGAUCCGGAGGUAGCCAGGGCUUGUUACCUAGACACACUCCGGGGGCAGGAAAAGGUGGUCGCCCAGACAACCUGUCUGGAGCCCUACAUCCCGGGGGAUGAGGCCCAACAGCUGGGCACCCAGGAUGAGAUUGAGGAGUUCCCCCUAAGGGAAGAUCGGCCCAACCAGGUUCUCCGCAUUGGAGCCUUGUUGCCCGCCAAGGAGAAGGAAGACCUGAAAGCUCUGCUAAGAGAGUACUCCCAGGUCUUCGCUUGGUCGGUGGAUGACAUGCCUGGGAUCCCAACGGACCUGGCAGUCCACCACCUUGACGUCGACCCUCACUUCAAGCCGGUGAAACAGAAGAAAAGGAGUUUCGCCCCUGAGAGGAACGAGGUGAUCAAGGCGGAGGUCGGCAAGCUGUUGGAGUCCAAGAUCAUCCUGGAGGUCUACUACCCGACCUGGUUGGCCAAUCCGGUCCUAGUCAAGAAGGAGGACCAGACCUGGAGGAUGUGCGUAGACUUCACGGAUCUUAACAAAGCCUGCCCGAAGGAUUGCUUUCCCCUGCCUAGAAUCGACAGGUUAGUAGACUCUACUGUGGGUUUUGAUGUUUUAUGCUUCGUGGAUGCUUUUAAGGGAUACCACCAGAUAGAGAUGGCUAAGGAGGACCGGGAUAAGACCUCCUUCAUCACCGAGGAAGGGACCUACUGCUACAGGACCAUGCCAUUCGGACUCAAGAACGCAGGGGCUACUUACCAGCGCCUGGUCAACAAGCUGUUCAAAGGUCAGAUCGGCAGAAACAUGGAGGUCUAUGUGGAUGACAUGAUCGUCAAAAGCCAGACGGACCAGCGGCUCAUACCCGACCUUAAGGAGAUCUUGGAUAUCCUACUGGAGAGCCGGAUGCGCCUGAAUCCGAAGAAGUGCACCUUUGGAGUAAGGUCGGGAAGGUUUCUCGGUUUCCUAGUGUCCCGAGAGGGAAUCCGAGCCAACCCGGAUAAGCUCCAGGCCAUUAUGGACAUGGCCCCUCCGAGGAACGUGAACGAAGUCCAACGACUCACGGGAAGGAUGGAAGCCCUGAACAGAUUCCUCUCGCGUUCCGCGGUUCGGGGGCUACCGUUCUUCCAAGUCUUGAAGGCGCCCAAGGAUUUCCAUUGGACAGAGGAGUGCCAGAAGGCCUUCACCGACCUGAAAGCUUACUUGGCCGAGCUACCAACUCUGACUGCCCCGGAGCUGGAGGAGACCCUAUUCCUAUACCUGUCCGCUUGCAACGAGGCCGUCAGCGCGGUCUUGGUGCGGGAGGACAGGGGGACUCAGAGGCCGGUGUAUUACGUCAGCCGAGCUCUACAGGGGCCAGAGACGCGGUACUCGCCAGCAGAGAAGCUGGUCCUUGCCUUGGUACAUGCUGCUCGCAAGCUCCGCUCUUACUUCCAGGCUCACAGCAUUGUAGUCCUGACCGACCAGCCCCUACGGCAGAUACUCACCAAACCCGAGGUCUCGGGUAGGAUGACCAAAUGGGCCGUCGAGCUGGCCGAGCACGACCUUAGUUAUCGGCCUCGCACCGCGAUCAAGGCCCAGGCCUUAGCAGAUUUCCUUGCAGAGGGGGCUAACUUAAACUUGACCGAGUUGGCCCCGACACCCACGGACACCUUGGCGGAGGAGCCUUGGGUGCUGUUCGUGGAUGGCGCCUCGAGCAAGGAAGGGAGCGGAGCUGGCCUGCUCCUCACCUCGCCCACCGGGGAAGAACUGACCUACGCGCUUCGGUUCGAUUUCCCGGCGUCCAACAACGAGGCAGAGUAUGAGGCCCUCCUGACGGGGCUGCGAAUAGCCCACCAGAUGGGCGUCACCGCAAUCAGGGUUCGGAGUGACUCUCAGCUCGUCGUCCUCCAGGUCCGCGGGGAGUACGAGGCCAAGGACGAGGUUAUGAAGAAAUACCUGGCUAAGGUACGGAAGGCGGCGGCCUUGUUCAGAACAUUUGAAAUAGCACGGGUGCCGAGGUCCCAGAACAAGCGGGCAGACGCCCUAUCGAAAUUGGCGUCCUCCUCAUUUGCCCACCUGAGCAAGGAGGUCUUGGUAGAGGUGGUAAAACAAAAAGUAUCGAUCAGGUCCAGGUCCUGACUAUAGACGGCUCGGCCACCUGGAUGACGCCCCUCAUAGACUUCCUCAGUUCAGGUGCCCUCCCCGAAGACAAAGCCGAGUCUCGACGAAUCCAGCUUCGGGCUGCCAAGUACGCCUACACCGGGGGUACCCUCUAUAGGAGGUCGUAUUUGUCCCCUUGGUUAAAGUGCGUGACCCCCGAGGAAGGUGAUUACGUACUGCGCGAGGUCCAUGAAGGAAUUUGUGCGGCACACGUGGGAUCUCGGGUGUUGGCCAAAAAGUGUCUCCUUCUGGGCUACUACUGGCCCUCUGUCUUCCGAGACGCAGCAGAUCUGGUCCAGAAAUGCCGAGCUUGCCAGGUACACGCCCCGCUGCGCCAUCAGCCAGCUCAGGAGAUGAUUCCCAUCCAUAGUCCCUGGCCCUUCGCUCAAUGGGGGAUAGACCUCCUGGGUCCCUUCCCUCGAGCCCCGGGGAGAUAUGAGCACCUCGUGGUGGCUAUUGACUACUUCACAAAAUGGGUGGAGGCGGAGCCCCUGGUCUCUAUCUCGGGGAAGGCAAUUCAGAAAUUCUUUUGGAAGAGCAUAGUUUGUCGGUUUGGGAUUCCACACGUCCUGAUAUCCGGCAACGGCCGCCAGUUCGCCGAGAACCCUUUCCGGAGCUGGUGUGCCGAGCUCGGAGUCCACCAACACUUCAGGUCGGUUGGUCACCCACAGGCUAAUGGUCAGGUGGAGAACGCAAACCGAACUGUUCUGCAAGGGUUGAAGACUAGAUUGGAGUCCGCCCAAUCGAGCUGGCUGGAUGAGCUCCCCAGUGUCCUUUGGGCUUACCGCACUACGCCCCGGGCGGCUACCCAAGAGACCCCGUUCUCCCUAACCUAUGGAGUAGAGGCUGUGGUGCCCGCGGAGGUCGGUCUUCCCUCACCCACAACACAGAAUUUCGUGGCAACAUCCAACGAGGAAGAGCUCCGGUGCAGCUUGGACAUGCUCGAAGCCAGGCGUGAGGAAGCGGCUGUUCGAAUGGCUAAGUACAAAAGCCAGCUCGCCCGCUAUCACAACGCCAAAGUGAGGACGGUACAAUAUCAGCCCGGGGACCUCGUCCUAAGGAAGAACUCGGUCAGCCGAGCUCACAGUUCCAACAAGCUCGACCCAAAUUGGGAGGGCCCCUACAAGGUCCUUGAGGUAGGUCGGGCCGGUUACUGCAAACUUGCCGACAUGGACGGAUCUGAGGUACCCCGUACUUGGCACUUCUCCAACCUGCGCCUGUUUCUAGCGUAGGGUAGACCAGAAUAUCCAGUUGCCUGUACUUUGGAAUCCGAAAAUUUUGUUUUAACUUUCAAUAAAAGUUCGACUCUGGCAAUUUUGCUUUCAUACAGUUUGCAUUCCACUAGCACACUUAGCGUUUCCUCCCUAAGUAUCCUAGUGGGGGGCUGAGGUAGUACGAAGUGGAAGUGUUCGACCCAAGAGGUCGGCACGGUUGAAAAAACUUGAAAGGAUUCUGAAAACUCUGCGCUCGACCCAAGAGGCCGGCCUAAGUUAAAUCCUCCAUGGCAUCCGAGUUAAAGCUCGACCCAAGAGGUCGGCACGCCAGUCAGAACCAGGGAGUUCAACGCUCGACCCAGGUGGUCGGCAUAACUGCCUUGGAAAUUUGAUGCUCGACCCCAAGAGGUCGGCAUGCCAGGCAAAACCGGGGAGUUCAACGCUCGACCCAGGAGGUCGGCAGGACUGCCUUGAAAAUUUGAUGCUUGAUGAUCGAGGUCGGCAUGAUGGAGAACUUGGAUGGAAACUGAUGCUCGACCCCUAGAGGUCGGCAGACACCAUUGUGAGCAGGCAAGGAAUGCGAAAUAAUCCUCAAGUUUUAUAUAUGCAUUCAAAGCCUAUCUAUUACAAGGCUUGCAGAGUUUCUAAGCCGCCUAUCUAUUACAAAAUGCCCUGCCUAUCUACCGCGGAAUCUCCGAGUUGGCGAUCUCCUUCGAUGUCUGUUCUACUUGCUGGUGGUCCGGUCGGGGUAGGAGCUGGAAGUACACCUUAAGCAUGUUGAGCGGCGUAUGGUGAAGGCCAUUCAGGAGCCCGGAAGCAGGGGAGCCCUUCUGUCUUGGAUGGACCUCCGAGAGCAUUUUCAACUGGAGCAGGGUCACAUCCUUAUAAGAAGACAGGAAGGGUCUCUGGAGUGGCCAUCGCCCUAGGCCACUGGCUCCUUCCCGGCAGCUCGGCCAGGAGACCCGUCCUCCUCCAAGGGAACUUCCUCCAGCUCGGCCCCAGUGUCAGUCCGGCUCGCCAGCUCCUUCAGGGAGUGCCCCUUGCGAUACCCGUCGAAGAGCCAGUCCAGCCUCGCCUCGGCUGCAGGGUUGUAGUCCUUGAAGCUCGCCAAGUCGAGGCCAGGAGGAUUGAGCUUCUUCACCUGGUCCAGGGCCCGGGUGCAGCCGACCUGGAAGAUGGGCAGGUUGAGGUGGGCGAUGUCCUCCUCAAACUAGUCGGAAGAAAGGAACUCCCGAACAGCCCUCUUCCGCUCCCGACUGACGGUGCCGGAGAGCUCGAGGACGUGCUCCUCCUUCAGCUUGGCCACACCGGCCUUCUCCUGGUCGAGCUCCGACCUGGUGGAGGCGAGCUGGACCUGAGCAGCGUCCAGCUCCUUCUCGGCCUUGUCCAGUUUGGCCUUGAGGGAGCUUGCCUCCUUGAGGGUCUGGGACAGCUUCUUCUCCGCCUCCAGGUUCUUUUUCCGCAACUUCUCCAGGUCGGGGGACAGUUCGGAAAAGCGGGUCGCCAGGGCGGGGCCAGCGGCGUUGGCCUGAAGGAAAAAGAGAACUGGUCAGCACGUCACAAUGCCUAACCGAGACGUGAAGGCAAAACUACCCCAGGGGAUAGACUUACUUGAGCCUGGGCGGUAUAGUACGCGUCCAAGAGCUCGGAGGGGUUGGCCAGCUCCAUCCACCUCUUGUCACGAGGAAGGACCGAGCCCACCAUCAGCUCGCGAGCCACCUCGGGGAACUGGGCUCGGUCGUUGAUGGAGAGCUCCCAGGACGGGCAGAAGCGGCGGGGGUCGUGCAUCGUGGGGGCUUGGCCCGGCUUCAGGGGAGCGAUGUGGCGGAAGUGCCACAAGCUCGGAGGGGUCGACUCCAGGGCAUGCUCCUCGGCGGAGCCCACGCCCAGAUGGACUGGCCCCCCCGAGGUCAGCGCAAGCGGAGGGGGCUGAGCUGGAACCACCGCGAGCCUCUUCGCGGGCUGGGAGGGCUCGUCCCCUCGCCCCCUCUUCUGCCCGGCCGCCUUCUUCUUGUUGCCGGCAGCCUUCUUGGAGGGGGAGGGGGUUUUCUGCGUUUCCCUCUGGGGGGCUAGGCCGCCCCCAACGGUUGAGGUCGCCCCAGGGCCCUCCUGGGCAGCUUCUGGCUGAGGAGUGGCGGUGGCCUCCUCAGUGGACGCACCCAGCAGCUGGGAGAGCUUCCUCACUGCAACGAACACAACCAGAUAGGUAAAACGGCAGGCAGUUUAAAAGAGCAAGGAAAAACCGACAUAUACUACAAAUGCGACAGGGGCAAAGCCAGCGUUACAGGUGUCGAGUUUGGGUUGGGGGGUAGCCACCUCCCCAGAGGAUCCGGACAUCGUCCCCAUCAGCCCGGCUGCGGAGAUCUGCUCAGUGGAGAUCUUGGUGACAUCGAGCCCCAACAGCUGGCCAAGGGUAUCGAAGUCCAGGCCCUCUGGGUAGGGGUCGGCCUUGACUCCCCCAACCUUCCACACAUUGGGGGGAAAAUGUGUGGACCUGACAAAGAAGAAGUCCUCCUUCCAGUCCUUCACGGAGGAGGGGAGCCCGUAGAACAACUCCUGGGCUCCUUUUCCCCCCUUGGUCUGCGGGCCGCGGCGGGAGAAGUAGUACCACCCCGGGAGGGCGGCCUUAAGAAUGAAGGCAGCUCGGAAGAGGGAGAGAGAGUAAGGGAUGUCGCAGAGAAGGCAGUAGAUCAGGAAUCCGGUGAUGAUCCUGAUGGAGGUGGGAUGAAGCUGUGUGAUUCUGAGCCCCCAGUGGUUCAGAAUCUCGGUUAGAGCUGGAUGGAUGGGGAGACGGAGCCCUGCGAUGAGCUGCUCCCUAUAGAUGGCUAUGAAGCCAGGAGGAGGUCGGCAGGCCCGGUCGUCGGGCCCGGCCAACCUCGGCUCGUAGGCUGGAGGGAUGGAGUACGACCUAGCCAGCUCGCCCAAAUCCUGGGGGGAUAGGGUGGCCUCCUGCAGGUCUGGAUAACCAUAGGAGAAUUCGGGGUCCUCUCCCUGCCCCGAAGCAGGGGUCCCCCCAGAGGAAUCCCUGUCCCCUCCAGCUCCGCCCUGGGCUCCGCCGGGGGAGUCGUGGGGGGACUGGGGGGAGGGGGUGGUCGUGGCCUCCCGCUCGAGGUAGGCGUCAAGCUCGGCCGCCUCCUCCAGAGCGCGGGCAAAAAAAGGAUGGGAUGAAGGAGACUGGGAUGAAGGAGAGCUCAUGGUGUCAGUGGGCUCGAGCAGGUCUGAAGUGUGGAAGCUGGGACUAGAAACAGAAGAAGAGGAAGGGGGAGGAGGAGAAGAUGGUGACGAAAACGAGGGUGAAGGCGAGGAAAGAACGAUGAUCCGGGGGGCUCUGCGGCGGAUUUGAAUUAUAGAGACAGAGGAAGAGGCGCCGGAAUGAUCCGACAUGAACAGCGGGAGGUAGCAGAAGGCACAAGAGACACCGCAAAGAGGGAAGGUGAAACUGCAGGAGGGAACUUACUGAUGAUGUCGAAACAGAAGAUGGAUGGAAGGCUCGCCGGAAUCUGGGUGUGGGACGCCGGAAGUUGCCGGAGAGCGGGAAUGCAAGUGCACAAAAGAGAGAUGGGAGUGCAAAGUGCGCGAGGGAAGGAGAAAACAGCAAAUGGAGUCGGUGGAAAUCCGAUAAUUCCUACUUAUAGGAGGAGAAAUGGGGGGGAAACGGUUGCUCGAAAUCGAACCGUCCCAUGUAAAUGCAUUUAAUGCGGGUACGAAAAUCGAAGGGACGGGACAACUGAAAGGACGCGGGUACAGCGUCCCUGUGACAGCCCUGUGCCGGAGGUGACCUGGGUAAGGUAGUGCGCGGCCCUGGCCUCCCACGUGGCAGAGGUUGAUUAGGUCGGCCUGGCAGCCUACCUAAUCAAGGGGGCUAGUGCAGUGGCCCCGUUCUGGGCCUGGACACGUGGCAGCCCGGACAAGGCCGAGUUGGGCUUCGGCCCUGGGCCCCCGGCAGCCGGCCUGGGCCUCGCUGCUAGGGCUCCUGGAGGGGCGCAGGUCCAUCCCGAAGAGGUCGGGGGCAAUCCCCCUGAGUGCGGGAUAGGGGCUAUCCUGGGCAAGUCCCGAAACGUGCGGAUGUCGGACUCCUUCAUAGGUAUAAAUAAUAACACACCUUCACUGUACAAGGUAUGCUCACUAUAGGCCAAUUACCCCCGGCUGUUACCACUCCCCGUGAACCCUACUCACCGGAGAACUAACUUGGCCGUCGGAGUGCCCUCGGGGACAACCCUCGGGCCCCCCUUCUUCAGUCCAUCUUUGUUUGUUUUGCAGGCUUGGGAAUAGCUCUUCCAUCAGCACCCCGAGCUGAUCAGGUCAGCUCUCCUAGGGGAAGUUCCGUGCUUCUUCACUACCCAAUCUUGAGGUGCUCAAAUUACUCGACCGAUCGUUUGAGGGGGAAAUAUGGGAAAUGGAAGUGGAGAAGUUCCCUAAAGUUCGUUUCUUGAAAUUAGCUUCCCUGGACAUUGUGAAGUGGACGGGUUAUGUGUAUCUGUUUAGCAUCAAGAUCAAGUUGUUCUUUUUCUUAAUAGUUUUUCUUUUUCUUUUUCUUUUUCUUAAUUAGUAUUGGAAGGCUGCAAAAUUUUGGAGGAGAUCCCUGCUUGUUUGGGAAAUAGUUCAACUCUUGAAACAAUUGAGAUGUCUAAAUGUCUCAACUCUACAAGUUACAGUUAAAGCAAAUUCAAGAAGAGCAAAUAAGCAUGGGAUAUACUGAUCUGAAGAUCCUUAUUUCAUAAUGGAUGACCGAUAUUCUCAAGCAUGUUUGGUUUGGGCAGCCACUUCAUUGUACUUCUUUUUUCUUUGACAAUCCAUUACUUCUGCACUACUAAUGGUCUCGUUGCAUCUGUUCAGCAUCAAGAUCAAGUCAUUCUUGUCUUCUUUGUAAGUUUUUCGUUUUUCCUGUGACAGAAUCCUAUAGUAGGAUAUCACUUCCCAAGUUUGAUGUUGUUUGUAAAGAUUCAAAUGAAUGAAUCUCAAAUAAGAGUCAGGCUUUCAAGACUGUUUUGCACUUAUUUGAAGGUAAUACUGCUUAGUUGCAUAUCAACUACUGUUUUGUUCAAUCUAUAGAUACAAUUAAAUUUGUUCGUCAAGUAGAAUAAAUGCCAUUGACGUCCCAUAUUUUCUAGAAUUCAACAGUUUAUUCGUUCUUUUCCAUAAUCUUCGGUUACAAUUUCUGAUCUUUCUGACUCCAAGUAGAACUUUAUUAAACCAUAUAAUCAAUCAGGUAUAAAAUCAAGCACUCAGCAUAUUAAUACCUGUUAUAUAUAGCAGUUUACUCGAAUCCAUUUCUUGAUCCAAUUAUAAUAGUUUAAUAAAUCAGGCAAAAACUGACCUCUUCCACCAUUCAAAAUUUGAAAUAAGUCUUAGAAGAAAACCUAUAAAGAUUUCAGGUCUGCAGGCACAAUCAUUAAAUAAAUAUUAUACUACAAUUUGAAAUUUCAGGGAUAUUGAUGUGCAGGCUAAAGUAAAAGCUCGUCUUUGUCUGAGCAUUCCAUGCAUUUCUUCUGCCAAAAAAAAAAAAAAAAAUUCAAUUCAAGAUAGGACUUAACAAAAUUGGAAUGAAUUGCGCCAAAAAAAUAAAAAAAUGGAAGGGAUUAGAGCAGAUCAGUUCAAGAAAGGCUUCACCAUAACAAGAAAGGGAUCACCCAGGCAACUUCCAAAUCAAAAUAAAACUUAAUGAGGAAGGACAUGGGCCUUUUAAUAGUAGCAUCAUGUAAUGUGACUUGAAGUAAUUUUUAGCUUCUAGUUGUUUCACUUUUCCUCCUUACGGACCUAAAUACCAUGUGGAAGGCAAGUUUUUAAAAGUAAUACUCUUUUUUUUUUAAUUUUUUUUACCCUUCCACCUUUCCCCACUUCCUUUUCACCUCUUACAAAAAACCACAAUAAUUCGAACACUGGACUUGGCAGUUAAGAAGAUUUUAACAAUCCUUUCUUGACCAUUGGUCUAACCCCAGUGAUUAGUAAUACGCUAAUUGCUCAAACAAGUUUAUGAAUUUUCUAAGAACUUAUUUAUCUUUCUUGGUUUGAAGUACAAUUGUAUACCAUUUGGUGCGUGUGUGUGUGUGUGUGUGGGGGGGGGGUGGGUAGGAAGAAAGCCAAAUUAAGAAAGUCUCUCUUUUUUAACCCUUCCCUAUGUCUUUUCCACUCCCAAUUCUUAGGCUUUUAAAUCUGACAUCGACGAAAAUCCAAGUUAAGAGAGCUAAUUGUACUUUGUUGUACAAUUAAAUCAUUAGAUUAUAAAGCAACCAGGUAAAGAAUUAAGAAACCCAACAUUUUAAUACUUUGUUGUAUUGCUGUUUAGCUUGAUCCAUUUCCUGAUUGAAUUGCAAUAAAUCUCAGGAAAAAACCUUUAAAAAUUUUUUUUUAUAGGUUUGCUGCCACAGUUUCUUAAUCAUUUCGAAUUCAUAUGUAUAUAGGUUUGCAGCCUUAAAAAAUAAAAGUUGGAAAAAUCGUUCAAAACGUCCCUCACAUUUUGCAAAAUAAUUUUUUCGUCUCUCACUUUUAUAAGUGUAAUUUUACGUCCCUUACAAAUUUAUAUUAAUCAAAUUUAGUUCCUACCUAAGUUUUUGACUAAUUUUUGGUCGGAAUUUAUCACGUGCCUUGCACGUAAUCAUUUUUUAAGGGCAAAAUUAUCAAAUCAAAUUUUAUAUAAAACCAAUUCAUAGUCCCUCAUAUUUUACAAAAUGAAUUUUUUCAUCCCUAACAUUUUAUUAAAUGAAUUGUUUCAUCUUUGAUAUUUCACAAAAUGAAUUAUUUCAUCCCUCACAUUUUUCAACAUGGAUUUUUUCAUCACUCAUUGAUCAUGUGCACCAAUAACUUUUUUUUUUCCUUUAAACCCAUGUAUAUAUCUAUUUGAUUUCACCUAAAUAAUAUGAAUAACAUAUAAUAUACCUCUAUUUGAUUUCAUCUAAUAGUACGAAUAACAUAUAAUAUUUAUUUUGUGAAAUGCGAGAGAUUAUGAAUCCGAUUAAGUAAAAUUUGAUUUGACAAUUUUGCCUCUAAAACAUGAUCACGUACAAGGUACGUGGUGGUUUCCAACAAAAAACUAGUCGAAAACUUAUGUAGGGACCAAAUUUGAUUAAUAUAAAUUUGUAAGCAACAUAAAAUUACACUUUUAAAAAUAAGAAACGAAAAAAGUCAUUAUGCAAAAUGUGAAGUACGUUUUGAAUGAUUUUUCUAUAAAAGUUAGUUCGUCUUUAAUUUGUCAUAUUUGAACAAUUUCUUGAACACCAAUUACAAACUAAUUCAAGAUACUGUAUCUAAAACGAAAUUCAGCUUCAUUAUAGUAUACUUCUACAUGGUGCUAAUGAAUUGAAAGAAACAAGGAUAUCAUCUUCCAAAUUGGUAGAGAAUAAAAUCAUUUGAUGUCAUUGAUGUCACCAUUAGGGGUUAGUAGUUAAUACACAGCUCGCAUCUGCCGAAUGAGUUCGGCUCUAAUUUAUUUGUGAAAUUUUUUUCAUGUAAAUUGGUAAAAAACUAGAAGUAUUAAACUUAAUUGGACAAGAGCCUUCCUCAUAGCAACUGGAAUAGGAACAGAUAAUAAAUGGAUUUGGGAAAGCAAAUGGAUAAAUGGAUGGAUCAUGAUUUUACACUAUCCAUUUAAAUGACAUCCAUUUAUUAAAUAAUUUUAAUUAAGUUGAAUCAAUUUAAUCCACUAUCCAUUUAACUAAAACUAUUUAUCAAUCAUAUGUUCAUUUUGCCACUUCUAUAUCUCACUAUGUAUUAACAUGAAAUCUUAUUUACCAUAAUACAUUAGUCAGUAGCGUUCCAUGUCAAUUUACAUUUAGAAUUUCAUUUCUUCAACUUGAAAAGUUUGCCUGGAAAAUUUAUAUAUAAAAAAAAGAAUGAUAUUGUCAUUGUUUCUGAUACCAAUUUUAAUGGCGUGAUCUCUCAAUGAUCUUUUGUCUCCAUAACUUUUGACUUUUGAAUGUAACAGACGGUCGUGCUCAGCCCGGCCGCUGCUGGCGCCACCAAUUGCGACAAUUUGCCUUCUUCAUUAGUAAUGGGACAACAAAGAUAUCAACUAUAAAGGCACUCAAAUAAAAUAAAGGCAUUCAAAUAAAAUAAAGGUAGUAUGACCUGUUUUCCACAAGGCAGCAAAAACAUCGUAUAGGAGGUAAAACCGGUCGUCAAUUUCAAGAUAGCUAAACUAAACACAGGUUAGUAUUGGAGUUAAAUCAAGAUUUUAGUACUAUACCAAACGGGAUUUGGUGCAGUGAAGCAGAAAGAUAAUAGAACGCGUAGGUUUUGUAAGGAGUGAUUGCAAAACUCUCAACUUCUUCCUUCUCUUAAUACUGGACUAGACGUACACGAAUGGAGUAAAUAAUUUUAUCUUUCAUAAUUUUGCAUUUUAUUAUACAAUCCUCCUAUUGUUUAAAAAUUUCAAAUUAACCUAUAUGUGAUUUUACAUAAAGCCGGAAAUAGACUAAAAGCAACUAUAGUCACGGUGAUCAACCUAUAUGCACGCUAGCUAGAAACGUGGAAUAUGUGAAAAUAUGGAAUUGCCACUUAUUCCCCUUAUGGCUUCGCAUUUGGCCAGAUAAUCCCCUGUUAAUUUUAUGUAAAGUGGUUAGACACUUGUUGUGCUUAAAUAUUAACUAAUGCUUGGAGAUACUUCUUUUUUUUUGGGGGGGGGGUCAAUUUUUCCACUUUACAUGAUGCUACAAAAGAGUUAAAUGGAUAUUGUUGAAUACAGUGGUAGAACCAAAAACUUUAGUUUAGGGGAGGCCAAAAUCCAACAUAUAGUAAUAACACAUAUUAUAGCAUAUAAAGCAUGGUAAAUUUAAAAUGACAAUUAAGGAUUUCAAUAAUAAAAGACAAAGUAUAAACCAAACUACAAAAUUUGGAUUUCCUACCAUUCUAUUUCCUAUCAAUGCAAGAAAUAACUACCUAAUAUAGUGAUAGAUUAAUAAUUCAUAUUACUGGCUUCGUUUUUUUUUCUUACAUUAAUAGAAGCAAUAAUCAUUACGUAGUUCUAAAACAACAAACUCAAAAUAAAAAUAACUAUUUCAAAAUUAAUAAUACAAUUUAAAAUAUAAUACAAGAAAGUUUGAAGGAAAUAAAAAUAAAAACUUGCCUUGCAAAACUGGAGUUUGAGAACAGUUGAUACUUGAAGCAUAAUAAUGGAGCUUAUAAAGAGUCGAUCCUUGGGAAGCUAGAUAAAAAGUUGUGACUUUGUACUUUUUAACUAAUCCUCGUACAUUCUUAAUUCAUGCGAAUUCUAUUACCUUUUAUUUCCUUUAUUUACUUUUAUCUAGUGUUUUUUUAGUUGUUAUUUUUUCGUUGUAAGCUGUGGAUGAAUUGAGCAUUUAACAAAUAGUUUGAACUCAACACAUUAAGGGCUCGAUUUGAGGGUGGAUUUUUGGCAAGCUCGAGUACGAGUUCAAACAAUAUAAUAAAAGGAGGAAAUAAUAUAAUAUCUAGCAUGUAAUAUUGAAUUGAACUUAAUCUCAAAUUUAGAGCUCGUAUAAGAUUUGAGUUCGAAUUUGAAUUUAUCUAAUAUUUUUAAUCGAGUCCAAUGGGUCAAAAGUUUGAUUCGAUUCAUUUAUAAGCCCAUUUGUACUAGUGCUACACUAAUACGAGAAGGAAAUAAGAGUUUGUUUGGUAUAAGAGUCUUAUAGAAAGAGUAAUUAAAGGGGGCAAGAAAUAAAUAAAUGUAUGAAGAGUAAUCAAGAGGAAGAAGAAAUAGAUAUGCAUGUUGGGGGAAGGGGAAGAGGGAGGAGAUUAAUCUAUCUUAGAUAUAAUGUCUCAGUCCCUUUAGGAUUAUUCCGAAAGUUUUGGGGGUUGUUGGGGGGGGGGGGGGGGAGCGAAUGGGCUGCUCCUCCCCAGCCCCCUGUUCCAUCCUUGGUUGAAUAAUAAGGGAUUUGUGAGGUAUUAAGAACAUACCCAUGCAAAUUUGGUGUACUUAAACAAAAAUAUAGAUUACCAAAAUUGUUGACGUACAUUUAUUUGAUUUUGAAUAUUACUUAUUGUGAUUUUUCGUUAGUUGUCUUAAAUUGCGUUGAAGACAAAUUUUGUUUUAAUCGAAAUAUUAGAUGGACUAAAUAUUGGGGACCAGAACUGUACUUUUGUUGCAUUUCUGGUUCAAAAUAGUUCUUGUCUUUCUCUUGGGCAUUUUCUAAAUAAACGGUGAUUUGAAUGGAGCUUGUUACGUGAACAUUUGCCCCCCUGGCAUCUGUCAAUGGAAGUACUCAUUCAUGGGUGAACAAUCUUGGAUACAAAUUUUGAAUCCUUUACGAAACUGAAGAGUCUGAAAGGAAAUGCGCAUGCUAAACAAAUAUUGAGAUCAAGGCAUCUAAGCUGAAUUCUGGUCCGGAUACAAGCUUUCAAGGAAACUUUCACAUUAACCAAUAAAAUUAAAAUUGACAGAAGGUGCAAGGUCUCUUUCAAUCAGAAUAAUUGCUUGACAAUGGUCUGAUUGCAGUAAUAAAAAAAUUUAUUAGGUUGCAAACUGAUAAUAUAUAAAAAAGGGAUUCAAUAUUGACACAUUGUCAUCGUUGUAAGACCACUUUUCUUGGCUUAUCUAUCAAUGAUCUUGUCUGCAUAAUCUUUUGAAAUAACCUACAAUUCUGCUUCUGGCCGGCUGCUGCUGCACUUGCCUCAAUGAUCACGUCUCCAUAAUUCUUUAAAAUAAUCUACAAUUCUGCUUCGGACCGGCUGCUGCUGCUGCUGCUGCUGCUGCACUUGCACUUGCGAAGAUGUCAGAGUCAUUAGUUGGCCCGCAAAUAUAGAUGUCACCUAAUCAUGAUGUUAAUGAUAUGUCAUAAUUUGUUGCUAAAUUUAUAAUUAUUUUUCUGUUGAUUUUAGCUAAAUAUUGUAUUAAUUGAUAGAUUUUAUUUAUAUUUGGUGUUUCAUAUUAAUUAUAGAGUAUUGGAGCAAAAAGUGCUUAAAUGAAGAUUUUUGAUAAUUUGCACGCGGGGCACGCCUAAACUCAUUGCUCAAAGCCGAAAAGUCGGGAUUGAUAUUGGGCAGUCUCCCAAUCCGAGUCACCUUCCUAAUUUGUUAGCUGCCAAAACUUUACUUAUUUCAAGGGAUCAUUCUCAAGGAAAAGGAAAGCUGGAGGAAAUUGAUUUGUAAUAGGAAUCUUUUUAGGAGUUGAAUUGGUAUUAGGAAACCAAUCAAUUAGAUAAUUGAGUCAAGUCAAAUUUUGGCAGACAUCAUUCAUCAUCGUUUUGCUAGAGAUGAAAAGCAGCGUAGUGCUCUUGUCUUUACUUUUUCCUUUUGGCCGAUUUUGAGAGAAAAAUAAUUUGAAAGCUUCAAACAGAUUUUUGCAUGGCCUAAUUUCAUAUUUCUAGUCAAGGAAACAACUGAAGAUUUGGUUCAACAAUAACCGUGAGAUCUAAAUUAUUUUAAUUGCUUCUUUCAUUUAUUGGUAUUUGUAUGUUUUCUGUUUUUAGUGGCUAUGACUAUUGUGUAUCAUUGAAUAGUUACGCAAUAUUUAAUUAUUCACGGAGUCUAUCUGCUAAUUGGGAGUAGUUAAAUCCGUAAUUGUUUGAUUACUCUCAUCCCGGUAGCAACUGGCAUAAUUGGAUUUGUAUCGGGAAAACGUAUAAUCUAAUUUAAAUAAACCCUCAUAACAUGUUUAUUGAUUAGAGUAGGGUUUCUCUAGUUCCAAUGCAAUUAAAGAAUUAAAUCCUAUGGUCGUACCUAGGAUUAUUCCUAGAUUAGAGAAAUAGUCAACGGUCAUACCUUGUCUAUCGAAAUAGUAACGAGAAACUAACUGUCAGAUCGUAUCGGCAAUUAAAAACCUACUUAUUAAUAAAUGUUGAAAUUAUAUUUGAAUCAAUGAUCAGUUGCAUGAACCAUCUCUAAAGUGUAUCAUUGGCUAGAGUCUUCCCAAUUAUCUCUCUAUUAAUUAUUUUUUGCAGUUGAUUAAUUUAGUUAACAAUUCAUUAGCGUUAAAUUCUCAAACCCCUGUUUGCCUUGAUUUGAAAAGGAACGAAUUUCUCCCAGUCCCCUGAGGAUAUGACCCUACUUGCCCUAUAUACAAAUUAGAGAUUUCUGGUGAAUAAAUUCUGGUAUAUCGGAUUAAGCAAACUCUUCGCAGCCAGGGUGAAUCAAGUAACCCAUUGCACAUCUAGAGUCCCCGCUCUAGUACUGAAAUUGACACAAAAUUGCUUUAUUGGCACUUAGGAUUAUUAUUAUUAUUGCACAGGUUUGACACCUGUCAGUUAACCAGCUACGUGUGCACAUCAGGAGUAUUAUCACUAUAUAUGCCAAAAAUCUUGCGAUCUAGAUAACUUUUUUUUUUUUUUUUGAUAAACGAUAUAAUAUCAUACAAUGAAAUAUGCACUAAUGUGGCAGAAAAUACUUUAAUUAUAUCACAGAUAUAAUAAAUCUGAAGAAUCACUACAUCUAAUAGAUCUAGAAAAUUAUAAAAAUUACAUUGUGAAACUCAACAAAUUUGAAAUUUAGAAUAUUUAUGUAUGCCAAUGCUAUCUGAUUUACUGUCCAACUGGUUUAAACUCAAAUUGGAUGUUGAGAUCUAAUAAAAUGACCUAAGAAAUUCCAACGAUCUAGAAAAAUUCACCCUAGGGUUGAUGAAACAUAUGAAAGUAUACAUGUUAAAACAUCAAUAAAUAGAUUACACGAAAUGUUCACUAAUUAACUAUUCAUUAGGGAUUAGUACCACCUAAUUUUUUUCAUUUACAUGUCCAAAAAUCCAAAAAGAUUCAUCAGAUAGCACUCGUCAAUGUGUCAAGAAUAGGACCAAAAGGAAAUACAAGCUUUCAUAUAAAAUACCAGUAUAACCCUAGUUUCCCUCAAUAAGAAAAAUAGUUCAGCUAUAAAGGGGUUUCACAGUUUCAGGGUGGGUUUGUACAGGAGAUAUAACCAAGGGUGUUUGCUUGUAAUUAACCAAGAAUAUUGUGUUACAUAAGCUGCGGAACGGUAAGAUUUUCUACAGUCAUAUCAUAAAACAGAAAUAUUGUUCCAAAAUUUACAUAAUUUUAGUGUUCAUUUGACAUGAACUUUAACAAAAUGCCAAGAAAUUGGAAAAAAUUGACAAUUUUGGCCAUAGGUUACUGAGCUAAUUUCUCCUCAUAUUGAACUUGAAUCUCAAAGUUCUUUCUCUGCAAAAUGAUUUUAAGAAGCUAGAAAAUGGUAAGCAUGUUAUCUCAUCAGCCCAGACAACUCAAUUAAGAUUUUGAAUAGAUUUAGUAACCAGUGGAGCACUUUACCCUAGUUUUAGAUAGGGGUGGCAAUUCCUGACACGACCCGAAAAUAUGACACGAACCUAACACGAAAUUAAUGGGUUUGGGUUGAAGUUUCGGGGAUUCGGGUCAAAAUCGGGUCGAACCCGAUGAACCGGAAAAAAAAAACAGGUCGAUUUCGGGUCAACCCGUGGUGAUCUGAUAUGACCCGAUAUAACCCGUUUACGAAUUAAAAAUAAUUUAAUAAACAUAAAAUUAUUUUAUCUAACUAAACUAAAUAGUCUAAAUCAUUCUUUUUUCAAAGGUAUUAAUUACUUAAUCCUAAAUGAAUUUAUUUAACUUGUGUGAAGUUGAAAUUAUUAUAUUUGGAUAAAUAAUAUAUUAUGUUAAUUUUUACUUUUAUGCUAUUUUAUAUUUGGUUUGGGAUAAAACACUUUUACGGUGUUUAAUUUAUUUUAGAUUUGGUUUGAAAUUAUUUAUUUAAAUUUUUAUUACUUGAUGAUGUAAUUAAUUUUGUGAGAAAUUGAUUUUAUUAGAAAUUACAGUGAUAAAUUAAUAAAUUAAAAUUAAGUUUCGGGUCAUUUCGGGUCGACCCGCCAACCCGAAAUUUUCGGGUUCGUGUUAUGUAUCCUGACCCAUUUCGGGUUGGCGGGUCAGGUUCGGGUCAGUGGAUUUUUUGUUAUACUUGGGUCUCAACCCGACCCGUCAACCCGAACUCGACCCGAUUGCCACCCCUAGUUUUAGAUAUCAACUUCAUGUUUCCAACACCUCCCCCACCCCCAGCCCCAAAAAAAGUGUUAUGAUUAAGUUCUCAAGCCACUUGAACAAUGAUUUACACAACAUGUUAAUUAAAAUUUUCUUAAGUGAUGAUUUUCUUAUGUGACUUAAAACAUCCCAAAAGAUUUUGUCUCGUAACAUUUAGAAUUGUGUCUGUAAUAGACCAAAAAGCAAUGAAGGCUUUCAGAUAAAUUAUUAGUAUAGGCAGUGUUGCCUCGACAAGAAAAACAGGUAAGAAGGGCGUUGAAUGUUGAGAUUCUGAAGACAAGCUUCAAAUGUCCAAAUGUCUGAAUGAUACAUCUAACUGGCUAUGAAUGCAGACCAUACACAAGUUAAUAACAAUAAGGCUCAAAAAAAUAACAAUAAAGAGAAAAAAAAGUGUUCCAUGUCCCCUGUCCCUCCCAACAUCAAACGUGUUAUCUUGUUUUAUUUUUCUCUUUAUCUAUUACUAUUACUAUUACUAUAUUAAAAGUAUGACGAGACUUGGCAUUAUAAGUUGUAAGCAAUUUUUUAUCUUAAUUUAUGCUGUUUCCAUAUUACCCCAAGUUAUUGUAUUUUAAUUGUGGUAGUAAUUAAAAUAUGAAACAGUCCAAAUGAAUAUAUCUCAAUAAUAAUGGUAAUUAAAAUGAAAAGCUCCCAAUUAAAACUAUUUACCCACUCUUACAUUUCAUCUCCAAUUUUUAUGUGCAUCAAAGUUUCUUAUUCGAAACAAUUUCUUACUCAAAAUAGUUUGACCAAUUUCAUUAACCACAAUUUUAAGAUUGUAAAAAAAUAUUAAUAUAAAAAAAAUAGAUGCUCUUAGAACAAAAGAGAAUAAGAAAAGAGUCCAUAUUCAUUUGGAGAAUCAUGAUAUGAAUAUCAUGAGACAGGUACAUAAUUAUGUGCCUUCUAUCAGUAUAGAGAAAUACUAAAAAAAAGCAAAAAUAAAAGAAUCCAACUAUUUCUAUCAAUUGAAACUAAAUAGCCACUAAAGCUGUAUAAAUCAUUAUAUUCUUAUCAACCACGAUAACACUUAGAAAAAAUGUCAAUAAUCGAAAUUCAACAAUGCAGCUCAUAUUAUUCAAUUCAAAUUCACAAAAUUCUUUGUGAAAAGUUCAACUGGAAAGAUAUAAAGUAAAAUGUUCAUGCAAAGUUGGAUAUGAGCACGAUUUAUAUAUUUUAUUCUUAAAUAAUUAAUUCAUUCUAACUAUACAAUUGCAUUUCAUUUGUCUUAGCAAGGGAAAAUAAUAUUUAAAAUGUUGAUACAAAUUUUUUUAUCUCAUAAAAUUUGUUGAUUUCAUCAUAAACUUAACUUUGGGGUUUAUCUUUAAGCAAGAAAAGGCAUGUCUAGACUCUGGUUCGUAAACAAGCUUUCCAAAAGGGUAAAGAAAGGGGUGAGUGUGGUGAAAAUAAUUAGAAUGACAAAAUCUAACUAAUCAAUUUAUUUAUUCUAAUACCCCUUUAGAAAUUGAUUUUACGAUUUAAGUCUUUAUUUUACUAAUAAUUAAGAAUUCUAUUUACUAGGCUCACACUUGACAUGUAUGCAUAUAUUUCCUGUUUAGCAAUUUUUUUGUACAAUAUUUAAAAAAUUAAUAUUAUGAUUUUAUGGUAAAAAUAUUGUGAGUAUACAACAACUUUGGUGAAAAAUAACUGAAUUAGGAAUUAUUUAUCAAAGCUGAAUCCAUAAUUUGCCAAAAAGAUCGACAUAAAUUAAAAAAAGAAAACUCAAAAUAAAUUCAAAAAUAAUUGAUCAAAGAGUUCAUAUUUAAAUGGUCUUUGGAAUAAUAAUUGGUUAAUGAAAAUAUGACAUGUUUUAUUAUCAGGUAAACAAUCAAAUUUCACAAUAUAUAUAUAUAAGACAUGUUAUAUAUGGGUUAAUAUAAUCACGUGCAAAGUACGCAAACUAAUACUAGUUUAUUAAAUGGAUUGUUGAUUGAAUUCUUGUUGUUAAUUUCAAAAUUAAAUUAAAGUCCUAUUUCAUUGACAUAAGCAAUUAUAUAUAACGUGCAAGAUUAAUCAAAAUAAUUUGGCAGUAUGGUGUGAUUGACCCGGUUGCGAAAUUAGUGCUGCUAGAUGUAUUAAAAGAUUAUUAAGAGCGUAAUUAAUGCUGUAUUGUUCAAACAUUUGGACUAAUGAUUAAUGGUCUUGCAAUGGAGUCGUUUUCUAUAAUUUUUUUUUAAAAAUAAUCCAAGAAAUGUCCAUUGACUAUUUGUCCCUUCUUUUCCAUAUACUAGCAAUCUAUGACCAGAGAAAGAGAAGAGCACUCGAUAGUGAGGUUUUGCAGUUCUUAUCUCUUUUCACAUUUGAGAGUUGUCUCAUCUCUAAAUUGAGAUCUCUGCUGGUUCUCUUAUUAAUCUUUGAUUAGAUGGCCUCCAGUACUAUAGUAUUACUUGUAUUUCUUCCGCUUUGGAUUGGAUGCUUUUCAUCCAAUUUUUAAUUUAAUUGAAAUCAUAGGAAUUUAUGAUGUAGGUUUUUAAAUCAGAGAGAGUUAAAUUAAACAUUUAACAAAUCACAAGAAGUUUUUGAUAUUUUACCCUUUUAAUUUUGAUUGAGAUAUGUGAUUCCUCUGUUUUCCAAUGCGCGCAUGAGCUGUGUGAAAAUUGAAAGUUUAACAAACGCCAAACCAUUAAGCUGACAAAACAUUUUUGCGAUUGAUUAAACAAGAUUUUAAUGAUUAAAGGGAGUCCUUUUUGAUUGGUUAGACAGCCGCAGGAAUGACUAGUUGUCAUUUACUUUCUGGACACUAGCAAUCAACGUACAGAAAAGAGGAGAGCACUUGUUUUUGAGGUUUUGCAGAUCUUUCUCGUCUCCUUUCAUAUUUGAGAACUGUUUCAUCUCUUAAAUUGAGAUCGAUACAUUCUGGUUCCCUUGUUGAUAUUCCCUUAAUUAGAUGGCCUCCACUAGUAUCACUUGUAUUUCUUCCAUCUUGGAUGAUGUGCAAGCGCUGGAGAACGAUUAUCCAGAAUUUCCAAAUUGGCCGCAGAAGUACCUGAGACGCAUGAGACACAUGCUAAGAUAUCUGAGAACAUUUCUUCUGUGUGCGAGAAAAUACAGCAACGAUGAUGUGCAAUUACUAUUUGACAACAAAAAGAACCCGGCAAAUAAUCAUCAUGCAAGCCUAGAAGCUCUGGCAGUUCGGAUUGGAGAAGCCAUUCCCAAGUGGGGAAAGGAGAUCCAAUCUUCUGAUCAGCCUUGGAAAGUGGUCCAUGAUUUAGAAAAAGACAUGGAAUCCUUCGAACAAGAAAUUUGCGAAUGGUACGUCUUUUUCUUGGGUUCCUCGUCACGGCAGUCCAGUAAUUCGGUCGCUCGAAAAGAUGACCUUAUGGAAUUCAUGGAUUCUCUUCUGGAGAAUCUAGUGAAAUAUCAUCCAAGGAGUCGGCUGGCACAUCAAGUUGGACUAAUUAAAGCCCUUGAAGAGAAGCUGGCGUUCAUGAAAAACUUCAUCCGUUUUCUCACACUGCAUGGCGUUGAAAACACAGAAUUGGGACCUUUGUUGGUUCACACUGAAGCUGUGGCUAUCAAUGCAGCAGGCCUCUCUUAUAAGUUCCAGUUUAAGAAGGGUUUCGGAUCGCCCAAGGAUAUCAAGGAAAGCAUUUCGGAACUGCCGCAGAAGAUUAUUCCUGUUGAACCGCAAGUCCUUGAGACUUGUAUCCAGGUCCUGAUUGCUUCAAAAUUAUCAAGACAAUCAUACGGAGAUACAGAUGAGCGCAUAUUGAGAGACUUCUACCAUUCUCUCCUGUGUAAUCUUUGGGAGAAACUAAAGCAUGGUACUUGUCCUGUGAUUUUGCGUCAACUACAAAUGUUUUACGAGGGGCUCAAUUCCUUGAGAACCAUUUUGAAGGAGAAGCCAAAGGAGUUCGAUGAGAAAGUAAGAGAUCCUACUCGAGUCGUGAAAUGUUAUGGAGGAGAUUUUAUUUCCCCACUCUCACUGAAUGCAAUCAAAGACGCUAUACAAGCCAAGGAUAUGGAUAUCGUGUGUUCUGAGUUAUUGGAAAUAAUUAAGCUCAUCGAUGCAGUAAUCACGGAGAAGUGUCCAGAAUCAUCAUCAUUCACUUUUCCUACGACCAACGGACUGGGCUUUGUUGAUUCCCUUCUAGAAAAGAUGAUGGAUGUGACAAGUUCUGAGGCUGGCUCGAUUGCUUUGAUCGAUCAUUCAAUUGAAAAAGUCCAGGAAGUACUUGUUUGUUUACGUUCUUUGCUGUGGAAAAUUGUGGAGCUGCAAAAUGAAGAUGAGGAGGUCCAGGCAAUUUGGAAUCGUAUUGUUGGGGUGGCAUACAGGAUAGAGCUUCUUAUUGACUCCUUAAUAACUGGAAAUAUCUUAGAUUCUUCUUCAAUGUCUAUUCAUUCCAUUUUAGAAGAAAUGAACAUCAUUAAAGCUGCGGCCUUGAAGAUUUGUGAUAGCGAAAGACUUGGUGGAAAAGUUAGCGAAGUAACGAAGAGAUUCAAUCACAUGCCACAAGAAGGAAGUAAGCCAAUAGUCAAUGAUGUGGUGGUGGGAUUCGAGGAUGAGACGGCAUCGAUAAUCAAUGGACUCAUAAAUGGAUCACGCCAAGUGAAAAUUGUUUCAAUUGUGGGCAUGCCGGGAUGCGGUAAGACAACUUUGGCUAGAAAAGUGUACAAUGAUUUUUCAGUGAAGUCCCAUUUUUAUGAGCGUGCUUGGUGUACUGUUUCUCAAAUAUAUCAAAAGAGAAAUCUGUUGCUUCAAAUUUUGACUUGUAUUGAGUCCAAGCUUCCUGAGGAUGUUUUUAAGAUGGGUGAAGAAGAUCUGGCUCUUCAAGUCAGAAGACGUUUGCUGAAAAACAGAUAUCUCGUUGUUUUGGACGAUGUAUGGGACAUUGAUGCAUGGAACGGAUUGGAAGCCUCAUUCCCUGAUGAUGGAAUUGGAAGCAGAGUUAUCUUGACAAGUCGGCUCCGUGGUGUUGCUCCGCAAGCCAAACUCGACCAUGAACCGUAUUCUCUUCCUCAACUCACUCCUAAUGAGAGCUGGGAUUUGCUAAAAGGGAAGUUAUAUCCUGGACAAGAUUUGGCUCCUCCAGAACUAUGUGAAAUUCGACAGCAAGUAGUGGAAAUGUGUCAAGGACUACCUCUUACGGUUGUCAUUCUUGCCGGAAUUCUCUCAAGGAUGGACCGAUAUGGUUGGAAAGAAGCUGUGGAAGGUUUACGUUCAAGGAAUGUUUCUAGUACAGAACAAUGUACCGCUACAUUAGAGCUGAGUUACAAACAUUUACCUGAUAAUCUGAAGGCAUGUUUUCUUUAUUUUGGAGCCUUUCCAGAAGACCAUGAACACAAUACCAGGAGGUUGAUUUCUCUAUGGGUCGCUGAAGGUUUUGUUCAAAAAACUCAGCUCAAGAGAUCAGAGGAUGUGGCAAAUGAUUACCUGAUGGAACUUAUUAGCAGAAGCUUAGUCAUAGUUUCGAAACCAAGAUCCAUUGAUGGGGUCAAAACUUGUCGCAUUCACGAUUUGUUAUAUGAGUUUUGUGUGACAAAAGCCAAAGAAGAAAAGCUUUUGCAGCUUGUUCGUAGGUAUGAUGACUUAUCUGCUUGCACUGUGCCAUGCUACCUACGCCGCUUAUGCAUUAUUGAUUCUAAGGUCGAGCACUUUGACAACUUGAGGUUAUUUUCUCCUGCCAUACGCAGUCUAUUUUUAUUCAGUCACGAUGAAGACAGUAAUAGUUUUGACCUUCGAUUCAUUUUUCACAUCAUCAAACUUGUCAAAGUGUUAGAUUUGAGCCAAAUUGGACUCGACCCCUUUCCUAGAGAGGUAGAACUGCUUGUUCACUUGCGCUACUUGGCGAUUCUAGGUCGAGGUAAAAUCAGUCUCCCAUCAUCAGUAUGCAAUCUCCCGAAUUUGGAAACUUUGAUUUGGCAAAAUUCUUCAACUCAUCGUUCAGUUUCACUACCAGAUACCAUAUGGAACCUGAAGAAACUAACGCAUUUACAACUAAUUGAUGAGGUCGAUAGGCAUUAUUGUUUUUUUUUCCCUAGAGACAAUCUUGACAACUCGUCACAGUUGCGUGACUUAGAUUUCUUGUCCUGUUUGUCUCUCGAUCCUGAGGAAAACAUCAGCAAGCUGUUGAGAAAGUUUCCAAAUAUCCGCAAACUGAGAUGCUCUGUCAAUCUCAAGCCAGAUGUUGAACAUCAUGUAGCAAUGGAUUGUCUAAGUCAGUUGGAAUCACUCAGUCUGAGUCGCGUCCUAUACGGUUAUCAGCAAUUUCAUAUAGAUUUCCAAUUUCCUUUGAGUAUUAAAAGAUUGACCCUGACUUAUUUUGGCAUGCCGUGGAGAAAAAUGGCAGCAAUUGGAAAUCUGCCAAAUCUUGAGGUGCUCAAAUUACUCGAGGAAGCCUUUGAGGGGGAAAUAUGGGAAAUGGAAGCAGAGAAGUUCCCUAAUGUUCGCUUCUUGAAAUUAGCUUCCUUGAACAUUGUGAAGUGGACAGCCUCCUCCGAGUAUGAGUACGAGGACCAGGACUAUUUUCCUCGUCUCCAGAAGUUAGUGUUGGAAAGCUGUGAUGCAUUGCAGGAGAUCCCUUCUUGUUUGGGAAAUAGUUCAACUCUUGAAAUAAUUGAGGUGUCUAAAUGUCCCAACUGUACCAGUUCAUUGGAGGAAAUUCAGGAAGAGCAAAGAAGCAAUGGAUAUACCGAUCUGAAGAUCCUUAUCUCAUAAUGGACGAUUGAUCUUCUCAAGUAAGUUUUUUAAGUCCUUUACUUGGUGUACUGCUACGGGUUAUGUGUAUCUGUUUAGCAUCAAGAUCAAGUUAUUCUUUUUCUUAAUAGUUUUUCUUUUUCUUUUUCUUAAUUAGUACUGGAAAGCUGCAAGUUUUUGGAGGAGAUCCCUUCUUGUUUGCAAAAUCUAUCAACUCUUGAAAAAAUUGAGGUGUCUAAAUGUCCCAACCGUACCAGUUCAGUGGAGCAAAUUCAGGAAGAGCAAUUAAGCAGGGGAAAUACACUGAUCUGAAGAUCCUUAUUUCAUGAUGGAUGAUUGAUCUUCAUUCUACUUUUCUUUUUUAAUCCUUUACUUCUGUACACAUACUGGUAAAGUUGUAUCUGUUGAGCAUCAAUCAAGAUCAAGUUGUUCUUGUUUUCAUUGCAAGUUUCUUGUUAUUCCUGUGACCGAAUCUUGUACUGCGACGUAAUUUUUUAAUACUCUGCUUGCACAACUGAGUUUGCAAAUUUUCCAAGAACUUAUUUGUCUUUAUUGGUUUGAACUUUGAAUUACAAUAAUAUACUAUUGGGAGAUUUCCGGUAGUUAACAAAAUAACUUUUGAUACAAGCACGUGCCAAAUAACGUUUUAAAUUGUUCUAAAAUUGAUAUCUUGAAAAGUACUGUAUAAUUUUCAAAAUACAAAAGGCCUCCCAAAAUAGGUAACAUUUAGGAAAAAUGUAGAGGGCAAGGUAUAAGUGGAACAUUUUUUAAGAGAUUUUAGCAUAAUUUUUAGGGCCACCCCAACUUAUAUAGUUUAACGGGACAAAAUGUGGUAUGCUGGUGACAAAAUUAAAGUAACCAAACUUGGAAAACUUACAUAAGCAAAGUUUAGCUAGCGCCAAAUGCAGCAAAAUGUUUGAAACAAUGAGGAAGUAUGAUUGUGUAGUCACUAAUUAAAAAGGUUCAUAAUCUAUGCUAUCCUGUCCAUCUUGUAAUCAAUCUAAGACAAGAAAUUCAGCUACCAAAACAUGGUACAAUGUAAUUCUAAAUGGGACUAGUAAAUUGAAGGAAACAAUGAAAUCAUCUAGCAAACGCACUAAACAUGCAAUAAAAUCAUUUGAUGCUAAUAUCACUUAAUCCACCAAACCAUCCAGGCUCCACAUCUGCUCGAAAGUUGACUCUAGAGGGUGGUUGUGAAGCAAGUAGAACAUCCUUAAUGUUGUUUAGGAUUCCUUUGUCAUAGGGGUUUCCCGAGUUCACAUACUUUUGGUGGAAAUGCUCAUAAGAUGUUUGCACGAGGCAUAAUAUAGAAAUUGCAUCAUAAUUUGUUUAAGCAGCUAUUUAGACUGGCCUUCUAUGUUUAUAUGCCAAAGCAGAAAUUAAUUACCUCAAAGCUGUGCACUUUAAAUAAUUGUUGUACCGAAAAUUCAGUACUGUUCUCAAAAGAAUUGCCCAUUAAUUAAUAUAUUUGACAUAGACGAAAUACAAGCAUGCAAGAAAAAUAUGCAUUAAUUCAACUUUGAGAUAAACCGUGAUGAUAUAAGUACUGUUGGCAUAAAUGAAAGUAUAAAGGGCAAACCUGGUUUAUAGCAAUUAGAUAAACAUGAUAACAAGAAAAGCCGGCAAGAAAACUCAUGGCUACAAAACUGAAUAAUGUCAAUGCCACAGUCUCCGGGUCAUUUCUUAGCAAUCCAAUCACCCCAUUUCCAUCUCCGGGCAAUUUGUGAUGUACUGAUUUGCACGAGGAGAUAAAUAUGAAGGCAAACAAGAGCAAUCCUGUCAAUAAAAAUGUUACAUGAAGCCAAUAAUUCCUCUGCAUUUUGAAAGAAAAAAAAUUAGGAAGUUAUGGUUAGUAAACUAAUUUUAAUGCCAGAAGGUCUUGCAGGGUUGUGAUCAUACAUACCAGUCCCACGCAAUGCCCGAUCCAGGUGUGUUAGGACCGGCCCAAGAAUAAACAAACUAAAGUUAGCACAAAUUAGGCGAUAUAACCGACCAUAUAAAGAUUAGGCGGUAGACACCAGCCAUAUAAUAAUUAGGCGGUAAAACCGACCAUAUUAAAGGGUUGUGGCAACCCAAUAAAGACAAAUAAUUAAGCAAAUAAAAGACGCAGAAGAUUUACAUGGUUCGGUCAAAUUGACCUACGUCUACGAGCAGAGGAGGAGCAAUAUUUCUACUAUGAAAAAGAAAUACGAAAGUCGUAGGAAAGUGGUUCUUAGUCCAAAAGGCACUUAUAAAAGGUUUAGGACCAUAUAAAAGGGUUGUGGCAACCCAAUAAAGACAAAUAAUUAAACAAAUAAAAGACACAGAAGAUUUACGUGGUUCGGUCAAAUUGACCUACGUCUACGGGCAGAGGAGGAGCAAUAUUUCUACUAUGAAAAAGAAAUACAAAAGUCGUAGGAAAGUGGUUCUUAGUCCAAAAGGCACUUAUAAAAGGUUUAGGAAAUAUUCCUAAAUACAAAAUAAGAGAGCCUAAAAUAUUUGACUAUAAAUGGGUUAGAUGACUCAAGAACCUAAUAGUCCAUAUAACUCUCUUGAGUGGGGCACUUGAAACUAACCAAAGGCUCCUAUAUUUAUAGCCUUCAGUAGCCGACUUCUCCUUGGCAUUAUUCGAUGUGGGACGAAGCAAAAGAAGCAUCGGUCAACAAAUGCGGUUUCAACAAAUCUCCACCUUGAUGAGUCUCUAACAUUGAGAAAUAGCAAAUCUAUUCCACCUUCGCAGCCCCAAUAGGCCUAAAUCACAAACAACGAACAUCAACCAAAUCUAAGCACUGCUUGAACUUGUAAACUGGAAGAGGCUUCGUAAACAUAUCACCUGGAUUGUCCUUGGUAUUGAUUUUCUGAACAAGGACCUUUCCUUCAGCAAUGAUAUCUCGAAUGAAGUGAUACUUCACAUCAAUGUGUUUCGUUCUCUCAUGAUACAUCUGAUCUUUAAUCAAGUGUAUGGCACUUUGACUAUCAUAGUGAAUAUCAGUAUAACACCUUGAUGUAAACUAAACUCGCUAAAUAAACUCUUCAACCACAAGGCUUCUUUGAUUGCCUCGGUCACAGCCAUAUAUUAUGCUUCUGUAGUAGACAAAGUUACGACAGGUUGUAGAGUAGCUUUCCAACUAACAGCACAACCGCCAAUACAAAAUACAUAAGCUGAAAGUGAUCUUCUUCUGUCAAGAUCCCCAGCGUAGUCUGAGUCUACAAAACCAACCAAAGUGUUAUUAUUUCUUCCAAACUCCAAACAUGCAUUUGAAGUACCUCGCAAGUAUCUGAGAAUCCACUUCACAGCCUGCCAAUGUACUUUACCAGGGCAAGAUAUAUAUCUGCUAACAACACUGACUGCUUGUGCAAUAUCUGGACGAGUACAAAUCAUUACAUACAUAAUACUGCCGACUGCACUGGAAUAAGGAACCCGUGCCAUAUACUCUUCCUCUUCAUCUGAUUUUGGUGAUUGAGCAGCAGAUAGCUGAAAAUGGCUAGCAAAAGGAGUAGAUACUGGUUUAGUAUCUUUCAUGCCAAAACGCUCCAAAACUUUCUCAAGAUAAUUUUUCUGGGUAAAAAACAACUUCCCUACUCCUCGAUCUCUCUUGAUAUCCAUGCCAAGAAUUUUCUUAACUGCUUCCAAAUCUUUCAUAUCAAAUUCAUUAUUUAACUGCAGUUUUAAAGUAUGAAUUUCUGACAAAAUCUUGGCAGCAAUGAGCAUGUCAUCAACAUAUAAUAAUAAGUAAAUGAAAGAAGUAUCAUUUAAUUUCCGGAAGUAAACACAACUAUCAUACAUGCUCCUUAAAUAACCAUGACCCAACAUAAAAGAAUCAAACCUCUUAUACCACUAUCUUGGAGACUGAUUCAAUCCAUAUAAGGAUUUCUUCAAUAAGCAAACAUGGUCUUCCUGACCUUCAAUUUCAAAACUCUGGGGUUGUUUCAUAUAAAUUUGUUCUUCAAGUUCGCCAUACAAGAAAGCUGUCUUAACAUCAAGUUGCUCUAACUCCAAAUCAUACAUGGCAACUAAAGCAAAUAAAACACGAAUAGAGUUAUGUUUAACAACAGGUGAGAAUACAUCAUUAAAAUCAACACCUUGUAUCUAACUAUGGCCCUUACAACCAAUCAUGCUUUAUACCUUGCAUCUUCAACCCCUGGAAUACCUUCCUUUUUCUUGAGAACCCACUUGCAACCAACUAUUUUCUUAUUUGACGGCGGCUAUACAAGAACCCAAGUUUCAUUCUGAUGAAGAGAUUCAAUUUCUUCAUUCAUCGCAAUCAACCACUUUGCAGAAUCAUCACAAGAAACUGCUUCUGAAUAGGUGAAAGGCUCACCAACUGCAUCAGUUUCUUCUGCAACAGACAAAGCAUAUGCAACUAAAUUUGUAUAUCUUUGUGGUGGUCGAAUGUCUCUCCUUUGUCUAUCUCUGGUUAUGGAAUACUCUUUUUCUUCUGAACUAUCUUCAACAGUAGAUUCAGGUGCAUCUACUGGCACUUGCUGAGUAAAAGAUUUGGACUUAGAAGGACCAAAACUGCCAAUAUCAAGCUCCACCUGCUUCUGUGUACUAUCAGUAGUACAAGGACUAGAAGACUCUUUCUUGGAAGAUAACAUAAACAAUUUAUCAAAAGUAACAUCUCUACUGAUUACAAAUUUUUGGGAUUUGGGAUCAGAACACCAUAAUCUGUAUCCUUGCAUCCCAGAAGCAUACCCAAGAAAAAUACACUUUUUAGCCCUAAACUCCAAUUUUUCAUCAUUCACGUUCAUGUAUGCUGGACACCCAAAAGCUUUUAAAUUGGAGUAAUCAGCAGGAGUACCUGACCAAACUUUCUCAGGAGUUUUGAAAUCAAGAGAUGCAGAAGGAGAACAGUUGACAAUAAAACAGGCCAUAUUGAUCGCCUUUGACCAAAAGUCGUUUGUCAACCGUGCAUUGGAGAUCAUACAUCUUGCUUUCUCCAAAAGUGUUCUAUUCAUACAUUCGGCCACACCAUUUGUUGAGGCGUCAUCCUGACAGUGUGAUGCCGAACAAUUCCUUUAUUUUUGCAAAAUCUAUCAAAUUCACCUCCACAAAAUUUCAUGCCAUUAUCUGUUCUCAACCACUUAACAUGUUUUCCUGUUUGUUUCUCAAUCAAAACUUUUCAUUGUUUGAAAGUUAAGAAAACAUCAUUUUUAUGCUUAAGAAAAUAGACCCAAACUUUUCUUGAAUAAUCAUCAAUAAAAGUCAACAUGUACCUGGCACCACCUUUAGAAGGAGUGCGAGAAGGACUCCAUAGAUCUGAAUGAAUGUAAUCAAGAGUACCUUUUGUCUUGUGAAUUGCUGGUGAACUGAAACUGAUUCUUUUCUACUUCCCAAAAAUACAAUGUUCACAGAAUUCCAAUGGCCCGGUACUUUAUCCACAAAGAAGUCCUCUUUUGCUCAGUAUGCCCAAGCCUUUUUCGCUCAUCUGUUCCAAACGCAUAUGCCAUAAUUUGGUGAUAUCUGUAUCUGACAAAGAUAAUGUUGAAACAGUAGCAGCAUCUGUAACAGUAGAUCCCUGCAAAUUAUAUAAAGUACCAGAUCUGUGUGCCUUCAUAACAACAAGAGCACCUCGAGUGAUUUUGAGAACUUCAUCUCCACCUGAAUACCUACACCCAAUAGACUCAAGAAUGCCCAAAGAGAUGAGAUUUUUCUUCAAAGCUGGAACAUGUCUAACAUUUGUGAGCAUCCUCACAAUACCAUCGUACAUUUUAAUCCGGAUUGUACCUUUGCUAAUAACUUUACAAGUGGUGUAGUUACCCAUUAAGACAACUUCACCUUCAAUUGAUUCAUAUAUUGAAAACCAAUCCCUAUUGGGACACAUAUGAUAUGAACAACCCGAAUCUAUAAUCCACUCACUGUUAGACCUAAAAUUAUUUUCUGUUGCACAAAAAAUGGUUCCAUCAUUCUCAUCUACUGCAAUACUAGCUUCGGUAGUCUCACUCUUUUUCUCCUUUUGCUUUUCUUUAUUUUUCAAUUUAAAGCAAUCAGAGAUAACAUGACCCUUCUUUUUACAAUAGUUGCAUACCACAUUUUUAUGUCAGGAUUUGGAUCUACUUCUAUUUUAUGUGUUUCUCUUUUCAGAUCUACCCCGAACAAACAAGCUAUCGGCUUGACUCCCACUAGUUUCCCCAAUAAUAUCCCUAUCUAUCUGCUCUUUAGAUUUUAAUGCAAAUUUAAUUUUUCGAUACGAAAUUGUUUCCUUUCCAUAAAUCAUAGUAUCACGGAAAUGUUUCAAAGACUGGAGAAGGGAAAACAAAAGUAAUAGGGCUUGAUCUUCAUCAUCAAUUUUCGAAUUUAUAUUCUCCAAAUCCAUAAUAAUGGAAUCAAAUUUAUCAAGAUGGGAGAGUAUAGAUAAACUUUCACACAUUCGAAGCAUAUACAAACUCUACUUCAGAUAUAGCCGAUUUUCGACUGUUUUCUUCAUAUACAAGGCUUUCAAUUUAUCCCACAUAACCUUAGCCGAAGUCUCCAUUGCUACCUCACGCAAUACCUCAUCGGAGAGAUUUAAGAUUAUGCUAGAUCUGGCCUUCUUAUCCAUAUCGGCGAAAUUCGCAUCCUUUAUAUCUUCUGGCUUUUUCUCAAUUCCCUGAUUUGCCAAGUCAACUCCGUCUUGAACAAGAAUGGCCUCCAUCUUGAGCUGCCACAUGCCGAAAUUGACAUUCCUGUCGAAUUUUUCGACAACCGUCUUUGUUAUCGUCAUUGUUGUCACAAAAUCUAUAACUUCAAGUUUGUGUCAAAAACUGUCCAAACAAAUAUGCAAGUCUUGUGAGUAAGCCCCACAGAGUGAGCGGGUCCCACGGGAUGAGCGGGCCCUAUGGAUAACCGGAUCCCACAGGAUGAGUGGGCCCCACAGGAUAGACGGGCCCAACCAAAUGAACCUGUUUUGCAAAAUAUAACAACCAACUCUGAUAUCAGUUUGUUAGGACCGGCCCAGGAAUAAACAAACUAAAGUUAGCACAAAUUAGAUGGUAUAACCGACCAUAUAAAUAUUAGACGGUAAACACCAGCCAUAUAAUAAUUAGUCGUUAAAAUCGACCAUAUAAAAGGGUUGUGGCAACCCAAUAAAGACAAAUAAUAAAGCAAAUAAAAGACACAGAAGAUUUACGUGAUUCAGUCAAAUUGACCUACGUCCACGGGCAGAGGAAAAACAAUAUUUCUACUAUGAAGAAAAAAUACAAAAGCCGUAGGAAAGUGGUUUUUAGGCCAAAAGGUACUUAUAAAAGAUUUAGAAAAUAUUCCUAAAUACAAAACAAGAGAACCUAAAAUAUUUGACUAUAAAUAGGGUAGAUGACUCAAGAAACUAAUAGUUCAUAUAACUCUCUUGAGUGGUGCACUUGAAACUAACCAAAGGCCCCUAUAUUUAUAGCCUUUAGCAGCCGACUUCUCCUUGGCAUUGUUCGAUGUGGGACGAAGCAAAAGAAGCAUCGGUCAACAAAUGCGGCUUCAACAAGGUGCAAUGGUGAUCGAAUUGUUGGAUGCAAUUGUUACAAGUUGCACAAUGACAAGUUCUUGGUGGACGAUAAAUGUUACAAUACUUCAACUUCACUUCUAUCCCAUUUAUGACACUGAUCAUUUCUAAGAAUUAUACCAGGAUUAAUGGUACUGACAAAUACCAAGUUCACAAGAACCUGCAUUGAGGGCAAUAUAUAGUUACAUAAGGGCAUUCGGUUACGCUCACAACUUUCUCAUACAAGAGUGUGUGUGAAAUUUAGUUUAGAACUAACAAUUGUUGUCAAAAUUGAAGAUGUUACGAUGAUAGCCGGAUUCCUUAUAUCACUUGCAACAUGAACCGCAAAUGUCCAACUUGAUAGACUAAUAGCAAUGGCAGUUAAAAUCAGCCUUUUUGGAUCCGGACCACAAAUCAGUCUCCCCUUGAAAAAGAAUACCUACAUUCAGAAUAAGACGUCCAACAUCAAAUCCUCUUUUUUUUUUUGCGUAAGCAUCAAAUCCUCCAUUUCUUCAUUGAUUUAAACCAACAAACUAAAAGCUUUAUCAGGAUUCAGCAAAGUACAAUGAUAAGAAAUAGCUUUGGAACGUAAAGCAAGAGCAAAUGGAGGAUUACAUUGUUUCCAGGCCAAAAAUGGUAAACUCUUGCUUGUUCAAUUUCGUCACCACCUCGACAAAAUCGAAAAGAUUUUUCUUGAACCACCUUUUGAAUCCAAUUAUUUUCUCCCAAAGUGAAGAAAACAGUUGCUUGCUUUUUGCUUGAAGACUAACUUUAGAAUUCUUAUCUACCUUCUUUCCUGAUGACAUAGUACUUUCUGUAGGUUGAUCAAUUUCUAAUGAGGCAGAAUUAUCGAUAGCUUGAGCGACUGAAGAAUUUACGCUGCCGUCUUUCUUUUCACUCGCCAUCCACUCCAUUAUCUCUUGCUUCUACUAUCUAGACUCAAAUUAAGAACUUCAAUUGGCAGAUGAUAACCAACCCGGUUGAAACUAGUGACUGGAAAAGAUAUUUCAGAAAACGGUUACUAUUUUUGUGUUCAUUAGGUCCAAGCCAUCGGUUAAAGCGUGCACGCACUACCCGGAUGCAAUAUAAAGCAAAACAAGCCUGUCAAAUUGGGCUCGGGGAGGAACCCACUGAAAUGGAUGAGUCAACAAAUUCCCAAUGGAUGCUAGAUUGAACCAAUAGAUCACUAUAAUAAAGGGUGUGUUUGGACGUGAAUUUUUGAAAUAAUUAUUAUACUACUUUUUGUGAUAUGAUGUAUGUGAUAUAAAAAAAUAAUUGAAAAUAUAAAAAUAUAUGUUAAAAAAUAUGUUUGUGAUGCAAAUAAAUAAUUUUUUAAGAAAUAACUGCAAUCGAAACACACCAGUAGUUUUUAAUACAAGAUAUGUCAUAUGACAUCACAAAAUAAUGUUAUUAUAGAAUAUUAAUAAUUGCGAGAGUUGUGACAAAUAAAAAUGUAAUUAGUAAUCUACCCAUCCUUAGUUUUAUUAUGAAUCUUGUUAGUUAAGAAGUUAUGAUUAUACAAUGUCAUUCAAAGUGAUCUUUGUUGUGAGAAUUAAUUGUUGUAAUAUUUCAUUUUGUUAAUAUAUUUCUAAUUUGUAAACUAGAUUUUGAGGAGCAACAAGUUUUAGUAAAAAUUUCCAAAUGAGUAUUUGUAAAGUGUGUGUGUUUUAGGAAAGGCAUGAAUGUCCACCAACACCUAGAUAGUUCCCAGUAUGAAAGGCAUGAGCAAAACUUUUCUCACCAAUGGAAUACUGCAAUUCGCCGAUUGUUGCACCAGACUCAACCCAAGCAUUAUUUCCUUUAAUAUCAACGCUAAUUGACUUGAGAUUUCUUAUAUCAAAUAUGAUGAAUGGAACUUCAGACUUAUAGGAUGUGCCCUCGAAAUCAUGGCCGCCACUUCGAAUCCUCAUUUGUACUCCAUCUUCUUUGCAACAUAUGACUGUUGCUUCAACGUGAUAUAUAGUAUUCUAAAGGAGUGAUUAUUUGAUAGGUUGCAAUUUUAUCAUUUAUUUUAUAAUUAAUUUUCCCUAUUAACUGACCCCGAUGUAGAUUAAUUGUCAGAUUCUACUCACUUUUGGAAAUUUGCAUUUAUUACAGGGAGUAGAAUGAAAAUACGAUAACAAGUGCCAACUUGACAGUCAUCAGGAAAGGAGUUCAAGUAGCAGCCCUUAUUCUAGGGGCAUUUUUUGGAAAAGGGAAACUUUUCCCCUUUUGGUAAUUGCCGAAGAGAGAAGAGACGGAAGAAGACCCCUAGAGCCUCGCUUUUCUUCCGGGGAAGCAGCUGCAAAGUAGAAGAUGAAAAUUAGAUAGGAAUAGAUAGAAACAAGAGGAGACUACUUUAGCUUGAGAACUUUGACUUUUCUUUUGGUCUCUUAGUAGCUUUUCUUCUCGCAUGUCAGGAGCAUUUUGAAGACUUAAUCACUCUCUAUAGUUUGCAUUUUCUUUGAUUAAUUGAAUGAAUUGAGCUUUCUCAAUCGGAGGACAAUGGCCGCUACUUUCUCUACAGCUUUGUGUGAGUCUUUCUCAUCAGGAAUGAACUAAAUCUCUUUUUCUAGUCAAGAAACAAUGGAAGCUUUGGUUCAUCUAAAAAUUGUGAGAUCGAUUUAAUUUUAUCUUUUCCUCUUAUUUAUUGGUAUUCGCAUAUUCUCCACUUGCAGCGCUUAUGGUUGUUUAAUUGAUUGAUUAUCAUGGAUCCGGAUAGUGAAUUGAUUUAGUAAUCUAUUGUCAAUUAGGGCAUUAAAUCCGUAAUUAUUUAAUUGUCUUGAAAUAGUGACAACUAGCAUGAUUGGGUUUAUGUUAGGAGAAUACGCGGGCUAAUUUAAAAUAACCCUGGUAGCGCGUUAUUUGGUUAAAAUAGGGCUUUUAUAAUACGUAAGGCAAUUGGGGAAUAAAAUCUUACGGGCAUACUUAGGAUUAUUUCUCAAUUAGAGCAAUGAUUAAUGGGUGUGCCUUAAUCACCGACACUGUAAGGAGGGGUUGAUUGUUAUUGCUUGUUUGGCAGUUAUAACCUAUUUAUUAGUAAAUAAUUGGAGUUGCCUUUGCAUCGAUGAUCAUUUAGAUGAACCAUUGUUGAAGUUAUUUCUUGACUAGACCUUUAGUUAAUAUUACUCUGAUUUUAUUGAAUUGUCGUUUAAUUUUUAGUUAGCUAUUUGUUUUUAUUCGAACUGUCUUAAUUGGCAUCUUUUAUACAAAAUCACCCCCUUGCUACUUUGAAUUUCAAAAGAGACAAAUGCCCCCAGUCCCUGAAGAAACGACCCUACUUGCCCUUUAUACAAAUCAAUAAAUCCUUGUGAAUAAGCAAUCACAUUCUAGUAUAUCGGAUUAAGCAAACUCUUCGGGAACAGGGUGAAUCAAAUAAUCCAUUGCACACCUAGAGUCCCUGCUCCAGUACUUAGAAUCGGGUUCUGAUUACUUUAAUUGGCAACUAGAUUUAUUUUUAUUAUUGCACAAUCAUCGAUAACCUGUCAUUAUUGCCAAAGGUUUUUGCUUUUUCCUUGAUACAAAAAACCUAAGAUUUUAGAUUGAAGAUUCCAUGAUGGGUAAAUAAGAAGAGUUGUUGGGGAGAUAAAAGAACAUUCAGAACUGAGAUGUUUGAUGACAUGAAGCUAUCAAGAAUCGAACUUGAGUAUGAUGAUGGAAUUAGUAAGGAAAACAAGGCAGUGAAUAACAGAACUUUAGACAUUUCUGUAACCAUUUCUGUGAUAUUCUGAACUAUGAUUCCCCUCAGACACAAUGUAGACUUAAAAAAACUAUGAAUUGCUCAUCUUAUUUAUAUUCAUUACAAUUGACCGGGACUGAUUGUCAUAUAAAUUAAGAAAUACAUGCAAAGUUGGCCUGCCUGCAGGCCUGCUUUAAAAAAAAAAGCUGUAUUCUCUCUCUUGCAUUGUAAGAAACCGUGAUUGUAAACUUAUUCUCAAGUGAAGACACUGGCUAGCUCCGAAUAUGCAGUUCUGGUCAUAUAAGAUUUUUUGCAUUCCCAAUCUUGUCUCAAUUAAAUAUACAAGUCUGCCUAGUUAAUAAAAUUUUGUUAAUUUGGGGCUCUCUUAUGUUGUCAAUUUGGGACAAAAAUUUUGGUAGUUUUAAUCUCAAUAACUAGGCAGACUUGUUCUUUGCUCAAAACAUAUAUGCAGUCAAUGUUUUUUUUGGAAUGUCUAGUACGAAAAAGCCAUUUAUUUUGUCGUUCUUUUAGGGUUGCCUCCAGCAAUAAAGAGCCAAACGUCGAACUUGUAGAACCUUUGAUGUAGUCUCACCAAGGAACCAUGCAUAUUAAGGUUAAUAUCUAUUAUUGUCUCAUUUAAUUUAGAUUAAUAGCUUUUAUGUGAUCUUGUCAACUCACAUUAUGUUGCUUGAUUUUCUUGCAUGCCAAAUUCCAUGACCAAUCUGUCAUUAAAUACGUACAUUACUAGUUACCAACUCAGUUCUUUCGAAUAAGUGUCAUUUGCUUCGAAGUCUUUCAUGUUGGCUUAUGCUAAAUAAGCCUUAAAAAUGUACAAAAUCUGAAUUAGAAUGUGUUUGAAAGCAUGAUGAUUAAGUGGUUUCAAUAUGUCAUCUAUCCCUCAUUCUUUGUUUUGGUUCUUCAGUUACAUGCACUUAGGACACAACACAAAGAAUAAACCAAUUUUAUUUUGUCCCAUAAAAGUAGUAAAUUCUCUAUGCUAAAGUAUCAGCAACUUAUAAGAUUAAGUUUAAAUGCUGAAUUGAAUUAUAAAACAAGGUCUAAAUGGUUUCAAUAGGACAUCAAUCCCUUAUUCUUUGUUUUGGUUCUUCAGUUACAUGCACUUUAGGAUACAACACAAAGAAUGUAAGCCAAUUUUAUUUUGUCCCAUAAAAGUUGUAAAUUCUCUAUGCUACAACUUAGAAGAUAAAAGAGAAUGCUAGAAUUUCAUACUAACCCCUAAUUUUUGUAUCUUUAUUGUGUACCUUUAGCAUAUAGAAUAGAAAAUUUCGGUCACUUCCUUACAAAAAGGUCGUAUGUUCAAAUCCAAUUGUCAAUAUAUGGAUGUGUUGGUAGACAAUAUGUACCUGUACGGUUGUGUUAAUGGGUAAUCUGUAAGAAUCCCUGUAAACAAUCCAUGAUUGUAGAAACAUGUCCUAACCCGUGGUAUUGAUUAGAGCCAACCCCAUCCAAACUUUUUGGUGCCAAAAUUUUUUUUUAUUUACUUGAAUUCUCCUAUUUUGCCCUUGGGAAACAACAAAUUAUAUCCAUUUAAAUGGAUUUGGAUGAUCCAAAUAAAUUCAAUGGUUUUAAAUAGAUAACCAUCUAAACCCAAUUAUGUUGGUGGCUAUAAAUGGAUUAUCCAUAUCAUCAAUAUAUAUCCACUUAAUUUAAAAAAGAGAAAACACACAUUGUGAUUGCAAAUAUUUAUAAAAAAGUGGGAUGGAAUUUUGUGGGAUCACGUAUUAUUUACUUCAUAACUUUCUCGUAUGCCAAGUUGUCAAUAGCAUUAAUUGCAUUUUAUUCACCUCUAGUUCUUAGACUUCUUCCAUCCUUUUCAAAAUUGUAUUUUAGUCUCUACACUUUUUUUUAAUUAAACUCUUAUUUAGUAAUGACAGCAAACUUGCACAUUCUAAAGUAAAGAAAAAGCGAGAAUGUAUCGUUCUGUGUGAAAGUAAUUUUUUAUUUUUAUUUUUUAUGUAUAAAAAGAUUUUUCUAACGAGUGUCCUCCCUGCGACAUUGGUUAAGAUAUAUAAAUGACACCUUCUUCUUCUUUUUUUAAUAAGUGGAAGAUCUUGAAUCUAUGACCUCCUACUUAUAAUCCUUCUCCCUUUAUCAUCCAACCCAACCCUAAAAAAAAAGGACACCUAAUUUACUAAGUAAAUAUAAGGUAGCUUGUAUAUCAAUAUUAUAAUAAGGAGUUUCAUACAUUUCGAGGUACUAUGUGCUCAUGUGAUGAAAAUAUUUUAUUUAUCAAAUAAUAUAAGACCUUUUAUUGGAACUCUAUUUUUAUUCAAAGCAUCCCUCUUGAACAGAGUGCAAAAAAUUGGAAAAAAAAAAAAACUUCCUUCCAUUGUAAAGCCAUAUUCAAUUCACCCAAAAGUUAUAAUAAUGUAGCCAAGUUAUUAAUUGUUCAUUACUUUACGAGAUGAUGCUUUAAGUAAUGAUUUAAGGUUAAAUUGACCACAAUAGUUACAUUUUCUUAGAACUAAACUAAUUUAAAACUGUUUUUAUGAAGAAUGAAAUAGAAUAAUAGCACAAGCAUUUGUUAUUACCAAAAGUAUUUUAGGUGAUUUAAGGAUAGAAUUUUGGGGAUCAAUAUCUUUUUGGAAAAAAACAUUUGGAUCUUAAAUUUAGGAUUUGAGAAAGUAAAUGGAUAAAUGGAUGGAUCAUGGUUUUACACUAUCCAUUUAAAUGACAUCCAUUUAUUAAAUGGUUUUAAUUGAAUUGGAUCAAUUUGAUCCACUAUCUAUUUAACUAAAACUAUUUAUCAACCAUAUAUCCAUUUUGCAACUUCUAUAUCUCACUAUGUAUUAACAUGAAAUCUUAUUUACCAUAAUAUAUUAGUCAGUAGCGUUCCAUGUCAGUUUACAUUUAGAAUUUCAUUUCUUCAACUUGUAAAGUUUGCCUGGAAAGUUUAUUAAAAAAAAAAAAAGAACAAUAUUGUCAUUGUUUCUGAUACCAAUUUUAGUGGCGUGAUCUGUCAAUAAUCUUUUGUCUCUAUAACUUUUGAAUAUGACCGACGGUCGUGCUUCAGGCCGGCCGCUGCUGGCGCCUCCACUUGCGACAAUUUGUCUUCUUCAUUAGUAAUGGAACAACAAAGAUAUAAACUAUAAAGGCACUCAAAUAAAAUAAAGGCAUUCAAGGAAAAUCCUCAGCUUCUUCCUUCUCUUAAUACUAGACUAGAUGUACACGAAUGGAGUAAAUAAUUUUAUCUUUCAUAAUUUUGCAUUUUAUCAUACAAUCCUCCUAUUGUUUAAAAUUUCCAAUUAAUCCAUCUAUGAUUUUACGUAAAGCUGAAAAUAGACAAAAAGCAACUAUAGUCACGGUGAUCAACCUAUACGCACGCUAGCUAGAAAUGUGGAAUAUGUUAGAAUUGCCACUUAUUCCCCUUAUAUAUGGCUUUACAUUUGGCCACAUAAUUCCCUGUUAAUUUUAUGUAAAGUGGUUAGACACUUGUUGUGCUUAAAUAUUAACUAAUGCUUGGAGAUACUUUUUUUCUUUUCACUUUACAUGAUGCCACAAAAGAGUUAAAUGGACAUUGUUGAAUACAGUGGUAGAACCAAAAACUUUAGUUUAGGGGAGGCAAAAAAUCCAACGUAUAGUAAUAACACAUAUUAUAGCAUAUAAAGCAUGGUAAAUUUAAAAUGUAAAUUAAGGAUUUCAAUAAUAAAAGAAAAAGUAUAAUUCAAACUGCAAAAUUUGAUUCCCUACCAUUCUAUUUCCUAUCAAUGCGAGAAACAACUAUCUAAUAUAGUAAUAAAUUAAUAAUUCAUAUUACUGGCUUUGUUUUUUUUUUCUUACAUUAAUAGAAGCAAUAAUCAUUGCAUAAUUCCAAAACAACAAACUCAAAAUAAAAAUAACUAUUUCAAAAUUAAUAAUACAAUUUAAAAUAUAAUACAAGAAAGUUUGAAGGAAAUAAAAAUAAAAACUUGCCUUGCAAAAUUGGAGUUUGAGAACAGUUGAUGCUUGAAGCAUAAUAAUGGAGCUUAGAAAGACUCGAUCCUUGAGAAGCUGGAUAAAAAGUUGUGACUUUUUAUUUUUUUAACUAAUCCUCCUACAUUCUUAAUUCAAGUGAAUUCUAUUACCUUUUAUUUCCUUUAUUUACUUUUAUGUAGUGUUUUUUUAAUUGUUAUUUUUCUGUUGCAAGCUGUUGAUGAACUGAGCAUUUGACGAAUAAUUUGAACUAGGCACAUUAAGGGCUCGAUUUGAGGGUGGAUUUUUAGCAAGCUGGAGCUCGAGUUCAAAUAAUAUAAUAAGAGAAGGAAAUAAAAUAAUAUCGAGCCUGUAACAUCAAAUUGAACUUGAUCUCAAAUUUAGAUCUCGUAUAGGAUUUGAGUUCGAAUUUGAAUUUAUCUAAUAUUUUGAAUCGAGCCGAAUAGGUCAAAAGUACGAUUCGAUUCAUUUAUAAACCCAUUUGUACUAGUGCUACACUAAUACGAGAAGAAAAUAAGAGUUUGUUUGGUACAAGAGUCUCAUAAAAAGAGUGAUUAAGGGGGACAAGAAAUAGAUAAAUGUAUGAAGAGUAAUUAAGAGGAACUAGAAAUAGAUAUGCAUGUUGGGAGGGGGGGAGGGGGAGGCGAUUAAUCUAUCUUAGAUAAAAUGUUUUAGUGCCUUUAGGAUUAUUUCGAAAGUUUUGGCGGCUGUGGGGGGGAGCGAAAGGCUGCUCCUCCCCAGCCCCCCUGUUCCAUCCUUGGUUGAAUCAUAAGGGAUUUGUGAGGUAUUAACAAUAUACCCAUGCAAAUUUGGUGUACUUAAACCAAAAUAUAGAUUAUCAAAAUUGUUGACGUACAUCAAUUUGAUUUUGACUAUUACUUAUUGUGAUUUUUCGUUAGUUGUCUUAAAUUGCGUUGAAGACAAAUUUUGUUUUAAUCGAAAUAUUAGAUGGACUAAAUAUUGGGGACCAAAACUGUACUUUUGCUCCACAUUAAACGUUUGAUUUUGGUGCGAUAAUUGAUUGAGUUAAUUCUCCUUUAGCAUUUCUGGUUCAAAAUAGUUCUUGUCUUUCUCUUUGGCAUUUUCUAAAUAAACGGUGAUUUGAAAUGGAGCUUGUUACGUGAACAUUUGCCCCCUGGCAUCUUUCAAUGGAGGUACUCAUUCAUAGGCGAACAAUCUUGGAUACAAAUUUUGAAUCCUUUAAGAAAAUGGAGAGUCUGAAUGGAAAUGCGCAAGCUAAACAAAUAUUGAGAUCAAGGCAUCUAAGCUGAAUUCUGGUCCGGAUACAAGCUUUCAAGGAAACUUUCACAUUAACCAAUGAAAUUAAAAUUGAGUGCAGGCGCAAGGUCUCUUUCAAUCAGAAUAAUUGCUUGACAAUGGUCUGAUUGCAGUAAUAAAAAAAUUUAUUAGGUUGCAAACUGAUAAUAUAUAAAAAAGGGAUUCAAUAUCGACACAUUGUCAUUGUUGUAAGACCACUUUUCUUGGUUUAAUCUAUCAAUAAUCUUGUCUACAUAAUUUUUUGAAAUAAUCUACAAUUCUGCUUCAGGCCGGCUGCUGCUGCUUCACUUGCACUUGCGAAGAUGUCAGUCACAGUCAUUAGUUGGCCUGCAAAUAUAGAUGUCAUGAUAUUAACCAGCUACGUGCGCACAUCAGGAGUACUAUCACUAUGUAUAUAUGCGAUCUAGAUAAUUUUUUUUUUUUUUUAUAAACGAUAUAAUAUCAUACAAUGAAAUAUGCACUAAUGUGGCAGAAAAUACUUUAAUUAUAUCACAGAAAUAAUAAAUCUGAAGAAUCACUACAUCUAAUAGAUCUAGAAAAUUACAAAAAUUACAUUGUGAAACUCAACACAUUUGAAAUUUAGAAUAUUUAUGUAUGCCAACGCUGUCUGAUUUACUAUCCAACUGGUUUAAACUCAAAUUGGAUGCUGAGAUCUAAUAAAAUGACCUAAGAAAUUCCAGUGAUCUAGAAAAAAUUCACCCUAAGGUUGAUGAAACAUAUGAAGGUAUACAUGUUAAAACAUCAAUAAAUAGAUUAACACGAAAUGUUCACUAAUUAACUAUUCAUUAGGGAUUAGUACCGCCUAAUUUUUUUCAUUUACAUGUCCAAAAAUCCAAAAAGAUUCAUCAGAUAGCACUCGUCAAUGUGUCAAGAAUAGGACCAAAAAGAAAUACAAGCUUUCAUAUAAAAUACCAGUAUAACCCUAGUUUCCCUCAGUAAGAAAGAUAGUUCAGUUAUAAAGGGGUUUCAGGGUAUGUUUGUACAGGAGAUAUAACCAAGGGUGUUUGCUUGUAAUUAACCAAGAAUAUUGUGUUACAUAAGCUGCGGAACGGUAAGAUUUUGUACAGUCAUACCAUAAAACAGAAAUAUUGUUCCAAAAUUUUGGCCAUAGGUUACUGAGCUAAUUUCUCCUCAUGUUGAACUUGAAUCUCAAAGUUCUUUCUCUGCUAAAUGAUUUUGAGAAGCUAGAAAAUGCUAAGCAUGUUAUCUCAUCAGCCCGGACAACUCAAUUAAGAUUUUGAAUAGAUUUAGUAACCAAUGGAGCACUUUACCCUAGUUUUAGAUAUCAACUUCACGUUUCCAACACCUCCCCCACCCUCCCCCCCCCAAAACAAAAAUGUUAUGAUUAAGUUCUCAAACCACUUGAACAAUGAUUUACACAACAUGUUAUAGAAUUGUGUCCGUAAUAGACCAAAAAGCAAUGAAGGCUUUCAGAUAAAUUAUUAGUAUAGGCAGUGUUGCCUCGACAAGAAAAACAGGUAAGAAGGGUGUUGAAUGUUGAGAUUCUGAAGACAGGCUUCAAAUGUCCAAAUGUCUGAAUGAUACGUCUAACUGGCUAUGAAUGCAGACCAUACAUAAGUUAAUAACAACAAGGCUCAAAAAAAACAAUAAAGAAAAAAAAAUGUUCCAUGCCCCCUGUCCCUCCCAAUAUCAAACGUGUUAUCUUGUUUUAUUUUUCUCUUUAUCUAUUACUAUUACUAUUACCAUAUUAAAAGUAUGACGAGAUUUGGCAUUAUAAGUUGUAAGCACUUUUUUUAUCUUAAUUUAUGUUGUUUCCAUAUUACCCCAAGUUAUUGUAUUUUAAUUGUGGUAAUAAUUAAAAUAUGAAACAUUCCAAAUGAAUAUAUCUCAAUAAUAAUGGUAAUUAAAAUGAAAAACUCCCUAUUAAAACUAUUUAGCGACCCAUACAUUUCAUCUCCAAUUUUUAUGUGCAUCAAAGUUUCUUAUUCGAAACAAUUUCUUACUCAUAAUAGUUUGACCAAUUUCAGUAACCACAAUUUGAAGAUUGUAAAAAAAUAUUAGUAUAAAAAAAUAGAUGCUCUUAGAACAAAAGAGAAUAAGAAAAGAGUCCAUAUUCAUUUGGAGAAUCUUGAUAUGCAUAUCAUGAGAUAGGUACAUAAUUAUGUGUCUUCUAUCAGUAUAAAGAAAUACUAAAAGAAAAGCAAAAAUAAAAGAAUCAAACUAUUUCUAUCAAUUGAAACUAAAGCCAUUUUAAGAUAAUUAAGCUGUAUAAAUCAUUAUAUUCUUAUCAACCACAAUAACACUUAGAAAAAACGUCACUAAUCCAAAUUCAACAAUGCACCUCACAUUAUUCAAUUCAAAUUCACAAAAUUUUUUGUGAAAAGUUCAACUAGAAAGAUAUAAAGUAAAAUGUUCAUGCGGAGUUGGAUAUGAGCACGAUUCAUAUAUUUUAUUCUUAAAUAAUUAAUUCAUUCUAACUAUACAAUUGCAUUUCAUUUGUCUUAGCAAGGGAAAAUAAUAUUUAAAAUGUUCAUACAAUUUUUUUUUUAUUUCUUAAAAUUUGUUGAUUUCAUCAUAAACUUAACUUUGGGGUGUAUUUUUAAGUAAGAAAAGGCACAUCUAGACUCUAAUUCAUAAACGAGCUUUCCAAAAGGGUAAAGAAAGGGGUGAGUGUGGUGAAAAUAAUUAGAAUGACAAAAUCUAACUAAUCAAUUUAUUUAUUCUAAUACCCCUUUAGAAAUUGAUUUUACGAUUUAAGUCUUUAUUUUCCUAACAAUUAUGAAUUAAUUCUAUUUACUAGGCUCACACUUGACAUGUAUGCAUAUAUUUCCUGUUUAGCAAUAUUUUUUGUACAAUAUUUUAAAAAAAUAAUAUUAUGAUUUUAUGGUAAAAAUAUUGUGAGUAUACAACAACUUUGGUGAAAAAUGACCGAAUUAGGAAUUAUUUAUCAAAGCUGAAUCCAUAAUUUACCGAAAAGAUCGACAUAAAUUAAAAAAAGAAAACUCAAAAUAAAUUCAAAAAUAAUUGAUCAAAGAGUUCAUAUUUAGAUGGGCUUUGAAAUAAUAAUUGGUUAAUGAAAAUAUGACAUGUUUUAUUAUCAGGUAAACAAUCAAAUUUGACAAAAAAUAUAUAUAUAAGACAUGUUAUUUUGGGUUAAUAUAAUCAUGUGCAAAGUACGCGAACUAUUACAAGUUUAUUAAAUGGAUUGUUGAUUGAAUUCUUGUUGUUAAUCUCAAAAUUAAAUUAAAGUCCUACUUCAUUGACAUAAGCAAUUAUAAUAACGCGCAAGAUUAAUCAAAAUAAUAACCCGGUUGCGAAAUUAGUGCCGCUAGAUGUAUUAAAAGAUUGUUAAGAGCGUAAUUAAUGCUGUAUUAUUCAAACAUUUGGACUAAUGACUAAGGGAAGUGCAAUGGAGCGAAAUGUCCAUUGACUAUUUGUCCUUUCUUUACUAUAUACUAGCAAUCUAUCACCAGAGCAAGAGAAGAGCACUCGAUUGUGAGGUUUUGCAGUUCUUAUCUCCUUUCACAUUUGAGAGUUGUCUCAUCUCUAAAUUGAGAUCUCUGCUGGUUCUCUUAUUAAUCUUUGAUUAGAUGGUCUCCAGUAGUAUAGUAUUACUUGCAUUUAUAAACUGAAAUUAUAAAAAUGAAACUUAUAGUUAACGUAGGUAUUGACAAACUCCAUCUAAAAACAUAGGAGUGAAAUUGGAGAUUGUGGUGCUUACCAAUUUUACUUAAAGCCAUUGUGGACAGCUCUCAAUGUGAAAAGCUGUUGUUUGAUGGCAAGGCAAUAAACAUGGAAAUCAAUAGAGUCCAAAGCAUUAAAACUUCUAUUUGUUAUAAAACACCAUACCAUAACUUCUAUUUGUACCAUUCAAGCAGUUGGACUAGUGGAUAACGCAUGUGCAGUGGGGUCUUUUUUUUCUUUCAAUCAUCCAAGAAGUAUCCAAUGACUAUUUGUCAUUUACUUGCUGGACAGUAGCAAUCAACGUACAGAAAAGAGGAGAGCACUUGUUUUUGAGGUUUUGCAGAUCUUUCUCGUCUCCUUUCAUAUUUGAGAACUGUUUCAUCUCUUAAAUUGAGAUCGAUACAUUCUGGUUCCCUUGUUGAUCUUCCCUUUAUUAGAUGGCCUCCACUAGUAUCACUUGUAUUUCUUCCAUCUUGGCUGAUCUGCAAGCGCUGGAGAACGAUUAUCCAGAAUUUCCAAAUUGGCCGCAGCAGUACCUGAGACGCAUGAGACACAUGCUAAGAUAUCUGAGAACAUUUCUUCUGUGUGCGAUAAAAUACAGCAACGGUGAUGUGCAAUUACUAUUUGACAACAAAAAGAACCAGGCAAAUAAUCAUCAUGCAAGCCUAGAAGCUCUGGCAGUUCGGAUUGGAGAAGCCAUUCCCAAGUGGGCAAAGGAGAUCCAAUCUUCUGAUCAGCCUUGGAAGGUGGUCCAUGAUUUAGAAAAAGACAUGGAAUCCUUCGAACAAGAAAUUUGCGAAUGGUACGUCUUUUUCUUGGGUUCCUCGUCACGGCAGUCCAGUAAUUCGGUCGUUCGAAAAGAUGACCUUAUGGAAUUCAUGGAUUCUCUUCUGGAGAAUCUAGUGAAUUAUCUUCCAAGGAGUCGGCUGCCACAUCAAGUUGGACUAAUUAAAGCCCUUGAAGAGAAGCUGGCGUUCAUGAAAAACUUCAUCCGUUUUCUCACACUGCAUGGCGUUGCAAACACAGAAUUGGGACCAUUGUUGGUUCACACUGAAGCUGUGGCUAUCAAUGCAGCAGGCCUCUCUUAUAAGUUCCAGUUUAAGAAGGGUUUCGGAUCGCCCAAGGAUAUCAAGGAAAACAUUUCGGAACUGCCGCAGAAGAUUAUUCCUGUUGAACCGCAAGUCCUUGACACUUGUAUCCAGGCCCUGGCUGCUUCAAAGUUAUCAAGACAAUCAUACGGAGAUACAGAUGAGCGCAUAUUGAGAGACUUCUACCAUUCUCUCCUGCGUAAUCUUUGGGAGAAACUAAAGCAUGGUACUUGUCCUGUAAUUUUGCGUCAACUACAAAUGUUUUACGAGGGGCUCAAUUCCUUGAGAACCAUUUUGAAGGAGAAGCCAAAGGAGUUCAAUGAGAAAGUAAGAGAUCCUACUCGAGUCGUGAAAUGUUAUGGAGGAGAUUUUAUUUCCCCACUCUCUCUGAAUGCAAUCAAAGACGGCAUACAAGCCAAGGAUAUGGAUAUCGUGUGUUCUGAGUUAUCGGAAAUAAUUAAGCUCAUCAAUGCAGUAAUCACAGAGAAGUGUCCAGAAUCAUCAUCAUUCACUUUUCCUACGACCAAUGGACUGGGCUUUGUUGAUUCCCUUCUAGAAAAGAUGAUGGAUGUGACAAGUUCUGAGGCCGGCUCGAUUGCUUUGAUCGAUCAUCCAAUUCAAAAAGUCCAGGAAGUACUUGUUUGUUUACGUUCUUUGCUGUGGAAAAUUGUGGAGCUGCAAAAUGAAGAUGAGGAGGUCCAGGCAAUUUGGAAUCGUAUUGUUGGGGUGGCAUACAGGAUAGAGCUUUUUAUUGACUCCUUAAUAACUGGAAAUAUCUUAGAUUCUUCUUCAAUGUCUAUUCAUUCCAUUUUAGAAGAAAUGAACAUCAUUGAAGCUGCGGCCUUGAAGAUUUGUGAUAGCGAAAGACUUGGUGGAAAAGUUAGCGAAGUAACGAAGAGAUUCAAUCACAUGCCACAAGAAGGAAGUAAGCCAAUAGUCAAUGAUUUGGUGGUGGGAUUCGAGGAUGAGACGGCAUCGAUAAUCAAUGGACUCAGAAAUGGAUCACGCCAAGUGAAAAUUGUUUCCAUUGUGGGUAUGCCGGGAUGCGGUAAGACAACUUUGGCUAGAAAAGUGUACAAUGAUUCUUCAGUGAAGUCCCAUUUUUAUGAGCGUGCUUGGUGUACUGUUUCUCAAAUAUAUCAAAAGAGAAAUCUGUUGCUUCAAAUUUUGACUUGUAUUGAGUCCAAGCUUCCUGAGGAAGUUUUUAAGAUGGGUGAAGAAGAUCUGGCUCUUCAAGUCAAAAGACGUUUGCUGAAAAACAGAUAUCUCGUUGUUUUGGACGAUGUAUGGGACAUUGAUGCAUGGAACGGAUUGGAAGCCUCAUUCCCUGAUGAUGGAAAUGGAAGUAGAGUUAUCUUGACAAGUCGGCUCCGUGGUGUUGCUCCGCAAGCCAAACUCGACCAUGAACCGUAUUCUCUUCCUCAACUCACUCCUAAUGAGACCUGGGAUUUGCUAAAAGGGAAGUUAUAUCCUGGACAAGAUUUGGCUCCUCCAGAACUAUGUGAAAUUCGACAGCAAGUCGUGGAAAUGUGUCAAGGACUACCUCUUACGGUUGUCAUUCUUGCCGGAAUUCUCUCAAGGAUGGACCGAUAUGGUUGGAAAGAAGCUGUGGAAGGUUUAAGUUCAAGGAAUGUUUCUAGUACGGAACAAUGUACCGCUACAUUAGAGCUGAGUUACAAACAUUUACCUGAUAAUCUGAAGGCAUGUUUUCUUUAUUUUGGAGCCUUUCCAGAAGACCAUGAACACAAUACCAGGAGGUUGAUUUCUCUAUGGGUUGCUGAAGGUUUUGUUCAAAAAACUCAGCUCAAGAGAUCAGAGGAUGUGGCAAAUGAUUACCUGAUGGAACUUAUUAGCAGAAGCUUAGUCAUAGUUUCGAAACCAAGAUCCAUUGAUGGGGUCAAAGCUUGUCGCAUUCACGAUUUGUUAUAUGAGUUUUGUGUGACAAAAGCCAAAGAAGAAAAGCUUUUGCAGCGGGUACGUAGGUAUGAUGACUUAUCUGCUUUCACUUUGCCAUGUUACCUACGUCGCUUAUGCAUUAUUGAUUCUAAGGUGGAGCACUUUGACAACUUGAGGUUAUUCUCUCCUGCCAUACGCAGUCUAUUAUUAUUCAGUCACGAUGAAGACAGUAAUAGUUUUGACCUUCGAUUCAUUUUUCACAUCAUCAAACUUGUCAAAGUGUUAGAUUUGAGCCAAAUUGGACUCGACCCCUUUCCUAGAGAGGUAGAACUGCUUGUUCACUUGCGCUACUUGGCGAUUCUAGGUCGAGGUAAAAUCAGUCUCCCAUCAUCAGUAUGCAAUCUCCCGAAUUUGGAAACUUUGAUUUGGCAAAAUUCUUCAACUCAUCGUUCAGUUUCACUACCAGAUACCGUAUGGAACCUGAAGAAACUAAGGCAUUUACAACUAAUUGAUGAGGUCGAUAAGCAUUAUUGUUUUUUUUUCCCUAGAGACAAUCUUGACAACUCGUCACAGUUGCGUGACUUAGAUUUCUUGUCCUGUUUGUCUCUCGAUCCUGAGGAAAACAUCAGCAAGCUGUUGAGAAAGUUUCCAAAUAUCCGCAAGCUGAGAUGCUCUGUCAAUCUGAAGCCAGAUGUUCAAUAUCAUGUAGCAAUGGAUUGUCUAAGUCAGUUGGAAUCACUCAGUCUGAGUUGCGUUAUUUACGGCGGUGGCCGAUAUCAGUUAGAUUUCCAAUUUCCUUUGACUAUUAAAAAAUUGACCCUAUCUUAUUUUCGCUUGCCAUGGAGCAAAAUGGCAGCAAUUGGAAAUCUACCCAAUCUUGAGGUACUCAAAUUACUCAAACAAGCCUUUGAGGGGGAAAUAUGGGAAAUGGAAGUGGAGAAGUUCCCUAAAGUUCGUUUCUUGAAAUUAGCUUCCUUGAACAUUGUGAAGUGGACAGCCUCCUCCGAGUAUGAGUACGAGGACCAGUACUAUUUUCCUCGUCUCCAGAAGCUAGUAUUGGAUCGCUGUGGAGCGUUGCAGGAGAUCCCUUCUUGUUUGGGAAAUAGUUAUGCCCUUGAAAUAAUUGAGGUGUCAAAAUGUCCCAGCUGUACCAGUUCAUUGGAAGAAAUUCAGGAAGAGCAAAGAAGCAAUGGAAAUACCGAUCUGAAGAUCCUUAUCUCAUAAUGGACGAUUGAUCUUCUCAAGUAAGUUUGCUUUGGACAGCCAGUUUACUUUACAUUUGUUUUUUAAGUACUUUACUUAUGUACUGCUACGGGUUAUGUUUAUCUGUUUUGGCAUCAAGAUCAAGUUGUUCUUUUUCUUAAUAGUUUUUCUUUUUCUUUUUCUUAAUAGCAUCAAGAUCAGGCUGCAAGAUUUUGGAGGACUUCCCUUCUUGUUUGGAAAAUAUAUCAACUCUUGAAAUAAUUGAAGUAUCUAAAUGUCCCAACUCUACAAGUUCAGUGGAGCAAAUUCAGGAAGAGCAAAUACUGAUCUGAAGAUCUUUAUUUCACGAUGGAUGACUGAUCUUUCCAAGUGUGUUUGGUUUGGUUUGGUUUGGUUUGGAAGCCACUUCAGUCUACUUUUCUUUUUUAACCCUUUACUUCUGUACACAUACUGGUUAUGUUGUAUCUGUUGAGCAUCAAUCAAGAUCAAGUUGUUCUUGUUUUCUUUGCAAGUUUCUUGUUAUUCCUGUGACCCAAUCUUGUACUGCGACAUAUACAUACCUAUACAACUGAGUUUGCAAAUUUUCCAAGAAGUUAUUUGUCUUUAUUGGUUUGAACUUUGAAUUACAAUAAUAUCCUAUUGGGAGAUUUCCGGUAGUCAACGAAAUAACUUUUGAUACAAGCACGUACCAAGAUUGACUGUUGUACAAAAUGAAGGAAGAAACCCAAAGUUUUUUUUUUUUAAAAAAAAAAAAAAAAAAAAACCCCCCAUCCUUCCUUACAUUCUUUCUGUUCCCAACUAGUAGACUCUAGAUUCAAACGUUGAACCUGACAUCAAAGAGAAGCAUAGUUACGAGAGUUAAUUGUGCUAACUUCACUUGAGCAUUGUCGUAAUCCUAAAAACUUUUUGUAAAGUUAUUUAUUAAACGUUUUAAAUUGUUCUAAAAUUGAUAUCUUAAAAAGUACUUUAUAAUUUUCAAAAUACAAAAGGCCUCCCAAAAUAAGUAACAUUCAGGAAAAAUGUAGAGACAAGGUAUAAGUGGAACAUUUUUUUUAAAAGAGAUUUUAGCAUAAUUAGCAUAAUUUUUAGGGCCACCCCCAACUUAUAUAGUUUCAGGGGAAAUGAUGGGCACCAAAGAUGGACCUGGAAGGGCUCCUCCAAGUCCAGAUACUCUUAUCCAAAGAUUUAGAUAAUUCUCUUGUUCAUUCUUAAAAUUCUAAAAAUUUUCAAAAAGCCCUUUAAAUUUGAAUAUUUUGGAGCCGCAACUAUAUAUUUUAGUUUGCAAAAAAUCUACUCAUUAUCUCUACCUCACCCCUGUAUACUUUUAUUGUGGUUCUACAAGUGAAACACAUUACAUGAGGGAGUAGCUAAAAGUAAAUUAAUUUAAUAAUCCAUUUAAAGCAAUUCUUAUUAAAAUUUAUAAUUCUUAUUAAAAUAAAUUAAUUUGAAAUUUUAGAAUUAUAAAGUAAAUGAAGGGCUUUGGCAUAUAAAAAUUUACAUUCAUUCAAACUCAGCCCAUUUGGGCUCUUAAAAAUAGGUUUUAACCUAGUUUUUAAAUCUAAUUUUGAAAUUUAGUUCAAUAAUGGGCUGAGUUUUGUCUAAAUUAGGGUUAAAUUGAAUAAAGUCCAACCCAUUUAAAAGUUUUAAAUGAGCCAAUCUCAAGCCAAUAUAAAAGAUUUUUCUUUGGGCCAAACUUGAACUUAUUGAAGCCCUUAUUCGCAAAACCAAAUUGAUAAGGUUUUGUAUUUGUAUAGAAUUUGGUUGAGAAAAUAAGGUUAGUAAGGGCAAUUUAGUCCAAGGGUAAUUUAGUCCUUUUAUUAUGAUAUAAGUAGGGGCAAAUUAGUCAAAAACUUUUACUAGAAUUAGUAGGGGCAAGUUAGUUCAUUUAUUAUCAUAUUAUUAUGUGAGAGUGUGGUUAUAUAGUGUUCAAUACGAAUUUGCAUCAUUCGCAAGGGCAAAUUAGUCCAAAUAUUAUUAUACUAGUACUAGGUGCAAAUUAGUCAAAAAGCUUUAAAUUAAUUAUUAAGGGCAAAUUAGUCCAUUCAUGUUAUAUUAUCCUAUGAGGGUAAGGUUAUAUAAUUAUGAGAGUACAAAUUUAUAUUAUUUGUAAGGAUCAAUUAAUCUAAAAUUUCAUCAGUCGUCCUGGGAUGACUAAUACCAUCACCACCAUGGAAUUAUUUUAUUCCAUGAAUAGGGGAUUAAUUCGAUUAAUCGGGAUGUAUCAUGUCAUGUAUAAAAUACAACCAAACAUGAGAUGAGAUAGAAUGACUAAUCCAAUCCUUGUGUCAUCUCAUAAACCAAACGAAUCCUAAAAAGAUUAAUUUCAUUGUGCACUCCAUAACUGAUAUACGAUUCUCACUCUGCGAGCUAAACUUGAUUUCGAAAGCAUUACACUCUGAUGCGUCCCAUUUGAAUCUAAUCCAUAACACCACAGUGAGCAAAUUACAUAGCAGUGUCACGCCAGAAGCUAUAAAGGCAUUUGAAACAACCCAGGAAAUAUCAUGAUCAUAGAUUUUCUCUUUUUUUCCUUCUUGGCCUUUUGUUCAGAUAAAUGUGACAAGGGUCAGAUUAUAUACGAUUUCAAUUGUGAGUAUGUCAAGCUAACGAUCACAGUCAAGUACGAAAAGACACAAAAUAGUAGUUGUAAAAUCAAUGCUAAAAAAUUUAUCUUGUAAAAAGGGGAUUUUGCUAAUAAUGAACUACGUGCCAUUUUUUUGGAACAAGGAAAAAGGAAAAUAAAACUUGGGUUCCUCUCAAAAAUCUUGAAUUUUCCUGCUAGAUUUUAGUCUGCAAAAUUUGUGUGUGUGAAUGGGGGAGAAACUUAGUCUACUGCAAGAGUGUUUGUGGGCGUGAGAAAGAUAGUCUAACCCGGAUCAUCAAUUUGUCUGUUUCAUGUUUGAACAAUUUGUGCGCAACGGAUCAUCAAUUUGUGUGAUAAAUUGUGAAGAUGAUGACGAGAGGACAGAUGUUAAACUGAGUUUUAGGGCUUUUUUCCCUUGAUAAAUUGUGAUUUUGUGAGAUUGUUUUUAUUUUAAUCGGCUUUGGUUAUAGAGAUUAAAUUUCUCUGGCCGGUUAUUCGAUUAAUCAAUUUAACAUGGUUCGGAUUUGGUUGUUUGAGAGUUUGGUUUAUCAAGAGACACUUGGCAAGAUUAGAAGAAGUGGGAUAGGUUGUGAGACAGGAUGUGACAUAGAAGAUCCGUUGCGCAAAUAAUGCUUACCUGUACAAAACGCAACCUAAGCAACUUAUGUUCCACAUAAUGAAAUGAAGAUAUGGCCUUACCUUAUAUUUUCUUUCUUCCCCUUGAUUUAUCAAAAUAUGAAAUAAUAAUCUCUCUCGUAUCGAUUUCUCAUUUGUGAUGUCGCAUUGUUUAGCAACAUUGUUUUGAAACUGAGAAUUGCCAAUUUUCCAUAGCUAUCUUUGGCAUUUUCAAUUAUUUAUUUUUAAAAAUUUCUCGUGGACUUGAGUUUUCGAAGGUAAUGUGGAUCCGACUUGUAAAACCACGUUGAAUUUUCCCCUCAGAUAUCUAACCAAAAUCCAAGCUGGGGACGAAUUGUUACUUGUUGUAUAUCAGGGGGAAAAUGAAAGAAAAAGAAGGAAGAAAAAAUCGCAUGAAAUGCUAGAAUAUCGUAUACAUAUUUGGGUGGAAAGGGAACAAUUUUUUUAGUGUAAACUGUAAAGUUUUAUACUUUUAUUAGCUAAUAGUAAUAUCUACAUUCUUGACGCCAUAAUUCUCUGAAAGAUCAUAAUUAGCAUAAAAUUGCAUAAGGUACAAAUAAAGUGCAAAUUUUUGGGAAAAUUAAUUCCAGAAAAUUAACUUUUCUUGACCAAUAUUAAUGAAAAUAGCUCUCAGCCACCUUAAAAGUUCAAAAAUUUUCAGCCACCUCCUUCUGACUCAUUGCAGGUCUUUUGCCAAUUGAUGAGGACUUUUCAGAGUGUGGAAAAAAGACCAGUAUGAUGGCUGGAGCAGGAAAAACCAAAUAACCAGUUUUCAUCAUGCAAAAUUCAAACUGAAUUAUUUCCUGGAAUUGUCACGUACUUUAAUAUAUUCAAUUUGAGAAUGUUGAUUGGGGAAGGGCUUCUUAUAAAUUCUUAGUGUCAAAUGGUAGAAUAAUUCAUUGUUGAGAUGCACAAAUUAAAAAGGAUGAAAUUAAAAUUUGAGAUAGAUUAAAGGAAAAGAAUGCAUUCAAUAAGAGAAUGGAUACACUAAUUUUACUCACAAGGCUCGUUAAAUAGGAUGCUCCAUAGACCAAACUAGUUGUGUUGAACCAAGAUUUUGAGGCUGCAAGGUCAUGAAGACAUGAUACAGCAAGAAGGCAUUGGAAGACAAGCUCAACCAUGCAAGGCCAACAAAGAAAUUAGGCCUCUCAGGGACCAAAUAGUCAUCAUUUUUUUUAAUAAAUAAGAGUUCUUCAUGCCAAGAACGAAUACAGGAGAUUAUCUGAUAUAUUAUUUUGAAUAAUUACUAUAACAUUUUCUAUGAUGUGAUACAUGGAGUAAAAGAUGAGAAUUAUGUGAAUCUCUAAAGCUCAACAACACACUUAAGACUUUGUCUGCUUCACAAAAGGAAUACUAGCAGACGAGGGCAUUAAAGUAGCAUUCAAUGAAUAGGUAAUUACCUCCAUUUCGAAUUAGCUUAAUUGUUAUUAACUUGUUAUUUCUUUUCAUUAGAAGAAAAAGAGGAGAAAAAGGGUCAAAUUUUGCUCGUUAUGCUAUUUGUUUUCUUUUGAAUAGCACUUUACUACCGGAGAAUUGAUUUGAGGCUGUAAGACCAAAAAGUUAUGUUUUAGUAAGAGCACCUAAGAGUCCAAAGACCCUAGCAGUAACAAUGAGUAAUAAUUUCCAAUGGGCUAAUGCGAUGUUGUAACCAAACAGUGGAAUAAAAAAAAAACUAUCUUUCCUAAUGUUAUGUUACAAUUAGUAUUUCCUACACUAACAAUAUAUAUACACUGUCAGCUUUAAAUGAAUGACAAUUAUGCGAAAUUUGAAUUUGAAUUCAAACUUUUACACAUAUGUCAUGAAUUCAAUAAUAAAAGUGUAUACAAUAUUAGUAUAUAACAUUUACUCGUUAUUUUAGCCCGAAAAAACAAAAAUAAGUCCCUUGAAAAUGCAAAGAGUAUUUGACAUCAUAUUCAUAUGGGCAAGGAAUCCUGGUCCUCUCAUUGUUGAAUCAUUUUGUAUGCUGGUUCAGUUUACUUCAGUUUAGCCUGCAACUGCAAUCCAUUAGGGUCAGAGAUUAUUAAAGUCACGACAGUUGGGCCUUAGUGAUUAUUCAGCAUUUUAUGAAACUGCUUUCCAGAGCAAAGAAACUUGAAUUCAAGAACGUAGUUGCACCUUUACAAGCACAAACCAGUUAAGCAAACAUUUCUGAGCAACUUGCUGGGGACCUGCCUUUUCCAAUGUUUUUUGCGAAAACCAAAAAUUUCAGCUACUUUUUGUGGUGGCUUAUCUCAAUCUCAUCAUAGUUUGUGCAUAGAUUUUGUGAACUGAUAGGUGGUACACAUGAAAACUUCAAAAAUGCAUAGAAGUCAUCUUAUAGGACACGCAAAAUUGUGCAGAAAAACAGUUUGCAGCAAACUCUAGACCAAAUUGAACAAACCUAGACAACUUCGAACUACAAAGAAUUUAAACCCUCUUCUUCCUAUUGGUUACAGGUCUUUUGCCCGUUGCAGAAGAUUUGCCCGGAUGCGACAGCAGACCACGUAAAAUGGCUAGAACAGAUAGACCCAAAAAUGGUGAGUAAAUCCUUAUCAGUGUAUCAGACGCCUUCCCAGAUGCUGUUAAUUCUGCCAGUAUCACAACCUGCAUUGCAUGAAAUUCAUCAGAAAAUGGAACAGGAAAGAUAGGUUGUCUAAAUUGUGCUCAAUGUCAUGGCAAGCAAGUUUUCUCGUCUCCCUCAAAAAAUUAGGACAGAUAAAUAGGAGUAAAGAUGUUAAGGAGGUUAGAAGGGUUUAGCCACAGCCUGUGCGCAAAAGAUGUAUUUGACGGGGAACUUAUUGAGACCCUAACUCGAGCUCCUGAUCUCUUCAACAUAUCUUGAAAUAAAAAAAAUAAAAAAAAAAAUCUUUUUCACACAAGCAUGCUAUAGCAUUGCUUAUGACAUUUGAUAGAAAUUUAUCUCAGAGAUGAGACAUCACAACCAGAAAUCUCCAUGACCUCAAGAAUGGUCUGUCUACAUCUACAUCUGUCAUAGGUCUGAGUUCAAUCCCACCCUUGACUUCCUUAACCUUCCCCUCCCCGCCCCAGUCCUAGCCCCUGCCACACCCAUCCGCCUGGAAUAAGGAGGAGGAAGAAUGGCUUUGGUAGUAAGGCAACAAUAAGAAAAGCAACUAGAAAGUUAGCAUACAUAGAGAGAAGCAUACCCAUAGCUAUAAUCUCUUCUCAGUGCUUCAAAAGAGCUUGAGCAUAUUGCUAAACUAUAUCCAAAAUCAGAAAAACCAAAAAAUGCUAAAGAGAGAUCAUUUAUCCAAAAGUAAAAGCUAAAAUCAUGCUUCAAAUGUGGCAAAAGCCCCUAGUUUGGACAAGGGUCAACUGGCCACAACUGCUGGCCCGAACGCACAUUAACUAUUUCGUUGAAUUAAAAAAAUAAAAAAUAAAAAUAAAAUUUUGCUUGAGAUUGAUCCCUAUAUACAUACAUGCAGUGAAAGUAUUACUUUUGCAUAUUCACGUGCACAUACACACACAUACCUAAGUAUGUAAAUGUACAUAAUUAAAUUGUUUUCUUGCUUCUUGAGGAAGACUUUACUAAAACAGAGAAGCAAGAAAGCUUUGGAGAUGAAAAUUAGCACUAAAUAGCCAGCCCGUGCUUCCAAAGUUUCUCAAGAUGCCCACAGGGAUGAAACUCAGUGUUCCCUACUCACUCAAUAAUCUUGCUCAGAAUACUUUUGGGCUAUCUAUUAUUAACUACUAGAGUCACUAAGAACAUAAUGCCUGGUGAACUUCCAAAAUUGAUUGAAUACAAGUCUUGACUUAUGUAGCUUAAGAUUCCAAGAUGAUCAAGAAUGCAGGACCUCGUCUCAAAAUUUCAAGUCACAGAAAGUUUCAAAUCAGAUUAAAAUCUCAAGAACAGAUUCAUAACACCAUCAUUUAUAGCUUUGCUACUAAAUUCAUUCACUGCUAAUAUCACUCUACAAUAAGAGUCUAAUUUUGGCUACUGAAAGCAAAUCAGACUCAAAGUGAACCAAAUUGUUCCUUUGUCAUUGUUCAAACGUAAAAACUCCAUCUUUCUUGAAGAUCCAAUCAGAACGUGAAAUCAUCAGCCAGUCAAGAUAUCCUCUGCAAUGAGUUUGUUCCUUGAACUAUGGCAUCUCUCAAGAUUAUCUAAGCAUUUCCUGAUCCCAUAACACAUUGGCAUUCAAUUUAACAACCCUUCUGAAGUGAUAUAACAGAUCCCAUUCAGAUCAAUUCAUUUUUUUAUGAUUAAAAAGCUUAGCAAAAUAGAGCAAAUUAUCCGGCUGGCCAUUAAACUUUUGCGAUCGUUGAGUUUUGGUCACUCAACUAUUAAAAGUCUGGUUUUGGCCACUAAAAUGCAUAAAGUUAAAAUUCGUGGCCAUUCUGUUAGAUUUGGCCGUUAAAUUCACCGAUCUGUCUGUCUGCACGAUUUUCAAAACAAAAUGCAGGGUUAAUUUAGGAAGUUAAAAAUAGCAUCUUCUUCUUUAGGCCAAGUUCCUCAAGUUCCUUCCUCAAGCCCAGAAGCAUUGGUGAUUGAAGUGGGAAAGAUUCCAGAGAAAUUGUUUUCCGUAACAGCUAUUAGUUUCAGAUUUGGUAGGGUGAGACCCACAUCAAUUGGGAGAUUGCCAUGGAAGUCAUGGUAUGGAACUCCAAGUAGUCCUUCCUGCAACAGAGUCAAAGCUGCCGGAAUGCUGACUCUCCUAGUCAAUAGGGCUAUUGAAACCAAUCCACCCUAAGCAGCAGCCACCCAAGAGAUCCACAAAGGACCGCCAUACCAAAGUUGACGACCGAGGCAGGCGUAUCCGAAUGCCGGCUGCCUGUGCAGCUAGGGUUUUCCAGUUGACUCGAGAGCUAGGUCACAAGUCCGACGGCGAGACAAUCAAGUGGCUUCUACAGCAAGCCGAGCCAGCCAUAAUCGCCGCCACCGGCACGGGAACCAUCCCGGCUAACAUUUCAACCCUCAACAUAUCCGUCAGGAGCAGCGGCUCCACUCUCUCUGCUCCUCCUUCAAAUUAAGGAAAAAAAUAUAGGGAAGAUUUGUUUAAAGAGGAAGGAUCAAGCGGCCGCCAAGGAGACGGCGCAGAUGAAACUUCCCCUUCUCCUUCAAAUAAGCAAUUCAAAGUAGGAGGUGGUGGUGGUGGCAUGCAGAUACUGGUGGCGUUGCAGAUACGCUCCGAAAUCUACUGGUGGCGUUGCAGGAGUGAUGCCUGCGGUGGAUGAAAAGGGUCUGACGAAGAUUUGAAGAGGGGCAGGAAGAAGAACAACAAUUUUUUAGAGAAGCAUUGAAUGCUAUAUUGAAUUCCUAAAUUAACCCUAUCUUUUGUCUUGGAAAUCGCGCGAACGGACGUAUUGACGAACUUAACGGUUAAACCUAACAGAAUGGCCUUAUAUCUUAACUUUAUAUAUUUGAGUGGCCAAAACCAGACUUUUAAUAGUUGAGUGACCAAAACUCGACGAUGGCAAAAGUUUAAUGGCCAACCAGAUAAUUUGCUCUUUAUAGUAUCCAAAACAUAAAAAACAAUUUACUUCACCCUUGUACAUUCUCUCAUGCUAUAUGCUUGAGUUCAAAAAUUUGAUGAAUGAUUUGAAAUUCUCUUAAAUCCCUGUAUUUGUUUAGAUUAUUUAAAAAAUAUUUAAAUUUAUAAAUCACCAAUUAUUCUAAUAUUUAAUAAAUACUUUAAUAAUUGGUGAAUUACAAAGUCAAAUGCUUCUUAAUCAAUCCAAAUAACUAAAAUGAUUUGGGUGAAUUUCAAAUCCUUCAUUAAAUUCGUCAAUCCAUAUGAAACCAUAAAGUUUUUUCACGACCGUAUUGCAUUGAAAACAGCUUUGCAAGUGAUCUACCAAACAAUAAACAAAAAUUGUGCAAAUAAUAAAUUUAUUCUAGUAGUUUCAAAGAAAUUGGAUGGCAAAGAACUACUUCAAUAUUUGUAAAAUGAUUCGAACUCGACAGAAUUCAAAAAUCCAAUUCAAAAUGCCUUUGUGCUAUCAAUGCUGAGUAUGUUAGAGGCAAACUACCAAUUUCUAAUUUAAAAAUAUACAUAAAUACCUAGGUUGAAGAUUCAAAACAUUUUCAUCUUAAUUUAACAUAAUAAACAGUGAUGCAUUUCCUCCUAAUUGUGGUAUGCUGAUGACAAAAUUAAAGUAACCAAACUUGGAAAACUUACAUAAGCAAAGUUUAGCUAUGUCACAGGUUCAUAAUCUAUGCUAUCCCUGUCCAGCUUGUAAUCAAUCUAAGACUAGAAAUUCAGCCACCAAAACAUGGUACAAUGUAAUUACAAAUGGGACUAGUAAAUUGAAGGAAAGAAGGAAAUCAUCUAGCAAACGCACUAAAUAUGCAAUGAAAUCAUUUGAUGCUAAUAUCACUUAAUCCACCAAACCAUCCAGGCUCCACAUCUGCUCGAAAGUUGACGCUAGAUGGUGGUUGUGGAGCAAGUAGAACCUCCUUAAUGUUGUUUAGGAUUCCUUUGUCAUAGGGGUUUCCAGAGUUCACAUACUUUUGAUGAAAAUGCUCAUAAGAUGUCUGCACGAGGCAUAAUAUAGAAACUGCAUCAUAAUUUGUUUAAGCAGCUAUUUAGACUGGCCUUCUAUGUUUAUGUGCCAAAGCAGAAAUUUCCUCAAAGCUGUGCACUUUAAAUAAUUGUUGUACCAAAAAUUCAGUACUGUUCUCAAAAGAAUUGCCCGUUAAUUAAUAUAUUUGACAUACAUGAACUACAAUCAUGCAAGAAAAAAAUGCAUUAAUUCAACUUUGAGAUAAACCGUGAUGAUAUAAGUACUGUUGGCAUAAAUGAAAGUAUAAAGGGCAAACCUGGUUUAUAGCAAUUAGAUAAACAUGGUAACAAGAAAAGCCAGCAAGAAAACACAUGGCUACAAAACUGAAUAAUGUCAAUGCCACAGUCUCCGGGUCAUUUCUUAGAAAUCCAAUCACCCCAUUUCCAUCUCCGGGCAAUUUGUGAUGUACUGAUUUGCACGAGGAGAUAAAUAUGAAGGCAAAUAAGAGCAAUCCUGUCAAUAGAAAUGUAACAUGAAGCCGAUAAUUCCUCUGCAUUUUGAAAGAAAAAAGUUAGAAAGCUAUAGUUAGUAAACUAAUUUUAAUGCCAGAAGGACUUGCAGGGUUGUGAUCAUACAUACCAAUCCCACACAAUGCCCGAUCCAGGUGCAAUGGUGAUCGAAUUGUUGGAUGCAAUUGUUACAAGUUGCACAAUGACAAGUUCUUGGCGGACGAUAAAUGUUACAAAUGUUACAAAACUUCACCUCUAUCCCAUUUAUGACAACUACCCUUGAUCUCCUUCUGCGUUUACCAGCAUCAAUUGUUCCUAGAUCAUUUCUAGGAAUUAUACCAGGAUCAAUGGUACUGACAUAUACCAAGUUCACAAGAACCUGCAUUGCGGGCAAUAUAUAGUUACAUCAGCAGAAGGGCAUUCGGUUACGUUCACAACUUUCUCAUACAAGAGUGUGUGUGUGUGUGAAAUUUAGUUUAGGACUAACAAUUGUUGUCAAAAUUGAAGAUGUUACGAUGAUGGCCGGAUUCCUUAUGUCACUUGCAACAUGAACCGCAAAUGUCCAACUUGAUAGACUAAUAGCAAUGGCAGCUAAAAUCAGCCCUUUUGGAUCCGGACCACAAAUCAGUCUCCCUUUGAAAAAGAAUACCUACAUUCAGAAUAAGACGUCCGACAUCAAAUCCUCCUCUCUUUUUUUUUUUUGCGUAAGCAUCAAAUCCUCCAUUUCUCAUUUCAUUUAAACCAAUAAACUAAAAGCUUUAUCAAGAUUCAGCAAGUGCAAUGAUAAGAAAUAGCUUUGGAAUGUAAAGCAAGAGCAAAUGGAGGAUUACAUUGUUUCCAGGCCAAAAAUGGUAAACUCUUGAUUGUUCAAGUUCGUCGCCGCCUCGACAAAAUCGAAAAGUUUUUUCUUGAACCACCCUUUGGAAUCUAAUUAUUUUCUCCCAAAGAGAAGAAAGCAGUUGCUUGCUUUUUGCUUGAAAACUAACUUCAGAAUUCUUAUCUACCUUCUUUCCUGAUGACAUAGAACUUUCUGUAGGUUGAUCAAUUUCUAAUGAGGCAGAACUAUCGAUAGCUUGAGCGACUGAAGAAUUUACGCUGCCGUCUUUCUCUUCACUCGCCAUCCACUCCAUUCUCUCUGAUUUCUACCAUCUAGACUCAAAUUAAGAACUUCAAUUUGUAGACGAUAACCACCCCGGGUGAAACUUGUCACUUGUGACUGGAAAAGAUAUUUCAGAAAACUAAAGCGGUUAUUAUUUUGUGUUCAUUAGGUCCAAGCCAUCGGGUUAAAGUGUGCACGCACCACCCGGAUGCAAUAUAAACCAAAAUAAGCCAGUCAACUCACUGAUCCAUUUUGCACACAUCUGUCAAAUUGGGCUCGGGGAGGAAUCCACAGAAAUGGAUGGGUCAGCGGAAUCCCAGUGGAUGCUGGACUGAACCAGUGGAUCACUAUAAUAAAGGCGUGUUUGGACAGGAGAUCAUUUGAAAUAUUAUUUUGAUUUGCAUCAUAGCUGCAAUCGAAACACAGUCGUAACUUUUUAAUAUGAGAUAUGUCGGAUGACAUCACUAAAAUUUUUAUAAGUAAUUUUUACUUAAUUUAAUGAGUUAUAGAAUGCUAAUAAUUGGGAGAGUUAUGACAAAUAAAUAUGUACUUAGUAAUCUACCCAUCCUUUUUUUAUGAGUAAAUCUUUCCUACACUGACGGUGUAUACACUAUUAUCGUUGGAUUCAUAACAUGUAUGCAACAGUUGAAUUUUAAAUUCAAAUUUUGCAUAGUUGUCAAUCAUCCAACGCUGAUAGUAUAUACACUGUCAGUGUAAGAAAGAUUAAUCCUUUUUUUAUUAUGAAUAUUGUUAAGAAGUUGUGAGUAUACAAUGUCAUUAGAGUGAUCUUUGUUUUGAGAAUUAAUUGUUGUAAUAUAUCAUUUUGUUAAUCUAUUUCUAAUUUGUAAAAUAGAUUUUGAGGAGCAACAAGUUUUAGUAAAAAGUUCCAAAUGAAUAUUUGUAAAGUGUGUUCUAGGAAACAUAAACAAUAAAUUUAAUUUGUAAAUUUAAGUAAGGAUUCAUAAUUAAUAUUUGAAAAUUAAUAUAUUUAAUAUAAAGCUUUACUCAAUAAGAAUAAACACGAAAUGCCCCAACAUUAAAUUCUAUAAAAAUAAUGACUUUGCAAAUAUACUGUUGGGAUCCAAGAGCAGAACAAACGACUAUUGAAAAAUCAAUAAUACAAUAAUUUAAUGAUAAACAACUCACAAGUAUAAAAAAUAAAUAACACAUAGAAUUUAGCGUGGUUCAACUCUAUCAUUGAACCUAUAUUCACAGAGAAAAACUCAUUUUUUUAUAAGAGUAAAAUUUUAUAUAAGAAUACAACUUGAAUCCAUACUCAACUUUUAUAUAUCAUCUCUCAUCUCCCAAAAACUCUCUCUCUCCCCCAUAUAUAAGGGGCAUGUCGUCCUUAUGCGCUAUUUUGUAGUAUGCCAACCUCCAUCUAUUAAUAAGAUACAUUAUUUGACCAACACCCAAGUAAUAACAAGAAAUAAUUGCUUAUUCCUAAUAUCAAAUAUGGAUAUGGAGGAGCUGGUUCAUGAGGUCAGUACUGAAAACCCUAGCCCACCUAGCCAAAGGAACAAUAAGAAGGAGAACAAGGAGGGAAAGGAUCAAGGAAAGUUGACUCUAAGAUCUGGUCCAGGGAGGGAGGAAAAAAGAAAACAACAAAGGGCUUUCCACAGAAUAAAAAGAACGCCAUUAGGAGAAUUGAAGACAAACAUACAGGAAGUGGUAUAAGGAGGAAAAAGAAAGAAGAGGGAGGAAAAAGAUGAGGGGGAACCAAUGGAAGAGGAUGAUUGGGAGGAACCUUUACAGAAAUUAAUCAAGAAGGAGGUUCAACUAAGCAAAAAAGAAGGGGAAUGGGAGGCUAUCCCCAUAAGGCCUCCUCAAUGGAAAUGAAGGUGCUGUUGUGGAAUUGUCGAGGUGUGGGAGGACCCUUGACAAUUUCCCAGUUGAAGGAGAUGAUAAAUCUCCACUUUCCAAGUAUUGUUUUCUUAUGUGAGACAAAAACCCAAAAAAUAGUUAUGGAAAAAGUAAAGAGACAGAUAAAAUUUGAUCAUUGCUAUGCUGUAGACUCGGUUGGAAGGGCAGGUGGCUUGGCUUUUUUCUGGAAAGAAGAGGUGCAGGUGGAUAUUAUCAGACAUGGAAAUUUCUUCAUAGAGACAAAAAUAAAGGAUCUUGAGGCGAAGAGCGAAUGAUGGUUGGUAGGGGUGUAUGCUAGUACUGAGGAGAACACCAGAAAAGAGCAAUGGAAGAAAAUAGAACAAAAAAAAAACAGGAAUGGGGGGAUCACUGGAUUUUAGUGGGUGACUUUAAUGACAUCAAAUCAGGAAAAGAAAAAUGGGGGGAGGGUAAGACCAGAGGGGAGUUUCAGAGAGUUUAACAGGUUUAUCAAAGAAAAUGAGUUAGUCGACAUAGAUUUUGAAGGGAAACCAUGGACGUGGUGUAAUCAAUGGGAAAGAGAUGGUGAGGUGAAAGAGAAGCUUGAUAGAUGUUUAGGAUCAGUGGGCUGGUACCAACUUUUUGCUAAAGCAAUCUGUCAUCAUCAAGAAACUGAAGCCUCAGACCAUAACAUUCUUAUUCUGGAUAAUAACCCCAAUCAAAGGAAACCAAAAAAGAGAUUCUAUUUUGAUCAAAGGUGGGCAAGAAAUGAGGACAGUAAAGGAAUUAUAGAGACAACAUGGGGAAUAGAACAGAAAGGAUCAAGGAUGUUCAUAGUGAUGAGAAAGAUAAAGGAAUGUAGAAUGGCUCUGCUGGCAUGGAACAGAAAGUUGAGGAUGAACUCUGGGAAGAAAAUUACACAGAUUAAGGAGAAGCUGCUGGAAAUAAAAGAGUCAAGUGGAGAAGGAAUACGAGGCCAGAUAGCAGAAUUAAAGCUGAAGCUUAGCAAGGCAUAUAAGGAGGAGGAACUCUACUGGAGUCAGAAAGCUAGAUGCAGGUGGCUGAAGGAGGGGGAUAAGAACACAGCUUACUUCCAUGCAAGUGUGAUGGCUACGAGGAAGAGGAACAAAAUCACAAUAUUGCAGCGAGAUAAUGGGAACUGGUGUAGUAUAGAUCAAGAAGUGAAGGAGGAGAUAUGCAGCUAUUACCAACAGAUGCUCACAACCAAAAACACUGAGGAGGUGGAAGUACCACAAGAUGUUCCUAAUACUAUCUCAAGACAGAUGAAUGAGCGACUGAUACAACCAGUGGAGGAAGCUGAGAUAAAAAAAGCUCUCUUUUCUAUGCAUCCAAAUAAAUCUCCGGACACAGAUGGUAUGUCUCCUUUGUUUUUCCAAAAGUAUUGGAAUAUAAUCAGGCUUGAUGUGGUGAAUGCUAUUACCAGUUUCUUCCAUACUGGAAAUAUGCUGAGAGCUUUUAAUGAUACUCUUAUAACCUUGAUCCCUAAGAUAGAUAACCCUCUAAACUUGACUCAGUAUAGGCCUAUCAGUCUGUGCAACACUAUGUAUAAAAUUAUCUCUAAGGUUCUGGCUAACAGACUGAAAAUGGUUCUUAAUAGGUGCAUCAGUGAAUCUCAAUCUGCCUUUGUCCCUGGCAGGUAGAUAAUGGAUAAUGUGCUUAUUGCUCAUGAAGUCAUGCAUUACCUUAAAAAUAAGAGGAAAGGAAAAGUAGGUUUUAUAGCCCUGUAGUUAGAUAUGUCUAAAACUUAUGAUAGGGUUGAAUGGCAGUUUGUAUGGAUGAUGAUGAUGCGCAUGGGAUUCUGUCCUAUUUUUGUUCGUUGGAUCAUAUCCUCUGUUUCAUCUGUAUCUUAUUCUUUUAACCUGAACGGAGAAAGGGUGGGAUACAUCAAAGCCAGUAGAGGGCUAAGACAAGGAGACCUCCUUUCUCCUUACCUUUUUUUUAUUUGUGCAGAGGGAUUAUCUCAUAUGAUCAACAGGGAGAUUAGCCAGGGGAAUGUCACAGGAAUCAAAACCAGCAAAAGCAACCCCCAAAUCUCGCAUUUAUUCUUUGCAGAUGAUUCGUUAAUAUGCAACAAAGCAACUGUCCAGGAGGCCAAGCAGGUGAAGAUAUUUUACUGGAGUACACCAAAAUGUUUGGUCAAAUGGUAAAUUUUGAAAAAUUAGCCGUGUAUUUUAGUAGGAAUACUCCCUCAAAUGUCAGAGAAAAAGUGUGUCAAGAGCUAGGCAGCAUGAGGGAAGCAGGGAGUGGCAGAUACUUGGGUCUACCAAUGGCUAUAGGAAGAUCAAAAAAUCAAGUGUUUGGGUAUAUCAAGAGCUCAGUCAUGAAUAAAAUGAAAGGCUGGAAAAACAAAAUGUUGAGCUCAGCUGGAAAGGAAGUGUUAAUUAAGUCAGUGAUCCAAGCGAUGCCCAAUUAUGCUAUGGCUUGCUUCAAAUUGCCUAAGGGACUAUGUAGGGAUAUAUGCAGGGGUAUUGCGAACUUCUGGUGGGGAGGCUCACAACAAGAUAGGAAUAUGCAUUGGAUAAGCUGGAAGAAAUUAUCAGAAGUAAAAGGAAAGGGGGGACUGGGGUUUAGAGAUUUGGAAGCAUUUAAUGAAGCCUUACUUGCCAAGCAGCUUUGGAGAAUUAUUACCUCUCCAAAUCUACUGAUGAGUAAGGUGCUCAGAGCUAAGUAUUUACAGGCCCCAAAUGCUCUAGAUAGUAAUCCCCCCCCCAAUCAGCAUCAUGGACGUGGAAAAGCAUUCACAGUGCACGGAGACUGGUACAAAGAGGUCUGUGGAAAAGAGUAGGAGAUGGUUGUCAGAUAAACAUAUGGAAGGAUAGGUGGAUUAUGGGUUCAUGUACAGGCAAGGUAUCCACAAGCUGUCCUCUAAAUUGCCAGAUUCAAACUGUAAAUCAGUUAAUUAAAGAUGGAAGAUGGAAUGCAGAAAUUCUACAACAAAUAUUCAAUCCAGAGGAUAUAGUUCAGAUACUCAGCAUGCAACUUAGUUGUUUCAAAAGAAAGGAUAGGCUAUUCUGGAGCUUCUCAAAAUCCGGUGUGUACACGGUGAAGACAGCCUAUGCAAAUGUACUGAAAGAUAAGAAAGGAGAUAAGAGGAGAAAAAGUGCAGGAGAGGAAACAAAUUGGGAAAUCAGGAAGCAUAGCAUAUGGAAGCAUCUCUGGAAGCUGAACUUAAAGCACAAGCUGAAACUUUUCAUUUGGAGGAGUCUACAGAAUAGUUUAGCUACCAAAGAGACUGUCUUUAAUAGAACAGGGAAGGGGGACAGAAUUUGCAGUGUCUGUGGAGAGGGAGUUGAAACAAUGGAGCACAUGUUUUUCCACUACCCGAUAGCCCAAACUGUAUGGAAAAUAGCACCAGUGAGAUGGGAAGGACUGCAUGAUCUUUAAAAUAAUAUGUGGAGAUGGUGGGAAGCAGUGAAUCAGGCAGAGGCAGUGGCAAAUGGAAAAGAAAGAAUCAACCUAACUGCCAACAUACUUUGGCAAAUAUGGAAAACAAGGAAUAGGACCCAUUUUGAACAAAAAAAAUGAGAGGCAAGAGAGAUUAUUGGGAAGGCACAACAAGAAUGGGCUGAAUAUGAAGAGGCUACAGGACAACAAAGCAAGGAACAUGUGGGAGAAGAACGGGUUGUCCAGCAAGGAAGAAUGAGAGAUCCACCAUAGGAAGGUGUCAUCAGAAUCAAUACAGAUGCGGCAAUAAAUUCAAAUUUGAUCAGAACGGGAAAGGGGAUAAUAGCAAGGAAAUUGACAGGGGAGAUUUUGAGAGCUAGAGGAGUAAGGGAGUUAAAGCAGGGACAGGCACUAAUGGAAGAAACACUAGCUAUUAGAAUGGCUCUUCAAAUGGCAAGACAAGCGAAAUGGGAAAAGAUAGAAGUGCUGUCAAAUUGUAAAGCAGUAGUUGACAUGAUCUUCAGCAACAAUGUCCAGGACGAUCACUUAGCAACCGUUCGAGAAGAUAUUGAGGACCUAAUGAAAGGUUUUGAACAGUGCACAGUUUCAUUUGUGUCUAGAUCAGCUAAUGUAGGAAGUCAUAGGCUAGCAAAAUUUGCAACACAGCUAGUUAAUGACAUUGAUUGGGAAAACAACUACCCAACUUGGUUAGUAGAAGCAGCCAACAAUGACUGGAAGGCUGAGACUUUUUUUUGUAAUUAAGCCCUUGUAUUAUCAAGUGAGUAUAUAUAAUAUGACAUCUAACGUUUGAGAAAAAAAUAUCAAAUAUGGAAUAAGAAAUAAUUUCUAAUUUUUAAACUCAUACAAAUAGGAAUAACUGGACAACUAAUCCAAGUAACUAAACCAUUAGAAAACUAGUUACUUAUACACAAAAUGAGAAACCUACCUAAAAUAAAUUAAAUCAAUUUCCUAACAUAUACCUUUAAGGAAAUGUCUUUAAUUACAUUUCUAAUUGAUAAACAUGAUGUUUUAUUACACUUCAGAAAGAGCUUCAUUGGGGAAACAUCUAGUUUUCUUUUUCAUGUCUUCAUUUUGCAUGGGAAACAAGAGGAGGAAUGCUUUGCUCAUGGUAGAAAAAAUUGUCUGGAUAAACUGCACCUUUAAUAAGUGUCAGCCUCUCAAAGUUAUUCUUGAAGUACAUUGAUCCCAAUACCUUAGCUUCAAAGUAAGCAAUCCCAUAAACAUCAUUUGAACCUAUAUCAAGAUCUUUGAUAUUCACAAUAGCACCUCUUGGUUCUUUUAAAACGUGAGAAGUCAUGGACUCGAAUAGCCCUUCUAUCCAUUUCAUGUACUUUUGUGAAGAUCCACUAGAAUUAUCGUCCUUCUAGGUCACUACAUAUAGGAGUUCAUAAAUCACACCUUUCCUGUAUGGAAAUGGAGUUUCUGAGUCUGAUAUUUUGUUCAUAAUCCCACCAUAAGGAUGAAAGAUUAUAAUUGUAGAAAAGUCUACUUCUGAACACCAUUUCCACAUCUCGUCUAUUGCUUUAUAAGGUAGAGGUUUAUGAAUUAAGUCUGACUUGCUUUUGAAGGGAUAAUUAGGUACUGGCUGUAUCCUAUUCUUAAGGGCUUCUAUAGUUUCCCCUCUUUGAUACUUAGGAAAAUGGGAUACGGAUUCAAUCCAACUCAUCUCAAAGCAAUCUUCUUUUCUUAAUCGCAUUUCAGGGAAGCUUUUCUCCAUCACUUUAAGAAGCUGAUCGACUUUGCCAAGGAAUAAUGACUGAAACAUUGCUUUUGUUGGAGUUCCAUUUCCAGAUGAUACGGUUAUGAAAAUCAGCAGAUCUUCACUUAGCUUGUGUGCUAUGCCCUGCCAUUUGUCGAUAAGAUCUACGGCGCCUUGCUCAUAAGUCUUGGAUAUUUGGAAAAUAGUGACUACAGGUGGAACAUGCACGAGCUUGAUAUUCCACGCAAGGAUAACCCCAAAACUUGCUCCUUCACCUCCUCUAAUGGCCCAAAAAAGAUUAAUUCUUAUCGAUUCCCAGUCAAGAAUUCGACCAUUUACAUUAACCAUGAUUGCAUCAAUGACAUUAUCAGCAGCUAGUCCAUACUUUCUAAUCAGGUUACCUACACCACCACCACUGAAAUGUCCACCAGCACCAACGCCUGGGUAGUUCCCAGUAGGAAAGGCAUGGGCACAACUUUUCUCAGCAAUGGAAUACUGCAAUUCGCCGAUUGUUACACCAGACUCAACCCAAGCACUAUUUCCUUCAAUAUCAAUGCUAAUUGACCUAAGAUUUCGAUCAAGUAUGAUGAAUGGAAAUUCAGACUUAUAGGAUGUGCCCUCGAAAUCAUGGCCGCCACUUCGAAUCCUCAUUUGUACUCCAUCUCGUUUGCAACAUAUGACUGUUGCUUGAAUGUGAGAGUAUUCUAGAGGAAUGAUUAUUGUCAAAGGUUUUGCUUUUGUGCUUGAUACAGAGAACCUAGGAUUUUGGAUUGAAGAUUUCACGAUGGGUAAAUAAGAACAGUUGUUGGGGAGAUAAAGAACAUUCAGCACUGAGAUAUUUGAUGAGAAGUUAUUGACAGAAAGGCAAUGCAUGAAGCUAUCAGGAAACGAACUUGAGUAUGAUGAUGGAAUUAUUAAGGAAAACAAGGCAGUGAAUGACAAAACUUUUAGACAUUUCUGUCACCAUUUCUAUGAUAUUCUGAAUUAUGACUUAAAAAAGCUAUGAAUUGCUCGUCUUAUUUUUAUCCAUUACAAUUGACCGGGACUGAUUGUCAUAUAAAUUAAGAAAUACAUGUAAAGUUGGCCUGCAGGCCCGCUUUAAAAAAAAAAAGAAGUUGUACUCUCUCUAUUGCAUUGUAAGAAAUCGUUAGUGAAGACACUAGCUAGCUCCAAAUACGCAGUUCUGGUCAUCUAAGAUUUUUUGCAUUCCCAAUCUUGUAUCAAUUAAAUAUACAAGUCUGCCUAUUUAAUAUAAUUUUGUAAAUUUGGGGCUCUCUUAUGUAGUCAACUUGGGACAAAAAUUUUGGUAGUUUUAAACUUAAUAACUAGGCAGACUUAUUCUUUGCUCAAGACAUAUAUGCAGUCAAUGUUUUUUUUUUUUGGAAUGUCUUUUACAAAAGAGCCAUUUAUUUUGUCCUUCUUUCAGGGUUGCCUCCGGCAAUAAAGAGCCAAACGUCGAACUUGUAGAACCUUCGAUGUAGUCUCACCAAGGAACCAUGCAUAUUAAGGUUAAUAUCUAUUAUUGUCUCAUUUAAUUUAGCUUAAUAGCUUUUAUGUGAUCUCGUCAACUCAUAUUAUGUUGCUUGAUUUUUUUGCCUUCCAAAUUCCAUGACCAAUCUGUCAUUAAAUACGUACAUUACUAGUUACCAACUCAUUUCACCUUUAGAAUCAGUGUCUUUCAUGUGGGCUUAUGUUAAAUAAGCCUUAAAAAUAUACAAAACCUGAAUUAGAAUGUGUUUGAAAGCAUGAUGAUUAAGUGGUUUCAAUAUGACAUCUAUCCCUCAUUCUUUGUUUUGGCUCUUCGGUUACAUGCACUUAGGACACAACACAAAGAAUGUAAGCUAAUUUUAUUUUGUCCCACAAAAGUUGUAAAUUCUCUAUGCUAAAGUAUCAGUAACUUAAAAGAUUAAAUUUAAGUGUUGAAUUGAAUUAUCAAAUAAACCCUAAAUAGUUUCAAUAUGACAUCAAUCCCUCAUUCUUUGUAAAUUCUCUAUGCCACAAUUUAGAAGAUAAAAAGAAUGCUAGAACUUUAUACUAAUCCCUAAUUUUUGUAUCUUUAUUGUGUACCUUUGGCGUAUAGACUAGCAAAUUUUGGUCUCUUCCUUACAAAAGAUCGGAUGUUCAAAUCUAAUUGCUAAUAUAAGGAUGUGUUGAUAGACAACACAUACCUUUAAGGCUGCGUUGGUGGUCAAUCUGUAAAAAUUCCUGUAAACAAUCCACAGUGUCGGAAGCAUGCCCUAACCCACGGUGUUGAUUAAAGUCAACCCCAUCCAAACUUUUUGGUACCAAAAAUAUUUGUUUAUUUACUUGAAUUCUCCUACUUUGCCCUUAGGAAACAACAAAAAAGGUGACGGGUAUGUUUUCCCUUUUUUUUGUAAGCCUUUUAAUAUUUUGUGGUCUAUUUCGCUCUUUCAUUUUUUUUUAAGUAUUGACUUGGAACAUUUAAUAGACUCAAAUCUAUUAACUUUUAAUUCAACAACUCUUCAUCAGAAGGGUUCUUGCCGUCAUAACGCGCCCGUGUUACUAGGGUGCAUGGCAAUGAACAAUUUCCAAACUCCCCAUCUGAAGGGUUUCCACCCUUAUGGCGCACCCGCGUCAACCUGGCACGUGGUAACUUUGAACUCAACGGACAUUCAUCAGAAGGGUUCUUGCCUUCUUGACGUGUCCACGUCAUGUUCGAGAGAAAGGUAAGUAUUUUAAAAAAAUUUUAAAAAUUUUUAAAAAAUAACAAAUAUUAAGAAAAAUUUUCGUUUACGGUUAAAUUUUUAAAGUUCAAUUUUAAAAUUUGAAUUUAAAAUUACAAAAAAAAAUCGCAACCUUCCUUUUCUUUUUCUUCUUCCUUUCUUUUUCUUUCUUUCUCUUUUCUUCUUUUCUUUCUCCCCUAUUUCUUUUGGUUCCCUCUUGGCCGAAACCCACGAAGCCGCAACCGUCCUCCUCGUGUCCGCCACCAUCACGCCGCCGUUUCUCUCUCUCCCCUGCCGCUCACCUCACUCGUCGCCUUGGGCCACCAUCCUGCACACACCAACGCACGCUGCAACUCUCAAUCUCCCUCGACCCACAGCCGCCACUGUCGCUACGUGACUCGCAGCGCCUGCUGUGCCACUGACUCCCGAACCAGGUCGCCGUCCCAGCUGACUGCCUCAUCGCUCGCGACGUCAACAGCUACCCGCACAACACCUCUCCCUCGCCUCUGUCACGUCACUGCCACCACUGCAUGCCACCAUAGCUCCACACCACCCCCCUCACCAAGCCGCGUGCCAUCCUCGUGCUUCACGGGACCCAUUUGGUUGGGAGUUGCCGUCGCCGCCAUCCGGAUCAAGACACAAGCCGGCGUCCCAUUUCUCCCAACCCGCUACUCCCCUCGUCGCAUAUCACUUCUAUUAGUCGUCGGUGUGGAGGUAUUCACCCUUUUCAACUCUUAACUGAUUGUUUAGAGCAUCAAUUGCAGGGAUUGAUUGUUGGACUCACUUGAGGAUUCCUCUGCUGCAUUAUUACUUGAUUGAGUCGAAUUGAAUUGCUGAAAGUUAUCUGAAUAUUGAUUCAAUUGCUGACUUAUGUGGGUAGUUGUUGAGCUUUUGUUGGCUCAUAUGUGCAUCUAACUGUUCAAUUGAGAGACAACGACACUUGUUCAAUUGAUUGUUGCAAUAGCCAUAGUUGCUAUAUCUGUUUUACUGGGUUCGUAUAUUUGCUGGCUUUCUUUUGUUGACUGGGUUGAUAGUUGGAGACAAUGGUUAGGCCGAGGUCCACCUCCACAUCUAGAAACCCUAACACUCAACCUACUCCACCCUAACCCACCAUUCUUGUGAAUGAACCUACCAACCAACCUUCCUCUUUAGGUGUGCGAAUACGUCUAGGUUGGGGUAAGGGUGUCCAUGUUGCUACAGCCUCUCACUUUGGGGGUCAUCUAAACUUCACUAGGGCCGCUGAUAAGCAGCGAUAUGCUGUGUGCUCCGAGUGGUGCAUCAUCUCCUGUAAAUGUUGUGAAAAACUUGUCAUGGGUGCACUGGAUAUAAGGGAAGAGGUUGAGCGGAUAUUUACCGCCAUUGGUUGGCGACCUUAUCUUAAUAUUUUCUAUCCCGUCUUUGUCGAACUAGUUAGGGAGUUUUACUCUACUUUGAAUUUGACUUGCCUACGGGGUAUACUGUCGAUACCCCAAAUGUGAUUCAUUUUCAUCUAAUAGGUCAAGAGUUCAAUUUUCCUAUUACUCAGUUCAAUUUGGCAUUUGGAUUCAUUACUCGGGAAUAUGUUGAGAUCAGGGAGUACGUUGAGAGUACUUGUGACUACAUAGAACCAUUUUUCUCUCACUAUCAUGAUAUUUGGAAGGAAAUGUCUAUCAACGGGGACCGUUACGACCCUUGUUUGGUUAGAACGGGAUUUCUCUAAAUCUUAAAACAAUUGCGAAAUUGAAUUCUACGGUCGUACCUAGGGUUACUUUGCAAUUAGGGCAAUAGCUAUGGUCGUACCUUAACUAUCAAUAAUUAAGGAGAAAUUGAUUGUCAUCACUUGUUUGACAAUUUUAACUUGUUUAUUAGUUUAUAUGUAGAAUUAUUUUUGCAUCGAUUAUCAAUUAGGAGAACCAUUUCUGAAAUUGCUUCUUGACUAGAGCCUGUCCAAUACUAUUUGAGUUUUUACUAUUUGUCAUUUAAUUUUAUUUAAUUGCAAUAUUCGAUUAGCAUAGCUUAUUAUUAAUUUCUAUAAAAUCUCCCCAUAACUUGAACUUUGGCAGAAAUGAAUUACUCCUAGUUCCUGUGAAUUCGACCCUGCUUAUCACUAUCUACAGAAAUUAUAUUUUGUUUAAACAGGUAUUUAUUAUUGCGCAGGCUCGACAACCUGUCAAAAAGUAGACUUCUUUCCAUUGUAAAGCUAUAUUCAAUUCACCCAAAAGUUAUAAUAAUGUAGCCAGGUUAUUAAUUAUUCAUUACUUUACAAGAUGAUACUUUAAGUACUGAUUUAAGGUUAAAUUGACCAUAGGAGUUACAUUUUCUUAGAACUAAAAUAAUUUAAAACUGCUUUUAUGAAGAAUGAAAUAGAGUAAUAGCACAAGUAUUUGUUAUUACCAAAAGGUUUUUAGGUGAUUUGAGUAUAGAAUUUUGGGGAUCUAUAUCUUUUUGGAAAAAAACAUUUCCAUCUUAAAUUUAGGAUUUGGGAAAGUAAAUGGAUAAUUGGAUGGAUCAUGGUUUUACACUAUCCAUUUAAAUGACAUCCAUUUAGAUCCAUUUAUUAAAUGGUUUUAAUUGGAUUGGAUCAAUUUGAUCCACUAUCCAUUUAACUAAAACUAUUUAUCCACCAUAUAUAUACUUUGUCACUUCUAUAUCUCACUAUAUAUUAACAUGAAAUCUUAUUUGCCAUUAGUCAGUAGCGUUCCAUGUCAGUUUACAUUUAGAAUUUCAUUUCUUCAACUUGUAUGUUUGCCUGGAAAUUAUAUAUAUAUAUAUAUAUAUAUAUAAAGAAUAAUAUUGUCAUUGUUUCUGAUACCAAUUUUAAUGGCGUGAUCUCUUAAUGAUCUUUUGUCUCCACAACUUUUGAAUAUAACCGACAGCCGGGCGCUGCUAGCGCCAGCACUUGUGACAAUUUGUCUUCUUCAUUGGUAAUGGGACAACAAAGAUAUAAACUAUAAAGGUACUCAAAUAAAAUAAAUGCAUUCAAAUAAAAUAAAAGCAGUAUGACCUAUUUUCCACAAGGCAACAAAAUGUUAUUGCAUAGGAUGUAAAACCGGUCAUCAAUUUCAAGAUAGCUAAACUAAACACAAGUUUGUAUAGGAGUUAAAUCAAGAUUUUAGUACUAUACCAAACGGGAUUUGGUGUAGUGAAGCAGAAAGAUGAUAGAACGCGUAGGUUUUGUAAGGAGUGAUUGCAAAAUCCUCAGCUUCUUCCUUCUCUUAAUAAUAGACUAGAUGUACACGAAUGGAGUAAAUAACUUUAUCUUUCAUAAUUUUGCAUUUUGUCACACAAUCCUCCUAUUGUUUAAAAUAUCUAAUUAACCUAUCUACACUACAAGAAAAAUAACCUUUUUUGACACGCCUAUAAGGACACUUGUUGAAUUUUGUCAUUAUAGCACUUCUAUCAUGACACUUAUUAUCAAUUUAAUAAUAUAUAGUUUAAUUUUUUUAUUUUAUCUAAUAUAAAAAUAAUAAUGUGUCUUUAGAUUUCCUAUCAUGACACUUGAGAAAAUGUGAGAUACACCAAAAAAAAAUUAAACAUAAAACGAUGUCAUUUGAUUUUGGCGAAAGAUCCUUUUGCCAAAACACUUAGUGAAAUCUAAAAAGUUUCAUUUUAUGGGCCAGCAAAAUUUUGGUUCUUCUCAUCUCUCGCACAAACUCUCUUUCUCGGCAAACUAUCUCUUAAAACUCCCCCAUUUUGGUUCUUCCAUCUUCCGCCUUCGCCAUCCCACUCCCUCAUUUUCAGAUGCUAACUCGGCCGCUUCUCUGCCCUCGUCGUCAACCACGACACCUG